RNAcentral lists this long non-coding RNA (103543 nucleotides) under Lactuca sativa (garden lettuce). RNAcentral's name for it is "long non-coding RNA (LSAT_LNC004267)". Lineage: Eukaryota; Viridiplantae; Streptophyta; Magnoliopsida; Asterales; Asteraceae. The record is from RNAcentral.
NCAAGACCUACUAAGUUGUAUACCCGUGAAAACUAUCCAAGACAUAAUAUUUGUUUGAAUGCAUAUCAAGUCAAGAACAGGUCUCGACUAUGACAAGUAGUGAACUAUAACUAUAAUUCAAAGUGAACAAAGGUUCUUUUGAUUAAAAUUUCAUCUAUCUCUUUUUUCCAUGCAUAAUUGGCUUAUAUGAAGCCUUUAUUACAAAGUUGUUGGUUACAAACCACCCAACCAACUACUCAGUAAAACUAAUAAUGGAAAUUAAAGAAACUCAUGAAACCACACAAAAAAAACGUCUGACACACUAAUGAAUGAAAAAAGUGUCCAUGCUCCAUUAAGUAGCAAAAAGAAGCAAUAAAGUGUAACCCAAAUCCACCAAAGAGUAUCAACAAUGACUAGAAGGCUUGAUGAAGCAAAAAGUAACGAUUUUGAGCACUUAUUAAGCCUUUAAAAUGUUGCCCUAGCCUUCAUGCGACCCUAAUUCAAUACGUAGAUUACCAUACACAACCCAACCGUUGAGUAUAAACCUCCUUCUAGCCUACUAUUAAUCAAUCACUAAUCCAUCACCUUUUUCGGCUUUUAAUGAGCCAUGCAUGGAUCCUCCCCUCCCUCUUUGAAAGUAAAUGACCUUAAUUCAAAAAGGCCAUCCUCAACUAGAUACGGUGAAAGCUCUCCCACAUUAAAGGUAGCAUGCACUCCAUGGUCUCCUCCCAGAUCCACCUUAUAAGCAUUAUCAUUGACAUGUGUCACCACUUUGUAAGGACCUUCAGCUCUUGGCAUCAACUUUUGUUCUUCCUUUUGUUAGGAAAAUAUUCUUUCCUCAUAUGCACCUAAACCAAGUCACCAUCUUGUAAGACACGUGGUUUCAUAUGCAUGUUGGAAUUCUGUUUGUACAUGUCAUUCACAGCUUCCAUCUUCACACAAACUUGUUGGUGUAGUUACAUCAUGGCCUUCAAAUAGUCAUUUGCAUCCUUGUGAACCAAUUCAUCAUUUGGAAAUGGAAUCAAAUACAAAGGCUUGUAAGGAUUCACACCAUACACCACUUACAAAAGCUUGUAAGCACAGCUCUCGGCAUCAACUUUUGUUCAUCCUUUUGUUAGGAAAACAUUAUUUCCUCAUAUACACCUAAACCAUGUCACCAUCUUGAAAGACACGUGGUUUCCUAUGCAAGUUGGAAUUCUAUUUGUACACGUCAUUCACGGCUUCAAUCUUCAGACGAACUUGUUGGUGUAGUUUCAACAUGGCCUUCAACUUGUCAUUAGCAUCCUUGUGAACCAAUUCAUCGUUUGGAAAUGGAAUCAAAUACAAUGGAUUGUAAGGAUUCACACCAUACACCACUUAUAAAGGAGUGACCUAUAGCAUAAGUAGGAGAAUGAUUACUCGUAAACUCAGCAUGUGUAAGUUUGAUGUCCAACUGUUUUUGAGUUUUGCUAACCAACCCCCUCAACAACGUACCCAAAGUUCUAUUAGUCACCUUCGUUUGCCCAUCAGUUUGUGGUUGAUGGGACGUACUAAAAAGUAACUUAGUACCAACUUUCCUCCACAAAGUGUUCCAAAUUUAACUCAAAAACAAGGUUUCCCUAUCAGAAACAAUAGUUUUAGGAAUAAUAUGCAAGCGAACCACUUCUUUAAAGUACAAAUCAGACACAUUAGAUAAAUCAUUGGUUUUAUGACAUGGCAUAAAGUGAGCCAUUUUUAAAAACCUAUCCACCACCACUAUAAUGGAUUCCUUCCCCCCUUUGAGUUCUAGGCAAAGCCAUACUAAAUACCAUUGACACAUCUUGCCUAGGACGAAUAGGAACCGACAAAGGAGUGUAAACACCAUGCUUGAAAGUUUUUUUCAUCAUCUGACAUGUAACACACUUUCCCGUUAUGUUGGUUACAUCCCUAACAUCUUUAGGCCAGAAGAAAUGUUCUUAAAGCACCUUCAAAGUUUUGGUAAUGGAAAAAUGACCCGCCAAACCACCACCAUGAGCUUCACGAAUCAGCAACUCCCGUAUUGCAUGUUUAGGGACACAAAUGUGAUUGCCUUUUGAUGCCUUUAUGGGCUUGAUUAAGUGAGUAGGGCCGUGUUUAGGUAAAUUAAGCUACAAUAACAACCACAAAUGAUAGGUGUAUGGGAAGAAAUGGAUCGAUUAGUAACAAAUCAAGACCUACUAUGUUGUAUACUUGUGAAAACUAUCCAAGACAUAAUAUUUCUCUGAAUGCGUAUCAAGUCAAGAACAUGUCUCGACUAUGACAAAUAAUGAACUAUAACUAUAAUUCAAACUGAACAAAGGUUCUUUUGAUUAAAAUUUCGUCUAUCUCUUUUUUCCAUGCAUAAUUUGGCUUAUAUGAAGCCUUUAUUACAAAGUUGGUGGUUACAAGCCACCCAACCAACUACUCAGUUAAACUAAUAAUGAAAAUUAAAGAAACUCAUGAAACCACACAAAAAAACGUCUGACACACUGAUGAAUGAAAAAAGUGUCCAUGCUCCAUUAAGGAGCAAAAAGAAGCAUUAAAGUGUAAUCCAAAUCCACCAAAGAGUAUCAACAAUGGCUAGAAGGCUUGACGAAGCAAAAAGUAACAGUUUUGAGCACUUAUUAAGCCUUUAAAAUGUUGCCCUAGCCUUCAUGCGACCCUAAUUUAAUACGUAGGUUACCAUGCACAACCCAACCAUUGAGUACAAACCACCUUCUGGCCUACUAGUAAUCACUAAUCCAUCACAUUUUUCGGCUUUUCAUGAGCCAUGCAUGGAUCCUCCCCUCCCUCUUUGAAAGGAAAUGACCUUAAUUCAUCAAGGCCAUCCUCAACAAGAUACGGUGAAAGGUCUCCCACAUUAAAGGUAGCAUGCACUCCAUGCUCUCGUCCCAGAUGAACCUUAUAAGUAUUACCAUUGACAUGUGUCACCACUUUGUAAGGACCUUCAGCUCUUGGCAUCAACUUUUGUUCUUCCCUUUGUUAGCAAAACGUUCUUUUCUUAUAUGCACCUAAACCAAGUCACCAUCUUGUAAGACACAUGGUUUCCUAUGCAUGUUGGAAUUUUGUUUGUACACGUCAUUCACAGCUUCAAUCUUCACACAAACUUGUUGGUGUAGUUACAUCAUGGCCUUCAAAUUGUCAUUUGCAUCCUUGAAAACCAAUUCAUCAUUUGGAAAUGGAAUGAAAUACAAAGGUUUGUAAGGAUUCACACCAUACACCACUUACGAAGGCUUAUAAGGACCUUCAACUCUUGGCAUCAACUUUUGUUCUUCCUUUUGUUUAGAAAACAUUGUUUCCUCAUAUGCACCUAAACCAAGUCCCCAUCUUGAAAGACACGUGGUUUCCUAUACAUGUUGGAAUUUUGUUUGUACACGUCAUUCAUGGCUUCAAUCUUCACACGAGCUUGUUCGUAUAGUUUCGUCAUGGCCUUCUACUUAUCAUUAGAAUCCUUGUGAACCAAUUCAUUGUUUGGAAAUGGAAUCAAAUAUAAAGGCAUGUAAGGAUUCACACCAUACACUACUUAUAAAGGAGAGUGACCUGUAGCAUAAGUAGGAGAACGAUUACAGGCAAACUCAGCAUGUGCAAGUUUAAUGUCCAACUGUGUUUAAGUUUUGCUAACCAACCCCGUCAACUACGUACCCAAAGUUCUAUUAGUCACCUUUGUUUGCCCAUGAGUUUGUGGAUGAUGGGACGUACUAAAAAGUAACUUAGUACCAAUUUCCCUCCGCAAAGUGUUCCAAAUGUAACUCAAAAAUAAGGAAUCCCUAUCAAAAACAAUAGUUUUAGAAUAAUAUGCAAGCAAACCACUUCAUUAAAGUACAAAUCAGACCCAAUAGAUGAAUCAUUGGUUUCAUGACAUGGCAUAAAGAGAGCCAUUUUUGAAAACCUAUCCACUACCACUAUAAUGGAUUCCUNNNNNNNNNNNNNNNNNNNNNNNNNNNNNNNNNNNNNNNNNNNNNNNNNNNNNNNNNNNNNNNNNNNNNNNNNNNNNNNNNNNNNNNNNNNNNNNNNNNNCGCCCCGGAACGUUUCCGCCAUCGGUUUCGGGGUGUGACACAUAUGCAUGUUGGAAUUCUAUUUGUACACGUCAUUCACAACUUCAAUCUUCACAAGAACUUGUUGGUGUAGUUUCAUCAUGGCCUUCAACUUGUCAUUAGCAUCCUUGUGAACCAAUUCAUCGUUUGGAAAUGGAAUCAAAUAUAAAGGCUUGUAAGGAUUCAGACCAUACACCACUUAUAAAGGAGAGUGACCUGUAGCAAAAGUAGGAGAACAAUUACAAGCAAACUCAACAUGUGCAAGUUUGAUGUCCAACUGUUUUUUAGUUUUGCUAACCAACCCCCUCAAUAACGUACGCAAAGUUCUAUUAGUCACCUUCAUUUGCCCAUCAGUUUAUGGAUGAUGGGACGUACUAAAAAGUAACUUAGUACCAACUUUCCUCCACAAAGUGUUCCAAAUGUAACUCAAAAAUAAGGAAUCCCUAUCAGAAACAAUAGUUUUAGUAAUAAUAUGCAAGCGAGCCACUUCUUUAAAGUACAAAUCAGACACAUUAGAUGAAUCAUUGGUUUUAUGACAUGGCAUAAAGUGAGCCAUUUUUGAAAACCUAUCCACCACCACAAUAAUGGAUUCCUCCCCCCUUUGAGUUCUAGGCAAAGCCAUACUGAAUUCCAUUGACACAUCUUGCCAAGGAGGAAUAGGAAACGACAAAGGAGUGUAAACACCAUGCUUGAAAGUUUUUUUCGUUAUCCGACAUGUUGCCCACUAUGUUGGUUACAUCGCUAACAUCUUUAGGCCAUAAGAAAUGUUCUUAAAGCACCUUCAAAGUUUUGGUAAUGGAAAAAUGACCCGCCAAACCACCACCAUGAGCUUCACGAAUCAGCAACUCCCGUAUUGCAUGUUUAGGGACACAAAGGUGAUUGCCUUUUGAUGCCUUUAUGGGCUAGAUUAAGUGAGUGGGGCUGUGUUUAGGUAAAUGAAGCUAGAAUAAAAACCACAAAUGACAGGUGUAUGGGAAGAAAUGGAUAAACUAGUAACAAAUCAAGACCUACUAAGUUGUAUACCCGUGAAAACUAUCCAAGACAUAAUAUUUGUUUGAAUGCGUAUCAAGUCAAGAACACGUCUCGACUAUGACAAGUAGUGAAAUAUAACUAUAAUUCAAUGUGAACAAAGGUUCUUUUGAUUAAAAUUUCAUCUAUCUCUUUUUCCAUGCAUAAUUGGCUUAUAUGAAGCCUUUAUUACAAAGUUGUUGGUUACAAACCACCCAACCAACUACUCAGUAAAACUAAUAAUGGAAAUUAAAGAAACUCAUGAAACCACACAAAAAAAAACGUCUGACACACCAAUNGUCCACGCUCCAUUAAGGAGCAAAAAGAAGCAUUAAAGUGUAACCCAAAUCCACCAAAGAGUAUCAACAAUGGCUAGAAGGCUUGAUGAAGCAAAAAGAAACAUUUUUGAGCACUUAUUAAGCCUUUAAAAUGUUGCCCUAGCCUUCAUGCGACCCUAAUUCAAUACGUAGGUUACCAUGCACAACCCAACCAUUGAGUACAAACCACCUUCUAGCCUACUAGUAAUCACUAAUCCAUCACCUUUUUCGGCUUUUCAUGAGCCAUGCAUGGAUCCACCCCUCCCUCUUUGAAAGGAAAUGACCUUAAUUCAUCAAGGCCAUCCUCAACAAGAUACGGUGAAAGGUCUCCCACAUUAAAGGUAGCAUGCACUCCAUGGUCUCGUCCCAGAUCAACCUUAUAAGUAUUAUCAUUGACAUGUGUCACCACUUUGUAAGGACCUUCAGCUCUUGGCAUCAACUUUUGUUCUUCCUUUUGUUAGCAAAACGUUCUUUCCUCAUAUGCGCCUAAACCACGUCACCAUCUUGUAAGACACGUGGUUUCCUAUGCAUGUUGGAAUUCUGUUUGUACACGUCAUACACAGCUUCAAUCUUCACACAAACUUGUUGGUGUAGUUACAUCAUGGCCUUCAAAUUGUCAUUUGCAUCCUUGUGAACCAAUUCACCAUUUGGAAAUGGAAUGAAAUACAAAGGCUUGUAAGGAUUCACACCAUACACCACUUACGUAGGCUUAUAAGGACCUUCAGCUUUUGGCAUCAACUUUUGUUUGGAAAACGUUCUUUCCUCAUAUGCACCAACACCAAAUCACCAUCUUGAAAGACACGAGGUUUCCUAUACAUGUUGGAAUUCUGUUUGUACACGUCAAUCACGGCUUCAAUCUUCACACUAGCUUGUUGGUGUAGUUUCGUCAUGGCCUUCAACUUGUCAUUAGCAUCCUUGUGAACCAAUUCAUCGUUUGGAAAUGGAAUAAUAUACAAAGGCUCGUAAGGAUUCACACCAUACACCACUUACAAAGGCUUGUAAGGACCUUCAGCUCUUGGCAUCAACUCUUGUUCAAAGUGAACAAAGGUUAGUUUGAUUAAAAUUUCAUCUAUCUCUUUUUUCCAUGCAUAAUUGGCUUAUAUGAAGCCUUUAUAACAAAGUUGGUGGUUACUAGCCACCCAACCAACUACUCAGUAAAACUAAUAAUGGAAAUUAAAGAAACUCAUGAAACCACACAAAAAAACGUCUGACACACUGAUGAAUGAAAAAAGUGUCCAUGCUCCAUUAAGGAGCAAAAAGAAGCAUUAAAGUGUAAUCCAAAUCCACCAAAGAGUAUCAACAAUGGCUAGAAGGCUUGACGAAGCAAAAAGUAACAGUUUUGAGCACUUAUUAAGCCUUUAAAAUGUUGCCCUAGCCUUCAUGCGACCCUAAUUUAAUACGUAGGUUACCAUGCACAACCCAACCAUUGAGUACAAACCACCUUCUGGCCUACUAGUAAUCACUAAUCCAUCACAUUUUUCGGCUUUUCAUGAGCCAUGCAUGGAUCCUCCCCUCCCUCUUUGAAAGGAAAUGACCUUAAUUCAUCAAGGCCAUCCUCAACAAGAUACGGUGAAAGGUCUCCCACAUUAAAGGUAGCAUGCACUCCAUGGUCUCGUCCCAGAUCAACCUUAUAAGUAUUAUCAUUGACAUGUGUCACCACUUUGUAAGGACCUUCAGCUCUUGGCAUCAACUUUUGUUCUUCCUUUUGUUAGCAAAACGUUCUUUCCUCAUAUGCGCCUAAACCACGUCACCAUCUUGUAAGACACGUGGUUUCCUAUGCAUGUUGGAAUUCUGUUUGUACACGUCAUACACAGCUUCAAUCUUCACACAAACUUGUUGGUGUAGUUACAUCAUGGCCUUCAAAUUGUCAUUUGCAUCCUUGUGAACCAAUUCACCAUUUGGAAAUGGAAUGAAAUACAAAGGCUUGUAAGGAUUCACACCAUACACCACUUACGUAGGCUUAUAAGGACCUUCAGCUUUUGGCAUCAACUUUUGUUUGGAAAACGUUCUUUCCUCAUAUGCACCAACACCAAAUCACCAUCUUGAAAGACACGAGGUUUCCUAUACAUGUUGGAAUUCUGUUUGUACACGUCAAUCACGGCUUCAAUCUUCACACUAGCUUGUUGGUGUAGUUUCGUCAUGGCCUUCAACUUGUCAUUAGCAUCCUUGUGAACCAAUUCAUCGUUUGGAAAUGGAAUAAUAUACAAAGGCUCGUAAGGAUUCACACCAUACACNAAGGAUUCACACCAUACACCACAUACAAAGGCUUGUAAGCACCUUCAGCUCUUGGCAUUAACUUUAGUUCUUCCUUUUUUAAGUAAACGUUCUUUCCUCAUAUGCACCUAAACCAAGUCACCAUCUUGAAAGACACAUGGUUUCCUAUGCAUGUUGGAAUUCUGUUUGUACACGUCAUUCACGGCUUCAAUCUUCACACGAGCUUGUUGGUGUAGUUUCGUCAUGGCCUUCGACUUGUCAUCAGCAUCCUUGUGAACCAAUUCAUCGUUUGGAAAUGGAAUAAUAUACAAAGGCUUGUAAGGAUUCAUACCAUACACAACUUACAAAGGCUUGUAAGGACCUUCAGCUCUUAGCAUCAACUUUUGUUCUUCCUUUUGUUAGGAAAACGUCCUUUCCUCAUAUGCACCUGAACCAAGUCACCAUCUUGAAAGACACGUGGUUUCCUAUGCAUGUUGGAAUUCUGUUUGUACACGUCAUUCACGGAUUCAAUCUUCACAUGAACUUGUUGGUGUAGUUUCAUCAUGGCCUUCAACAUGUCAUUAGCAUCCUUGAGAACCAAUUCAUUGUUUGAAAAUGGAAUCAAAUAUAAAGGCUUGUAAGGAUUCACACCAUACACCACUUAUAAAGGAGAGUGACCUGUAGCAUAAAUAGGAGAACGAUUACAUGCAAACUCAGCCUGUGCAAGUUUGAUGUCCAACUAUUUUUGAGUUUUGCUAACCAACCCCCUCAAUAAACAUACCCAAAGUUCUAUUAGUCACUUUCAUUUGCCCAUUAGUUUGUGGAUAAUGGGACGUACUAAAAAGUAACUUUGUACCAACUUUCCUCCACAAUGUGUUCCAAAUGUAACUCAAAAACAAGGAAUCCCUAUCAGAAACAAUAGUUUUACGAAUAAUAUGCAAGCGAACCACUUCUUUAAAGUACAAAUCAGAGACAUUAGAUGAAUCAUUGGUUUUAUGACAUGGCAUAAAGUGAGCCAUUUUUGAAAACCUAUCCACCACCACUAUAAUGGAUUCCUUCCCCCUUUGAGUUCUAGGCAAAGCCAUACUGAAUUCUAUUGACACAUCUUGCCAAGGAUGAAUAGGAAACGACAAAGGAGUGUAAACACCAUGCUUGAAAGUUUUUUUUGUCAUCCGAUAUGUAACACACUUGCCCACUAUGUUGGUUACAUCCCUAACAUCUUUAGGCCAUAAGAAAUGUUCUUAAAGCACCUUCAAAGUUUUGGUAAUGGAAAAAUGACCCGCCAAACCACCACCAUGAGCUUCACGAAUCAGCAACUCCCGUAUUGCAUGUUUAGGGACACAAAGGUGAUUGCCUUUUGAUGCCUUUAUGGGCUAGAUUAAGUGAGUGGGGCUGUGUUUAGGUAAAUGAAGCUAGAAUAAAAACCACAAAUGACAGGUGUAUGGGAAGAAAUGGAUAAACUAGUAACAAAUCAAGACCUACUAAGUUGUAUACCCGUGAAAACUAUCCAAGACAUAAUAUUUGUUUGAAUGCAUAUCAAGUCAAGAACAGGUCUCGACUAUGACAAGUAGUGAACUAUAACUAUAAUUCAAAGUGAACAAAGGUUCUUUUGAUUAAAAUUUCAUCUAUCUCUUUUUUCCAUGCAUAAUUGGCUUAUAUGAAGCCUUUAUUACAAAGUUGUUGGUUACAAACCACCCAACCAACUACUCAGUAAAACUAAUAAUGGAAAUUAAAGAAACUCAUGAAACCACACAAAAAAACGUCUGACACACUAAUGAAUGAAAAAAGCGUUCGUGCUCCAUUAAGGAGCAAAAAGAAGCAUUAAAAUGUAACCCAAAUCCACCGAAGAGUAUCAACAAUGGCUAAAAGGCUUGAUGAAGCCAAAAGUAAUGGUUUUGAGAACUUAUUAAGCCUUUAAAAUGUUGCCCUAGCCUUCAUGCGACCCUAAUUCAAUACGUAGGUUACCAUGCACAAUCCCACCAUUGAGUACUAACCACCUUCUAGCCUACUAGUAAUCACUAAUCCAUCACCUUUUUCAGCUUUUCAUGAGCCAUGCAUGGAUCCCCCUCCCUCUUUGAAAGGAAAUGACCUUAAUUCAUCAAGGCCAUCCUCAACAAAAUACAUGAAAGGUCUCCCACUUUAAAGGUAGCAUGCACUCCAUGGUCUCGUCCCAGAUACACCUUCUAAGCAUUAUCAUUGACAUGUGUCACCACUUUGUAAGGACCUUCAGCUCUUGGCAUCAACUUUUGUUCUUCCUUUUGUUAGGAAAAUAUUCUUUCCUCAUAUGCACCUAAACCAAGUCACCAUCUUGUAAGACACGUGGUUUCAUAUGCAUGUUGGAAUUCUGUUUGUACAUGUCAUUCACAGCUUCCAUCUUCACACAAACUUGUUGGUGUAGUUACAUCAUGGCCUUCAAAUUGUCAUUUGCAUCCUUGUGAACCAAUUCAUCAUUUGGAAAUGGAAUCAAAUACAAAGGCUUGUAAGGAUUCACACCAUACACCACUUACGAAGGCUUAUAAGGACCUUCAGCUCUUGGCAUCAACUUGUUCUUCCUUUUGUUUGGAAAACGUUCUUUCCUCAUAUGCACCUAAACCAAGUCACCAACUUGAAAGACACGUGGUUUCCUAUACAUGUUAGAAUUUUUUGUGUACAUGUCAUUCACGGAUUCAAUCUUCACACGAGCUUGUUGGUAUAGUUUCGACAUGGCCUUCUACUUGUCAUUAGUAUCCUUGUGAACCAAUUCAUCAUUUGGAAAUGGAAUCAAAUACAAAGGCUUGUAAGGAUUCACACCAUAAACCACUUACAAAGGCUUGUAAGGACCUUCAGCUCUUGGCAUCAACUUUUGUUCUUCCUUUUGUUAGGAAAACAUUCUUUCCUCAUAUGCACCUAAACCAAGUCACCAUCUUGUAAGACACGUAGUUUCCAAUGCAUGUUGGAAUUCUGUUUGUACACGUCAUUCACAGAAUCAAUCUUCACACAAACUUGUUGGUGUAGUUUCAUCAUUGCCUUCAACUUGUCAUUAUCAUCCUUGUGAACCAAUUCAUCGUUUGGAAAUGGAUUCAAAUAUAAAGGCUUGCCAGGAUUCACACCAUACACUACUUACAAAGGCUUGUAAGGACCUUUAGCUCUUGGUAUCAACUUUUGUUCUUCCUUUUGUUAGGAAAACGUUCUUUCCUCAUAUGCACCUAAACCAAGUCACCAUCUUAAAAGACAUGUGGUUUCCUAUGCAUGUUGGAAUUUUAUUUGUACACGUCAUUCACGUCUUCAAUCUUCACACAAACUUGUUGGUGUAGUUUCAUCAUUGCCUUCAACUUGUUAUUAGGAUCCUUGUGAACCAAUUCAACAUUUGGAAAUGGAAUCAAACACAAAGGCUUGUAAGGAUUCACACCAUACACCACUUACACAUGCUUGUAAGGACCUUUAGCUCUUGGCAUCAACUUUUGUUCUUCGUUUUGUUAGGAAAACGUUCUUUCCUCAUAUGCACUUAAACCAAGUCACCAUCUUGAAAGACAUAUGGUUUCCUAUGCAUGUUGGAAUUCUGUUUGUACACGUCAUUCACAACUUCAAUAUUCACACGAACUUGUUGGUGUAGUUUCAUCAUGGCCUUCAACUUGUCAUUAGCAUCCUUGUGAACCAAUUCAUCGUUUGGAAUUGGAAUCAAAUACAAAGGUUUAUAAGGAUUCACACCAUACACCAAUUAUAAAGGAGAGUGACCUGUAGCAUAAGUAGGAGAACGAUUACAGUCAAACUCAGCAUGUGUAAUAUUGAUGUCCAACUCUUUUUGAAUUUUGCUAACCAACCCCUUCAACAACGUACCCAAAGUUCAGUUUGCCCAUCAGUUUGUGGAUGAUGGGACGUACAAAAAGUAACUUAAUACCAACUUUCCUCCACAAAGUGUUCCAAAUGUAACUCAAAAACAUGGAAUCCGUAUCAGAAACAAGAGUUUUAGGAAUAAUAUGCAAGUGAACCACUUCUUUAAAGUACAAAUCAGACACAUUAGAUGAAUCAUUGCUUUUAUGACAUGGUAUAAAGUGAGCCAUUUUUGAAUACCUAUCCACCACCACUAUAAUGGAUUCCUUACCCCAUUGAGUUCUAGGAAAAUCCAUACUGAAUUCCGUUGACACAUCUUGCGAAGGACGAAUAGGAACCGAAAAAGGAGUGUAAACACCAUGCUUGAAAGUUUUUUUCGUCAUCCGACAUGUAACACACUUGCCCACUAUGUUGGUUAGACCAGAAGAAAUGUUUUUAAAGCACCUUCAAAGUUUUGGUAAUGGAAAAAUGACCCGCCAAACCACCAUCAUGAGCUUCAUGAAUCAGCAACUCCUAUAUUGCAUGUUUAGGGACACAAAGGUGAUUGCCUUUUGAUGCCUUUAUGGCCUAGAUUAAGUGAGUAGGGCUGUGUUUAGGUAAAUUUUGCUAGAAUAACAACCACAAAUGAUAGGUGUAUGGGAAGAAAUGGAUAGAUUACUAACAAAUCAAGACCUACUAAGUUGUAUACCCGUGAAAACUAUCCAAGACAUAAUAUUUGUUUGAAUGCGUAUCAAGUCAAGAACACGUCUCGACUAUGACAAGUAGUGAACUAUAACUAUAAUUCAAAGUGAACAAAGGUUCUUUUGAUUAAAAUUUCAUCUAUCUCUUUUUUCCAUGCAUAAUUGGCUUAUAUGAAGCCUUUAUUACAAAUUUGGUGGUUACAAGCCACCAAACCAACUACUCAGUAAAACUAAUAAUGAAAAUUAAAGAAACUCAUGAAACAACACAAAAAAAACGUCUGACACACUAAUGAAUGAAAAAAGUGUCCAUGCUCCAUUAAGGGGCAAAAAGAAGCAUUAAAGUCUAACCCAAAUCCACCAAAGAGUAUCAAUAAUGGCUAGAAGGCUUGAUGAAGCAAAAAGUAACGGUUUUGAGAACUUAUGAAGCCUUUAAAAUGUUUCCCUAGCCUUCAUGCGACCCUAAUUCAAUACGUAGGUUACCAUGCACAACCCAACCAUUGAGUACAAACCACCUUCUAGCCAACUAGUAAUCACUAAUCCAUCACCUUUUUCGGCUUUUCAUGAGCCAUGCAUGGAUCCUCCCCUCCCUCUUUGAAAGGAAAUGAACUUAAUUCAUCAAGGCCAUCCUCAACAAGAUACGGUGAGAAAAGUCAGUGUCACCCUAUAGACGAUAGACUGCAUUCUCCGAAGUUAAUACUAGAUUGAUAAGAACCACAUGACCACCUCCGCAACCAAGAAUACUUGAAUAAAGUAAAAUGGUAUGUUGCGUUAAAUCUUAUAACCCAGACAAUAAAGAGAUUACAGACUCGACGCCGGUCUAGGUGCUAGUCGAUGGGUUAUACAAGAACAUACACUUCCUACAAAACUGGUGGGAGCUAACUCACAGGAGAAUGGGGCAUGUCUUAGAGAUUCGUUGGACUACUAGGUGUUCCAAAGAAUACUAUCUCAAAAGAAAUAGUAGAACCACCUCCUGAAAUAGUCCAACACUCCAGAAAAUCUCUAAGGGCUAAGUUAGCCCUGAUCAGAGACUGUUAUCCAUGAAACAGAAAAGCAAGUAAGAGCAUAAUUCUUUCCGAUUAGGGAUCAUGUUGUGAAAGCAUCUAUUAGAUGAUAAUGAAAAUUUAAAUUUUCUAAGCAUCGUCUGGUAAAACUCCCCCUAUCUUCCCAAGUGAUGAUCUAGCCAUGGAAGUACAUUAUGUUCUAAGUACUGAAGAGCUCUAUCUUCCCAAGAGCUUAGGGCCAUAUGAGAUUCUUGAUAAAAAUUGGCCCAACCCCCGUCGGACCACAACUUCUAUUGGAAUUCCAUAAAUUCCACCCGAACCUAUCCACGUCUUAGACUUGAAAAAGUGCUUGGCCGACGUGACUCUCGAAAUCCCACUCGUCGAGAUCGAAAUCAAUUAGAGCCCAACUUCGUACAAGAACCUAUAGAGAUCGACGAACGAGAGGUCAAGCGACCGAAAGAAAUCUGCAUCCCGUUAUUAAAGAUUCGCUGGAACGCCAAACGAAGACCUAAAUUCAUCUAGGAGCAUGAAGACCUGUUGAGUCUAAAGCAUCGUUAUCUUUUGAGUCGCUCAAUUGCAUAUGUGUAUGUGUGCUUGAACUCUAAUUUCGGGACGAAAUUCCCUCUAUCGGGGGAACGAUGUGACAACCCGAAAUUUUCGUUGUAUAAACUCCGUAAUCAAGCUCAUCAAAGAUUUGCCAAAUUCACCUCAAAACAUUUUUGGCCGGAUUUAAGCCCGUUCGAGUAUUUUAUUUUAUAUUCGUCAAGCAAACAAAAAUAAGGAAGUAUACUUUAGAGUUUACCGUAUAUCACGUAAGUCGCGAAACUCCAAAAGUUUGGAAUUUAUGGACGUAAAAAUGGAGUUUACGGCCGUAAACCCCAAAGAGUAUAAAUAUGACACUUAGUCAUUUUUAGCUCAUUUGUCACUUCCUAGUUCAAGAACACCAAGAAUUCUCUCUCAACUAUCAUAAAAUCAUUUCGUCAAAUCCGCCAAAAUGUAAGUGUUUUCUUCCUAGAUUCGUUCAUAUAACACUUAAUCUUGUGUUUUUACACGAUUUCAUCCAUGAAAUCUUGUCUUUUUCUUAGAUCAAGUGUUCAUCAAGAACACCAAGAAAACACUAGUGUUCUUGGGCUCCAAACACUCUUUUGAGCUUCCUAUAAGUAAGUACACUCCUCCUAUCAAGUUAUUCACUUAGAAUUCAUGUUAAACCCUUGAAGAACAUCAAGAUCCCCAAGAAAAUAUGUGUUUACGGUUUGGGAAGAUCUCCCAAAACCAUAAACACCUGGUUCAAAGGGUGUUUAAGUGCCCUUAACACCUUCCAAUGCUUGUAUAAGUGACUAGAACCUUGCAUGCAUAAGAUAGAACCACCAAAACACGAAAUGAAUGGGCAAACAUGAGCUUACGGCCAUAAACCCAUGUGUUUACGACCGUAAACUCCCAAGGAGUGGUCCAAGGACCGUAAACUCCAAACGAGGGUCAUUUUGAGCCCUAGUCACUUCCUUAGCCCUUGAUUUGAGUCUAGCUAAACUCCUUGAGUGGUUUAGGACCUUUGAACACCCAAUGGCACCACUUCCAUGAGUUUACGACCGUAAAAUCAUGGGGGAAGUGGUCUAGAAAUUGUAAACACCCCUAAGGGCCACCAUUUGAGGAGUAAACUCCAAUGUGAGGCCAUACUCUCUUUAUAUGCAACCCUUGGUAAUCCUAACACUUGUAGCAAAGUGUUUUCAUGCUUUAGGAUGUCCUUACUUGCAUAAUUAGUUGUUAAAUGACUAAUUUGAUACUUAAAUGUAUCAUUACAUGUUAAAUAGGAUUCGCAUGUGUGUUCAAGUCCUCACUUGACACUUAGCAUCCUAUAUCGUCUGUUCAUCCGAGUCACCCACAUCAGGUGAGUUCAUACCCCUGAAUUAACCUUUUAAAUGAUUUUAAAUGCUUUUAUGGGCCGGGGGGAUACAAGUUGAACUAUAGAGUUAUUAUAUCAAUCACAUGUGAUUAAUAACUGUAUAGCAAAUAGAUUUCUGCAUGUUAAACUGUUUUAUCCAGCUAAAGGUUUUCAAAGCUUGUUUUAUAAAUUGACAUCAAGUCAUAAAUCCUUAUUUAUAAGUUUUUCCAAAGGUUUUACCAAAACUUCUUUUUAUACUCUUGUGUUGUUAAAUGCAUGCCUGUAUAUGUAUAGCUAUAUAAGUAAUUUUUAAAGGACUUAGGAAGGCUAACUCGCUUUAAUUCCUUUUCCUUGUUUGGAUGUGGCUUUAGGGUAUCGGUUAUCCGUCCGAAGGUCGUUUAAAUAGUAGUUAUAUAUCAUGUAUACAUAUGUAGUCAUAAAGGUUCCAUCAGCCAGAUCAUCACCCUUUGGGUAGCAAAGGCAUCUAGAUAACUUCUCAAGUAAACUAUAAUAGGUAUAGUUUAGAAACCAACCAUAACAUUCAUGAAAGAGAACUUCGUUAUAUCUAUAUUCUAAAACAUAUAGUUUUUAGUAAAAGGAAAGGUUUAUAGAAAUCAAAACACGAGAUACAUCCUCAUGACGCGGAUUCCACCAUUGUCAAGUUGGUAACCAGAGUCUCCUGGAGUGAGAGCGGGUAUUGUGUGUAUAGAUCUAUACGGGACAAACACUCCCACAUCCUGACUGCUAGCUACAGUCCCGGCCGACCAAGCCAAGGGGUGACAAAUGUCACAUUCAUUCCGACGCCAGCAGGUCGUCAAGUAUUCGAUUGUCAAUCAGUAUGGUUACGAGUAUCUGUACAUUUACCUUAUAAUUCAUUGCUUUAAGGUAACAAGUAUUAUCAUGGUAUUUCUAUAUAUGAAACCAUCAUAACCUAUUUUCCUAGUUAUAUACUAGGUCACAUUAUAAACCUUUAAACUAACCCACAUAGGAUUAAAGGCUAAUUUAGACUCUCUGAGGCGUAUUGUUCACUUAAUACUUCGUGGAGUCUAUAUUUCAUUCUUUUAGACUAUCCGAGGCGUAUUGUUCACUUAAUACUUCCUGGAGUUUGUAUUUCAUUCUUUUAGACUCUCUGAGGCGUAUUGUUCACUUAAUACUUCCUGGAGUCUGUAUUUCACUCUUUUAGACUCUCCGAGGCGUAUUGUUCACUUAAUACUUCCUGGAGUCUGUAUUUCAUUCUCUUAGACUCUCCGAGGCGUAUUGUUCACUUAAUACUUCCUGGAGUCUGUAUUUCAUUCUUUUAGACUCUCCGAGGCGUAUUGUUCAUUUAAUACUUCCUGGAGUCUAUGUUUUAUUUACCUUUAACCAGCAGUGUUAUUGCUAAGGAAAAAUAUUAUUUUCCCUAUUACUUUUGCUUGUGAUUUCCUCACAUAUUCUGUAAAGUAAAAACUAUAUUUUGAUAAUGAUAGUACCUUUAAAGGGAAAAUGAUUCUUAAACAUAAAUCAGAUGGUUCUUGGUAGAAGACUGCUUAUAAUAGAGAUACUCCUUGGUUUAAACAUAAAACAAUUGGGUCUUGGUAGAAGACUACUUUUAUUAGAAAAUAUAGGAUUUUUUGGAAGGGAUUCUAAUACUCUGUAAACUCAAAUCACCAUCAUUGUGUGAGAUUAUUUUUGAAGUAAAACAUGUAUUUAUACCAAUGUCAUUAAAUACUUAUGAACUCACCAGCAUUUAAAAAUGCUGAAACUCGCUUUCAAAAUAACUUGUAUUCUCAGGUCAUCGGUAGACAGGUAUACUUCGGGAGCUUUUGCGAAGUCAGCCUAGUACCAAACUACAGCUUAUGUUAUUUCCUAUAUCUAUUUUGAUGUUACUGUUAAAUGUAACCUAUGUAAAAUUAUUACUAUUAAUGCAAUGGUUUUUGUACUUUGAUUACUAUACUACAUAUGUUGUGAUACUCGACAUGACGUCCUCCACCCCAGAAUGUUUCCGCCGUUCCGGUUUUGGGGUGUGACAGAUUGGUAUCAGAGCAUUGUUUAUAGUGAGCUCAAUAUAUCAAACCAUAAAAGAUGUAUACCUAUAAAUACAUUGGGAUAAAACACUCUGACCAAGAAUUAUACUUUAAAAUAUAACCAUAUUUUACAAAAGUAUAAGAGCAUCCAUAAUAUAAAAACCAAAACAAAGUAUCACAAGAAAAACAAGAAUAAAAGUCUUUGGAUGUUGACCAUUACCGUCAAACCUGGGCAGUUAUGUAAUCGUAAGCAGGAAUAAAUGUAACCUGAUCAACUACAUUUAUUCGAGAUGCGACUAACGUGUGCUUGGGAGUGAUGGUGAUGUUGCAACAAGUCUGAAACUUACCAAAUAGGAAUGCUCUGCCAAACAUAAAGUUUAAAAAUACUAUAGGAGUAUUUUAUGAUACUAAAAGAUUUAUAUUAAUCCCAGAAGCAUAUUCAGAAGUUAAGAAUCGAACAUGUAAUUAAAAUACCAUAGGAGUAUUUUAGAAACCAUAAAUAACCUUGCAUGAAAACUAAAAAGACCUUUAUUGAUAAACCUAUGAUUACAAAGUGCAUACUCCCAAGGUUAUAUAUAGUAAGGAUCUCAUAGGCUAAGAAUGUGUGGUUUCACUCUACUUCCUUUUCCUUGUUUGGAUGUGGAUAUAAAGUAGUAUCACAUAUUCGAAGGCUUAUCAGAUCUAAGUUAUAUAUGAUUUGUGUACACUUUGUAAUUCUCGCAGGACUCUAUAUGGGUCACCCAGUAAAAUGUUUUAAUAAUCUCUUAGGAUUCUUUAGACAAUUCCAUUCUCACACGAACCCCUUUAGAAAACCUUAUCCACUUCAGUGAUCGGCAGAAGAGUCGAUUCAGACCCAGAUGUCACACCCCGAAACCGAAGGCGGAAACGUUCCGGGGCGGAGGUGACGUCAUGUUAAGUAUCACAACCAAUGUACAUAGUAAGCAUAGUAAACACAAAACAUUACAUUACAUUGAAUCAUUACAUUUGUUUGAAAGUAAGGUAAUACAAGUUUUAUAGAUACAUUAGCUUAAACAAAAGUAAGACGUCACUUUCAUACGCUCCGUCUUCUCCAAAAGAUCGCGGGAUACCUGUCUAAGGAGAACCUGAGAAUACAAGCAGUUUCAAAAAUAUCAGCAUAAAGCUGGUGAGUUCAUAAGCGGUUCGUUUUCUGAAAAUGAACAAGUUUCCUUUAGUUUUCACUUUUCUGAAAUAGUUGUUAUCCAAGAAAAUCUUAUAUUUUCUUAUAAGUAAGGUUUUGUUAUCCGUUUGUUACACAAUCUGGUUAAGAAUAGUUUGUUAUCCCAGGAAAAACCCUUAUUUCCCUAAAAAGUUUGUGGUUGGUUAUCGAUUUGGAAUACGGUGUACAAGUAUCUACCAUACUUGUACCAUUUGUAUGAAGUUUCCUAAAAGCCUAGUUAUCCUUGAAAAGUAUGCUAGUUUUAACAUGUAUAUAAAACUAUUAAUUAAAUAGUAAACUAAUUUCUAAGGUUAUUAAUUUACUAAAUUCAUUAUUACUAACAUGUAAAUCUCUAUUAUUCAAGAUUACGAGUUCCAUAACCAUACGGUAGACUAGAUAUGGCAAAGGAAGGCUAGUAUCAUUUAUGACUUUUGUCACCCUUGGACCUUUCGGUCCGACUGUAGCUAGUAGCCAGGUGCGGGGUAGUCAGCCCCAUAUAGAUCUAUACACUCAAGUCACGCUCUCCUUCCAAGAGAUUCUGGUUAUAGGGGCGGUCUUCCACUCGCAUAUCUCUGUGGAGUGUUUCCGAGGACGUGUCUCCAAUCUUAAGAAUAACAAAUUUACAAGUAAUAAUGCGGAAAAUCCUGUUUUAAAUUCUAAUUACAAAAGCGGUCCUCCACUCGCGUAUCUCUGUGGAGUGUUACCGAGGACGUAUCAAAAGUUCUAAGAUUAAUGAUUUUUAACAAUAAUGAAGUGGAAAAUCAUUUGUGAAAUGUACAAUAUAACACUAUAUAACAAGAUUUGAAAUCGGUAUGAAAACUAACUCUGCAAGUCAAACGGUUGGUUAAUACGGUUUCGAUGGUUAAAAGCAUAUGGAAUAUGAAACAUUUCAAAUGAAAUAAUAAGUUUGAGUACAAUAUAUUCUUGUGCUUUUGCUUGUAUUCCCCCCAAAAAACAUUGAAAACACUGAAAAAGGUGUAGGGUAUGAACUCACCAGACGAGAAAUGUGUCGGCUAGGAUGCUAAGUGUCAGUUCGGGGCUUGAAAACACGCGAGGUUCCUAUGUAAUAUGAAGAGAUACAUAAAUUGUAUCUAAUUAGACCUUGAUCUACUAAUUAAAUAAGAAUAAACACUUCGAGGCACGAAAACACUUCAAUUCAAGUGUUAGGAGUGGUCCGGGUAGCAUCUAAAGGGGUGUAUGGCCUAGAUAUGGAGUUUGCUCUUCAAGAGUAAACUCCUUGGGGAGUUUUCGGCCCAAUAACCAUAUCCCCAUGAGUUUAUGGCCGUAAACUCAUGGGUGGUGUCUUCUUGGUUGCUUAAAAGUCUUAUAACACUAGUGGAAUAAAGCUAGGUUAAGUUCUAAGGCAUGGGAAGUGAAUUGACCAACACAUUGACCAUUCAAGGAGUUUAUGAAUGUAAACAAGGAGUUUACGACCGUAAACUCUCAUGUACCCUUUCCUUAUGUGUUUUGGUGGUCCUAGGUUAAGCACAAGUGGUUCUAGUCCAAAGUACAAGCCACAGAAGGAAGUUAGGGCACCAUUUGACCACUAUAAAGGAGUUUACGGCCUAGGAACCUUUCCUUGGGGGUUUACGGCCAUAAUAUCCUAAGGAGGUGGUUUCUUUCAUGUUUAAGGUCCCUAACACAAUGGAGGUUGGUUCUAAACAUUAUUCCAAGGCUUAGAAGGUGUUUAAGGGGCAUCUUAACGCCUUAAAAGGUGUUCACGGCCUAUGAAUGAGGGUUUAUGGUCCAAGCAUGUUCUUGGGCCGUAAACUCAUGUUUAAUCCUCAAAUGUCAAGGUUUUGGUGUUCUAAGUCCAUUCAUGUAAGCCCCUAAGUCAAUGCUAAGCAGUAGAAGUGAUUUGGGAGGGUUUGGGGCUCCAAAACCCCAUUUUUGUGUGUUUACGGUUUGGGAUAGUUCAUGGGCCGUAAACACAAGUCUUUCACACAUUAGGAUGAUUUAGACACGAAUUUUUAAGCUAAACAAUCAAAACUAUAAGCUAGGAUGGAUUUCUUACCGAUUUAGAGCUUGAAAUGGGUGAUUUUGCAUCAAGAUUUGGAUUGAAGAGAGAGAGAGAGAGAGAGAGAGAGAGAGAGAGAGAGAGUAGAGAGAGUGGAAAAGCUUCAAAUGAAGUCCACUCAACCUUAUAAAGGGCUGCUAUCUCAAAGAUCUAAGAUCAAAUGGUUAACUGAUGGGGAUAAUAAUACAAAGUUUUUUCACAGUUGUUUGAAAAGCAGGAAUAACAAAACUCGAAUUUUGAUGGUUCUUGAUGAGGAUGGAAGAUGGAUUAGGUGGAAUGCUAUGAAGGAGAAAUUUAUUAACCAUUUUAAGAAUUUCUUGGGUUGUGAAGAUGUCACUGAUUUGUCUAUACUUAAUGAUGAUUUUUUUUCAUAAUAAGUUGGAUAAAAAAGUGGCAAUGAAUAUGAUAAGGGUGGUCACAGAUGAAGAAGUUAAAGUGGCUAUGUUUGAUAUUGCUGACAACCAUGCCCCUGGACCUGAUGGUUUUUCCUCUAAGUUCUUUAAGAGUGCUUGGAGUAUUGUUGGGCCUGAAAUCUGCAAAGCUGUGAGGGAAUUCGUUUGGACAGGCAAAUUAUUGAAGGGUAUUAAUGCCACAAGGAUUGUAUUGGUUCCUAAAGUGGAAAAUCCGAGGAAAGUCACUGAAUUUCGGCCUAUUUCUUGUUGCAACACUUUAUAUAAGUGUAUCAGCAAGAUAAUAGUUAACAGAAUAAGGAACAACUUAGGUGACAUAGUUAGCCAAAAUCAAUCAGCCUUUAUUCAAGGGAGAUAAAUUCUCGAUAAUAUCCUUCUUGCCCAAGAAUUGAUGGUGGGAUACAAAAAUAAUAGUGGAGUGCCUAAAUGUACCUUAGGCAGGGAGAUCCUUUAUAUCCCUAUCUGUUCACUUUGGUAAUGGAGGCCUUCAAUCUAAUUCUUUUGAAGAGAAUUGAAGAAAGCCAAAGCUUCAAAUAUCACUAUAAGUGUGAAUCUCAGAAAAUCACUCAUUUAUGUUUUGCAGACGAUUUAUUAGUAUUUUCUUAUGGCAAUGGAAAUUCUACAAGAGUGAUAAAAGCUGCACUUGAUGAAUUUAAAUCUGUUUCUGGGCUGAAAGCUAGUAUGGAAAAAAGCCAAACAUGAGAAGGAUUAUUUUGGGAAUUUUACCUUUUGAUAUUGGUAAAAUUCCCUUCAAAUACCUUGGAAUUACCAUGUGUGUGAAUAUGCUUUUCAAAAGAGAUUGUAAAUCUCUUGUUGAUAAGAUUAAAUUGAGAGUGUGUAAUUGGAAAAAUAAGAUGCUUUCUUUUGCUGGGAGAUUACAGCUCAUAAACUCUGUUUUGACUUCAAUUCAUGUUUAUUGGGCUUCAAUUUUCAAAAUCCCUAUAGCUACUAUAAAGGAGAUAGAAAUGAUUUGUAGAAGUUUCCUAUGGGCUAAUGGAGAAGUGGUUAGAGGGAAAACUAAGGUUAAAUGGGUGUUUGCUAGUUUUGUUUCUCCUAUUUGGAAAGAAAGGAAUUCGAGUAUUUUUUGUAAAAUGAGAAAAUCAAAUGAUGGAGUGAUUUCUUGUAUUGUGAAUGAAAUUCAAUUGAAGUUGUUAGGGUUGAGGAAAAUGAAUGUUAUGGUCAGUGAAAGUUUUUUACAGACUUGGGGUAUUUUGGGAAAAAUGAUUGUAAAUAAUGAAGUUCUUUUUUAGGGAUAACUGUUUUGUUACAGUUUUUUUUUUAUGAUUGGGAUGGUAUGGAGUUGAUGGUUAGUAUGGCUGUUAUUAAUGGAAUUCUGUUUUGGGGGUAUUUUCGGAAUGGCAGAUUUAAAGGAAUUGACGGAUAUAAAGGAAUUGACAGAUUAACUCGCUGGUUUAAGAGCUUGCUCUUGAAUCAAGUGAUUUGUACCUUUGGGAUUUUUUGUUUGGAUAUGAUAUUUAAUUGAGAAUAUUCAAAUGGAAAAUCCUAGACAUGUGAUUGAUGCCAUGUCUAGUCUCUGCAGCUGGUUCUGAAUUUAUGGUGUAAUUGUGGAUUCCUGUGUUUCUUAUUUUAUGAUUGCAGGAAGAGCAUACAACAGCUGAUGGUCAAGCUUUUUGAUCGAGGGAUUGCUUAUAGGAUGAUGUCUAUUAUGAUGAGUUAUCUUUUGAUGAUGAAGGAUAAGAGAAGGAAAAAUAAAUGAUGGAUACAAGGGCUGAAAGAAGGUAGAAACUGGUGGAUUGGUUUCUUGAUGAUUCUGCAGUGGAAUUUGCUGAACGUUUUUUGUGUUUUUUGUUUCAAUCUUUUUGUCUUUAGUUUGUUUGGAGUUGGGUCUUUAUGGCAUUGGUUCUUAAGAUUACACUAUUGGACUAUGGGUUUUUUAAGGGCCUUACCCCUUGCUUUGGUCUUAAUGGUGAUUGAUGGUGUGGUUAUUGCAAGGGGAUGAAGUUACCUUUUUUCCCACUUUCAAUAAGUCUUUGGUGUAGUCUUAUGAACAUUAAGGUCUUUUGGGGUAUUUGGAGGAUUGUUAAGGUGUUUAAGAAAUGGUUAGGAAGUUGGUUAUGGAUAGGUUGGAUAUGUUUAGGAUUUUUGGGAUGACUAUUUUAUUUUUAUUUGUAUUUGUAUUCUUUUAUUCUUUUUAAUAAAGUUUGCUAACCUUUGGCUCUUUCAAAAUAAAAGUUGGUGGUUACAAGCCACACAACUAGCUACUAAGUAAAACUAAUAAUGAAAAUUAAAGAAACUCAGGAAACCACACAAACAAACGUCUGACACACUAAUAAAUGAAAAAACGUUUGUGUUCCAUUAAGGAGCCAUAAGAAGCAUUAAAGUGUAACCCUAAUCCACCAAAGAGUAUAAAAAAUGGCUAGGUGGCUUUAUGAAGAAAAAAGUAACGGUUUUGAGCACUUAUGAAGCCAUUAAAAUGUUGCCCUAGCCUUCACGCAACCCAAAUUCAAUUCGUAGGUUACCACGUACAACCCAACCAUUGAACCUAAACCACCUUCUAGCGUACUAGUAAUCACUAAUCCAUCACCGUGCGCUUUCAUGAUCCAUUCAUGGAUCAUCCCCUCCCCCUUUGAAAGGAAAUAACCUCAAUUCAUCAAGGCCAUCCUCAACAAGAUAAGGUCAAAGGUCUCCCACAUUAAAGGUAGCGCGCACUCCAUGGUCUCCUCCCAAAUCCACCUUAUAAGCAUUAUCAUUGACAUUUGACACUACUUUGUAAGGACCAUGUGCUCUUGGCAUCAACUUUUGUUCUUCCUUUUGUUAGGAAAAUGUUCUUUCCUCAUAUGGAGCUACACCAAGUCACCAUCAUGAAAGAUAUGUGGUUUCCUAUGCAUGUUGGAAUUCUGUUUGUACAACUCUUACACGGCUUCAAUCUUCACGUGAACUUGAUGGUUCACGUGAACUUGUGAACCAAUUCAUCCUUUGGCAAUGGAGUCAAAUCGAAAGUCAUGUAAGGAUUCACACCAUACACCGUUCAAAAGGAGAGUGACCUAUAGCAUAAGUAGGAGAACGAUUACAGGCAAACUCAGCAUGUGCAAGUUUGAUGUCCAAAUGUUUUUGUGUGACAAACCGAAAUUUCUAUCUUGUACAAUUAUUCAAGUCAAUCAAGUUCAGACUCGUUUUACCAUAUUCUAGCAUUGUUUUGAGUCAAUUAGAGUGUUCUAAGCCUAGUACCUUCAAGUUAGGGUGUUGAAAUGGGUCCCACAAGUCCAAACACUUCACGAAAUGGCCAUACACUCCAUCAUGAGGAGUGUACGACAGUACACUUGGGUCUGCGGCCGUACACCCCCCUUUGGCCCUACACUCUGGGUUAUAUAUUGAGGACUUAGCCUUCAUUCUACCCUUUUCACCUCCCUUAGCCAAGAACUCGUUUAUUCUCUCAACUAUCAUCCGAUUCUUCACCUAGAUUUUCAAAAUAGUAAGUAUUUCUUCCCUUGAUCUAUUGAUUCUUCCUCCAUCUAGUAUGAAUCACUGAUUUCAUCCACAAAAUCACUUCAUUUUGGUAGAUCUUCAAGUAUUCUUCAAUUUCACCAAGAACACCUACUAAGUUCUUGGACCUCAAGCACCCCUAAAGGCUUCUAUAUCAUAAGUACUCCUUCCCAUGCUUGUUACUUACUAGAUAUGCCAUUAGAAAUCGUCCAAAAUCAUGAACAUUAAGGAGUGUACAGCCGUACACACCCAUGUGGCCGUACACCCCUUUGUUUGGUGCAAAUUAGCCUCAAAACUUACAUUCUAUGCUAAAGCAUGUUCAAGAACACGUUGAGGAUGCAUGAUAUGGCCUUGAAACACACCUUUGACAAUCUUUACAAGAUCAUCAAGGUGUAUGGCCGUACACACCCUUUCUGUGGCCGUACACACCCUUUUAGGACCCAAAAUGAUAACAAACACCCCUUUAAGUUAAGCUAUGACUAAGACACACUUCGUAGAUAACCUUAAUUCUUGUUCCUUGUUUGGUUGUGGGCUUAGGGUAGGAUACACUAGUCCGAAUGUCGAUUAACUCAUAAUUAUACAUGUUAAAUACGUAAUAGAAUAUAAAAUUUUAACUUAAAAGUUUUACUUAACUUAAUUGUUCAAACCGAGCAAUUCAGACUUGUCCAUAAGUCGAGAUCAAACAAACAUCUAGUAAACUAUAAUAGGUAUAGUUUAAGUGAACAUAUAAAUAUACAUUUACAUAUACAAAGAACGGAAGUGAACUUAUACACAUACAUUUACAUGUACAAAGAACGGAACUGAACAUAUACAUAUACAUACAAGUACAGUAAGAACACGAUAACUGGAAUGUGAAAUACUACGUCACGAAACAACAAUACAUUGUUGUAUCACAUUUGUAACCAGAGUCUCUCGGAGGGAGAGCGGGCAUCGUGUGUAUAGAUCUAUAUGGGACAGACACUCCCACACCCCGACUGCUAGCUACAGUUCUAGCCGAUAAGGCCAAGGGGUGACAAAAUGCACCUCACUAUUUUAUGACGCCAGAAGGUCGUCAGGUAUUCAACCGUCAAUCAUUAUGGUUACAACUAAUUCACAUCGACCCUUUUAAUUAAACAAAUCGGAAUUUAAAGCAAUAAGACUCUCCAAGGAAGUAUAGUACAUUUAAUACGACUACAAGUCUUAAUUUUAUUCAUUUCAUAUUCAGUAGUAUCACUACUGAGAUAAAACAUUCUAUUUUCCUAAUAGAUGAUAGUAACGAAUGGGAGAAAACAUACUUUUACACAGACAUAAAGUACUACUAUAUUUUCCACACUAUUCAAAGUAUAUAUGCAAACAUUACAUUUUUAUACAAGAUCAAACAUGCAAACAGUCGAGCCUCGGGUAGGAGGCUACUUUAAUUAAAAGUGACAAUUAUAGGAUUUUCUGGGAAAACUUACAAACAUUUCAAGGUUUUUAAUGCAAAUAUUCAAGAUUCUUUAAAUGACACUAAACACUUAUGAACUCACCAGCAUUUUAUGUUGAUACUCUCUUUCAAAAUAACUUCAGGGAACUAGUAAGACAGGUACAUCCAUGCAGCUUUGAAGGACGACAUGGAUUCAAGUACAAAGUGUCCAAAAACAUGGAAUCCCUAUUAGAAACAAUAGUUUCAGGAAUAAUAUGCAAGCGAACCGCCUCUUUAAAAUACAAAUUACACACAUUUGAUGCCUCAUUGGCUUUAUGACGUGGCACAAAGUGAGCAAUUUUUGAAAACCUAUCCACCACCACUAUAAUGGAAUCCUUCCCCCUUUGAGUUCAAGGCAAAGCCGUAAUGAAUUCCACUGACACAUCUUCCCAAGGACGAAUAGGAACCAGCAAAGGAGUGUAAACACCAUGCUUAAAAGUUUUUUACGUCAUCUAACAUGUAUCACACUUGGCCACUAUUUUGGUUACAUCCCCAACAUCUUAGUCCAAAAGAAAUGUUCUUAAAGCAUCUCUAAAGUUUUGGUAAUGGAAAAAUGACUCGCCAAACCACCACCAUGAGCUUCACUAAUUACCAACUCUCGUAUUGCAUGUUUAGGGACACAAAGGUGAUUACCUUUUGAUACCUUUAUGGGCUUGAUUAACUGAGUAGGGUUGUGUAUGGGAAGACCUACUAACCUGUAUACCGGUUAAAACAAUCGAAGACAUACUUGAUUGAAUGCGUAUCAAGUCAAGAACACAUUUUGACUAUGACAAGCAGUGAACUAUAACUAUAAUUCAAAGUUAACAAAGGUUCUUUUGAUUAAAAUUUCAUCUAUGUCCUUUUUCCAUGCAUAAACUUAGCGUUUAUGAAGCCUGUAUUACAAAGUUGGUGGUUACAAGCCACCCAACCAACUACUCAGUAAAACUAAAAAUGAAAAUUAAAGAAACUCAUGAAACCGCACAAAAAAACGUCUGACACACUAAUGAAUGAAAAAAACAUCCAUGUUCCAUUAAGGAGUCAUGAGAAGCAUUAAAGUGUAACCCUAAUCCACAAAGAGUAUCAAAAAUGGCUAGGAGGCUUUAUGAAGCAAACAAUAACGGUUUUGAGCACUUAUGAAGCCUUUAAAAUGUUGCCCAAGCCUUCAUGCGACCAUAAUUCAAUUCUUAGGUUACCACGCACAACCUAACCAUUGAGCCCAAACCACCUUCUAGCCUACUAGUAGUCAUUAAUCCAUCACCUUGGACUUUCAUGAUCCAUGCAUGGAUCACCCCCUCCCCCUUUGAAAGUCAACUACCUCAAUUCAUCAAGGCCAUCCUCAACAAGAUAAGGUCAAAGGUCUCCCACAUUAAAGGUAGCACGCACUCCAUGAUCUCUUCCCAAAUCCACCUUAUAAGCAUUAUCAUUGACAUGCGACACCACUUUGUAAGGACCAUCUGCUCUUGGCAUCAACUUUUGUUCUUCCUUUUGUUAGGAAAACGUUUUUUCCUCAUAUGUACCUACUCCAAGUCACCAUCUUGAAAGACACAUGGUUUCCUAUGCAUGUUGGAAUUCUGGUUGUACAACUCUUUCAUGACUUCAAUCUUUCACACGAACUUGUUGGGGUAGUUUCAUCAUGGCCUUCAACUUGUCAUUAGUAUCCUUGUGAACCAAUUCAUACUUUGACAAUGGAAUUAAAUCCAAAGGCAUAUAAGGAUUCACACCAUACACCACUUCAAAAGGAGAGUGACAUGUAUCAUAAGUAGGAGAAUGAUUACAGGAAAACAUAGCAUGUACAAGUUUGAUGUCCAAAUGUUUUUGAGUUUUGCUAACGAACCCCUUCAGCAACGUACCCAUAGUUCUAUUUGUCACCUUCUUUUGCCCAUCAGUUUAUGGAUGAUGGGAUGUACUAACAACUAACUUAUUAUCAACUUUCAUCCACAAAGUGUUGUGAAAGUAACUCAAACACAUAGAUUCCCUCUCAUAGAUAAUUGUUUUUGGAAUAAUAUGCAAGCGAACCACCUCUUUAAAGUACACAUCAGACACAUUAGAUGCAUCAUUGGUUUUAUGACAUGGCUCAAAGUGAGCAAUUUUUGAAAACCUAUCCACCACAAUAAUGGAAUCCUUCCCCCCUUUGAGUUCUAAGCAAAGCUAUAAUGAAUUCCACUGACACAUCUUCCCUAGGACGAAAAGGAACCGACAACGGAGUGUAGCACCUGGUUCCUGGUAUGUAAAUCUUAUUUGAGUAUUUUCCAUUUUUAGCCUUGGACUCGACAAGUCAUAGGUCCGACUCGCCGAGUAGAGACGGGAUCCGGGACAUGUUUAAGUUGGUGACUCGGCGAGUCCAUAUUCCGGACUCGGCGAGUCCCCGCUGUUGGAUGAAACCCUAAGUUUCAGGGGUUUGCACCCUAUUUAAGCCUCAUGUUCGCCCCAAGCCAGCCCCCAUUCACCCUCAGAGCCCCAACCCUCGUUCAAAGCUUAUUUCCUAGAGAGUUUGAAUCAUUUUUGUGUGUUCUUGAAGGUUUUGAGAAGGAAGUGGUGUAGAUCAAGAGGAAGGGAAGGAAGCCAAGCAUCUUAGUGUUCUCUCAGUGAUUCCUUCGAGGUAUAACCCGUUUUCCCUCUGUUUCUAUACUUAUUACUCCAUUAAGUCUUUCUUGAGCCCUUCUCCAAGUUUGGUUGUGCAUUGUUGGAUGAUUCAAGAUGUUUAGCCUUUAGAUCUAGACCCUAUUCAGUCCCUGGAACAUGGAUCUACUGCCUUUAUGGACCCAUAUUGCUUGUACACUCUAGAUCUACCCCUUUUAGUGCACUUUAAGCCUUAAAAACCUUAUUGGCGAUGAUCUACACGUAAAGUUGGAAACUUUACGUGUAAACCAGGCCCUAGGAGCCCAGAUCUGUGGAUAGCAUAAGUUGGAUUCAAGCAAAAUCGACCAUAUAUAGACUGCAUGGUAACGACUCGGAGAGUCGUUCAUCUGACUCGACGAGUAUGCUAGCGAAUCUCUGAGUUUGUCCCCUUUUCGUGGUGUCGAUUAGAGUAGUGAGUCACGGGAUGUGACUCAGUGUGUUGGAAGCCGGACUCAUCCAUGAAGGAACUCGGCGAGUCAUUGCCCUGACUCGGCGAGUUCAAGGCAAUCUUCUUAGAUCAAGAACAGACUCGGCGAGUUGUUCAUACAACUCGGCGAGUCUCAGCAUAAGUGUUCAUCGGAUGAAGAUGAACUCGACGAGUUGUUCAUACAACUCGGCGAGUAGGAUGAAGGACUUGAACAUCAGUUUGGAAGGAGAACUCGUCGAGUCGUCGCCUAACUCGACGAGUAGNNNNNNNNNNNNNNNNNNNNNNNNNNNNNNNNNNNNAGCCAACUCGGGGAGUCGGGUCAACUGAAAGUUGACUCUGAUUUGGACUUAUGACAUGAUCAGGGGUAAAAUGGUCAUUUUACCCAAAGGUCAGUUAGCAGUGAUUGAUUAAUUAUGUUGUGGGAAUUACAGCCGGAGGAUUUCUAGAGCAGCAGCAGCAGCAGUAGACAGUCAAUUCCCGAUCAGAUCAGCAGCUACUUUGAGGUGAGUUACCUUCCAGUAGCGGUGGGUCUACGGCCACAAUGCCGGCCCACCAGUAGGAGUUGUAUGUUAGAUGAUUGUCUUUGUGAUAUCAUCUAGGUUUGCUACUACCUGAUAUGUUNNNNNNNNNNNNNNNNNNNNNNNNNNNNNNNNNNNNNNNNNNNNNNNNNNNNNNNNNNNNNNNNNNNNNNNNNNNNNNNNNNNNNNNNNNNNNNNNNNNNNNNNNNNNNNNNNNNNNNNNNNNNNNNNNNNNNNNNNNNNNNNNNNNNNNNNNNNNNNNNNNNNNNNNNNNNNNNNNNNNNNNNNNNNNNNNNNNNNNNNNNNNNNNNNNNNNNNNNNNNNNNNNNNNNNNNNNNNNNNNNNNNNNNNNNNNNNNNNNNNNNNNNNNNNNNNNNNNNNNNNNNNNNNNNNNNNNNNNNNNNNNNNNNNNNNNNNNNNNNNNNNNNNNNNNNNNNNNNNNNNNNNNNNNNNNNNNNNNNNNNNNNNNNNNNNNNNNNNNNNNNNNNNNNNNNNNNNNNNNNNNNNNNNNNNNNNNNNNNNNNNNNNNNNNNNNNNNNNNNNNNNNNNNNNNNNNNNNNNNNNNNNNNNNNNNNNNNNNNNNNNNNNNNNNNNNNNNNNNNNNNNNNNNNNNNNNNNNNNNNNNNNNNNNNNNNNNNNNNNNNNNNNNNNNNNNNNNNNNNNNNNNNNNNNNNNNNNNNNNNNNNNNNNNNNNNNNNNNNNNNNNNNNNNNNNNNNNNNNNNNNNNNNNNNNNNNNNNNNNNNNNNNNNNNNNNNNNNNNNNNNNNNNNNNNNNNNNNNNNNNNNNNNNNNNNNNNNNNNNNNNNNNNNNNNNNNNNNNNNNNNNNNNNNNNNNNNNNNNNNNNNNNNNNNNNNNNNNNNNNNNNNNNNNNNNNNNNNNNNNNNNNNNNNNNNNNNNNNNNNNNNNNNNNNNNNNNNNNNNNNNNNNNNNNNNNNNNNNNNNNNNNNNNNNNNNNNNNNNNNNNNNNNNNNNNNNNNNNNNNNNNNNNNNNNNNNNNNNNNNNNNNNNNNNNNNNNNNNNNNNNNNNNNNNNNNNNNNNNNNNNNNNNNNNNNNNNNNNNNNNNNNNNNNNNNNNNNNNNNNNNNNNNNNNNNNNNNNNNNNNNNNNNNNNNNNNNNNNNNNNNNNNNNNNNNNNNNNNNNNNNNNNNNNNNNNNNNNNNNNNNNNNNNNNNNNNNNNNNNNNNNNNNNNNNNNNNNNNNNNNNNNNNNNNNNNNNNNNNNNNNNNNNNNNNNNNNNNNNNNNNNNNNNNNNNNNNNNNNNNNNNNNNNNNNNNNNNNNNNNNNNNNNNNNNNNNNNNNNNNNNNNNNNNNNNNNNNNNNNNNNNNNNNNNNNNNNNNNNNNNNNNNNNNNNNNNNNNNNNNNNNNNNNNNNNNNNNNNNNNNNNNNNNNNNNNNNNNNNNNNNNNNNNNNNNNNNNNNNNNNNNNNNNNNNNNNNNNNNNNNNNNNNNNNNNNNNNNNNNNNNNNNNNNNNNNNNNNNNNNNNNNNNNNNNNNNNNNNNNNNNNNNNNNNNNNNNNNNNNNNNNNNNNNNNNNNNNNNNNNNNNNNNNNNNNNNNNNNNNNNNNNNNNNNNNNNNNNNNNNNNNNNNNNNNNNNNNNNNNNNNNNNNNNNNNNNNNNNNNNNNNNNNNNNNNNNNNNNNNNNNNNNNNNNNNNNNNNNNNNNNNNNNNNNNNNNNNNNNNNNNNNNNNNNNNNNNNNNNNNNNNNNNNNNNNNNNNNNNNNNNNNNNNNNNNNNNNNNNNNNNNNNNNNNNNNNNNNNNNNNNNNNNNNNNNNNNNNNNNNNNNNNNNNNNNNNNNNNNNNNNNNNNNNNNNNNNNNNNNNNNNNNNNNNNNNNNNNNNNNNNNNNNNNNNNNNNNNNNNNNNNNNNNNNNNNNNNNNNNNNNNNNNNNNNNNNNNNNNNNNNNNNNNNNNNNNNNNNNNNNNNNNNNNNNNNNNNNNNNNNNNNNNNNNNNNNNNNNNNNNNNNNNNNNNNNNNNNNNNNNNNNNNNNNNNNNNNNNNNNNNNNNNNNNNNNNNNNNNNNNNNNNNNNNNNNNNNNNNNNNNNNNNNNNNNNNNNNNNNNNNNNNNNNNNNNNNNNNNNNNNNNNNNNNNNNNNNNNNNNNNNNNNNNNNNNNNNNNNNNNNNNNNNNNNNNNNNNNNNNNNNNNNNNNNNNNNNNNNNNNNNNNNNNNNNNNNNNNNNNNNNNNNNNNNNNNNNNNNNNNNNNNNNNNNNNNNNNNNNNNNNNNNNNNNNNNNNNNNNNNNNNNNNNNNNNNNNNNNNNNNNNNNNNNNNNNNNNNNNNNNNNNNNNNNNNNNNNNNNNNNNNNNNNNNNNNNNNNNNNNNNNNNNNNNNNNNNNNNNNNNNNNNNNNNNNNNNNNNNNNNNNNNNNNNNNNNNNNNNNNNNNNNNNNNNNNNNNNNNNNNNNNNNNNNNNNNNNNNNNNNNNNNNNNNNNNNNNNNNNNNNNNNNNNNNNNNNNNNNNNNNNNNNNNNNNNNNNNNNNNNNNNNNNNNNNNNNNNNNNNNNNNNNNNNNNNNNNNNNNNNNNNNNNNNNNNNNNNNNNNNNNNNNNNNNNNNNNNNNNNNNNNNNNNNNNNNNNNNNNNNNNNNNNNNNNNNNNNNNNNNNNNNNNNNNNNNNNNNNNNNNNNNNNNNNNNNNNNNNNNNNNNNNNNNNNNNNNNNNNNNNNNNNNNNNNNNNNNNNNNNNNNNNNNNNNNNNNNNNNNNNNNNNNNNNNNNNNNNNNNNNNNNNNNNNNNNNNNNNNNNNNNNNNNNNNNNNNNNNNNNNNNNNNNNNNNNNNNNNNNNNNNNNNNNNNNNNNNNNNNNNNNNNNNNNNNNNNNNNNNNNNNNNNNNNNNNNNNNNNNNNNNNNNNNNNNNNNNNNNNNNNNNNNNNNNNNNNNNNNNNNNNNNNNNNNNNNNNNNNNNNNNNNNNNNNNNNNNNNNNNNNNNNNNNNNNNNNNNNNNNNNNNNNNNNNNNNNNNNNNNNNNNNNNNNNNNNNNNNNNNNNNNNNNNNNNNNNNNNNNNNNNNNNNNNNNNNNNNNNNNNNNNNNNNNNNNNNNNNNNNNNNNNNNNNNNNNNNNNNNNNNNNNNNNNNNNNNNNNNNNNNNNNNNNNNNNNNNNNNNNNNNNNNNNNNNNNNNNNNNNNNNNNNNNNNNNNNNNNNNNNNNNNNNNNNNNNNNNNNNNNNNNNNNNNNNNNNNNNNNNNNNNNNNNNNNNNNNNNNNNNNNNNNNNNNNNNNNNNNNNNNNNNNNNNNNNNNNNNNNNNNNNNNNNNNNNNNNNNNNNNNNNNNNNNNNNNNNNNNNNNNNNNNNNNNNNNNNNNNNNNNNNNNNNNNNNNNNNNNNNNNNNNNNNNNNNNNNNNNNNNNNNNNNNNNNNNNNNNNNNNNNNNNNNNNNNNNNNNNNNNNNNNNNNNNNNNNNNNNNNNNNNNNNNNNNNNNNNNNNNNNNNNNNNNNNNNNNNNNNNNNNNNNNNNNNNNNNNNNNNNNNNNNNNNNNNNNNNNNNNNNNNNNNNNNNNNNNNNNNNNNNNNNNNNNNNNNNNNNNNNNNNNNNNNNNNNNNNNNNNNNNNNNNNNNNNNNNNNNNNNNNNNNNNNNNNNNNNNNNNNNNNNNNNNNNNNNNNNNNNNNNNNNNNNNNNNNNNNNNNNNNNNNNNNNNNNNNNNNNNNNNNNNNNNNNNNNNNNNNNCCGAGCAGUUCACCCUGGGGAGCCCCGAUUCUGUUCGUGAAAAAGAAGGACGGGUCGCAUCGGAUGUGUAUAGAUUACCGGGAGCUAAACAAGGUAACGGUGAAGAACCGUUACCUACUCCCGAGGAUUGAUGAUCUCUUUGACCAGCUUCAGGGAGCAACUUGGUUCUCCAAGAUUGAUUUGCGUUCGGGUUAUCAUCAUAUGAGGGUUAGGGAGGAGGAUACGCAUAAGACCGCGUUUCGGACGCGCUAUGGCCAUUAUGAGUUCGUGGUGAUGCCGUUUGGGCUCACCAAUGCUCCUGUCGCGUUCAUGGACCUCAUGAACCGCGUAUGCAGACCGAUGUUGGAUCGGUCUGUGAUAGUCUUUAUCGAUGACAUCCUAGUUUAUUCCAAGAUGCAGGAAGAGCAUGAGGAGCAUCUGAGAGAGGUAUUGGAGACCCUGAGGAGGGAGAGCUUGUAUGCCAAAGUUCUCCAAGUGUGAGUUUUGGUUGCGAGGUGCAAUUUCUCUGGCACCUUGUCAACCAAAACGGGAUUCUGGUCGAUCUGGCCAACGUCGAGGCCGUAAUGAGAUGGGAGGUUCUGAAGUCUCCAUCUGAGAUUCAGAGUUUCCUAGGAUUGGCAGGCUAUUAUGUGAGAUUCAUUCAGGACUUCUCCAAGAUAGUCGUACCCCUGACGCGGCUAACAAAGAAAGUCAUAGUCUUUCGGUGGGGACCCGAGCAGCAGGCGACAUUUGAGACGCUGAGAUGGAGAUUGUGCAAGGCGCCAAUCUUAGCCCUGCUAGAGGGCGUAGAGGAUUUUGUGGUAUACUGUGACGCGUCCAUUUCAGGGUUGUGCACGGUACUGAUGCAGAGGGGGCAUGUCAUUGCCUACGCUUCGAGGCAGCUCAAGCCUCACGAGGCGAACUACCCGACGCAUGAUUUGGAGUUGGGGGGGUGGUUUUUGCCCUCAAGAUUUGGCGACAUUACCUCUACGGGGUUCGAUGUACCAUCUACACGGACCACAAGAGUUUGAGGUACCUCAUGGAUCAGCCGAAUCUGAACAUGAGGCAGCGUCGGUGAUUGGACGUGGUGAAGGAUUAUGAUUGCGAGAUCCUUUACCACCCGGGGAAGGCCAACGUGGUGGCCGAUGCACUUAGCCGCAAAGCAGCGCCGAUCAGGGAUAUUUGCAUGAGGAUGACCAUAGUGACUCCCCUGUUGGAGCAGAUUUGGGAGGCUCAACAGGAGGCUAUCAAGGAGGAACAUCGGAAGAACGAGCGUGUGGUGGGUCAGGUUUCCUCCUUCGAUUAUGACAGCCGAGGACUAUUGACACUACACCGUAGGGUGUGGGUGCCAUAUCACGGAGGCGUGCGCCAGAUCUUGAUGGAGGAGGCGCAUAAAUCCCGAUUCUCUAUUCAUCCAGGGGCGACGAAGAUGUAUAGGGAUCUUCGUCUAGAUUAUUGGUGGCCCUGCAUGAAGCGGGAUGUGGCUUGGUACGUCGAGCGGUGCUUGACCUGCAGGAAGGUCAAGGCCGAACAUCAGAGACCGCAUGGCAAGAUGCAGUCGUUGGACAUCCCGUUGUGGAAAUGGGAAGAUAUCACGAUGGAUUUUAUCACGAAGCUUCCCAGGACCGCACGUGGAGUGGAUUCGAUUUGGGUCAUCGUGGAUAGAUUGACCAAGAGUGCUCAUUUUNGAUAUCACGAUGGAUUUUAUCACAAAGCUUCCCAGGACCGCACGUGGAGUUGAUUCGAUUUGGGUCAUCGUGGAUAGAUUGACCAAGAGUGCUCAUUUUAUUCCGAUUCAGGAGAGCAUAUCGGCCGAGAAAUUGGCCGACAUCUAUAUCAGGGAGAUCGUGGCACGGCACGGGGUGCCAGUAUCGGUUAUCUCGGACAGGGAUGUGCGUUUUACUUCCAGGUUUUGGAAGAGAUUUCAUGACGAAUUGGGCACUCGUUUACAUUUUAGCACCGCCUUUCACCCGCAGACGGAUGGUCAGAGUGAGCGGACCAUCCAGACUUUGGAGGAUAUGUUGCGGGCAUGCGUGUUGGAUUUCGGUGGUAGUUGGGAUACCUAUCUUCCCUUGGCCGAGUUCUCUUACAACAACAGCUACCACGCUAGUAUUGACCGUCCCCCAUUUGAGAUGUUGUACGGUCGGAGGUGCAGGACCCCGAUAUGCUGGGGUGAAGUUGGCCAGAGAGUCAUGGGGAGCACCGAAGUGGUGCUCAAGACGACCGAGAGGAUCCAGCAGGUUCGGAGCAAGCUUCAGACUACUCAGAGUCGGCAGAAAAGCUACGCCGACAAGCGCCGAUCUGACCUGGAGUUCCAGGUCGGGGAUAUGGUUCUCUUGAAGCUGUCGCCGUGGAAGGGCGUCAUUCGAUUCAGGAAGCGAGGCAAGUUGGGCCCGAGAUUCAUCGGACCGUUCCGAGUUGUGGCCCGGGUGGGCAAGGUGGCGUAUAGGCUGGAUCUACCAGUCGAGCUCAGCCAGAUCCACAGCACUUUCCAUGUUUCUCAGCUGCGGAAGUGCCUAGUGGACAUUUCAGCAGUAGUGCCGUUAGAGGAUAUUCAGGUUGAUGACAGCCUGAAUUACAUUGAGCGCCCAGUCGCAAUCCGCGACAGAAAGUCGAAGGAUUUGAGGAACAAGAGGGUGGAGCUCGUAAAGGUGCAAUGGCAGCACUGUAAGGGUUCGGAAUGGACUUGGGAGCCGGCGGACGAGAUGAUGGAGCAUUAUCCCAAGCUAUUUCAGGAUCGAGCAGCAGACUUCGAGGACGAAGUCUAAAAUAAGCGGGGGAGAUUUGUAGCACCUGGUUCCUGGUACGUAAAUCUUAUUUGAGUAUUUUCCAUUUUUAGCCUUGGACUCGGCGAGUCAUAGGUCUGACUCGCUGAGUAGAGACGGGACCCGGGACAUGUUUAAGUUGGUGACUCGGCGAGUCACUGCUGUUGGAUGAAACCCUAAGUUUCAGGGGUUUGCACCCUAUUUAAGCCUCAUGUCUGCCCCAAGCCAGCCCCCAUUCACCCUCAAAUCCCCCAACCCUCGUUCAAAGCUUAUUUCCUAGAGGGUUUGAAGCAUUUUUGUGUGUUCUUGAAGGUUUUGAGAAGGAAGUGGUGUAGAUCAAGAGGAAGGGAAGGAAGCCAAGCAUCUUAGUGUUCUCUCAGUGAUUCCUUCGAGGUAUAACCCGUUUUCCCUCUGUUUCUAUGCUUAUUACUCCAUUAAGUCUUUCUUGAGCCCUUCCCCAAGUUUGGUUGUGCAUUGUUGGAUGAUUCAAGAUGUUUAGCCUUUAGAUCUAGACCCUAUUCAGUCCCUGGAACAUGGAUCUACUGCCUUUAUAGACCCAUAUUGCUUGUACACUCUAGAUCUACCCCUUUUAGUGCACUUUAAGCCUUAAAAACCUUAUUGGCGAUGAUCUACACGUAAAGUUGGAAACUUUACGUGUAAACCAGGCCCUAGGAGCCCAGAUCUGUGGAUAGCAUAAGCUGGAUUCAAGCAAAAUCGACCAUAUAGAGACUGCAUGGUAACGACUCGGCGAGUCGUUCAUCUGACUCGGCGAGUAUGCUCGCGAGUCUCUGAGUUUGUCCCCUUUUCGUGGUGUCGAGUAGAGUAGUGAGUCACGGGGUGUGACUCAGUGUAUUGGAAGUCGGACUCAUCCACGCAACUCGGCGAGUCAUUGCCCUGACUCGGCGAGUUCAAGGCAAUCUUCUUAGAUCAAGAACAGACUCGGCGAGUUGUUCAUACAACUCGGCGAGUCUCAACAUAAGUGUUCACUGGAUGAAGAUGAACUCGGCGAGUAGGAUGAAGGACUUCAACAUCAGUUUGGAAGGAGAACUCGUCGAGUCAACGCCUAACUCGACGAGUAGAAACGGGAUUCAGGACAAUCGUUUGGGUAGGGACUCGGCGAGUUGGAGAGCCAACUCGGCGAGUCGGGUCAACUGAAAGUUGACUCUGACUUUGACUUAGGGCAUGAUCAGGGGUAAAAUGGUCAUUUUACCCAAAGGACAGUUAGCAGUGUUUGAUUGAGUAUGUUGUGGGAAUUGCAGCCGGAGGAUUUCCGGAGCAGCAGCAGCAGCAGUAGACAGUCAGUUCCCGAUCAGAUCAGCAGCUACUUCGAGGUGAGUUACCUUCCAGUAGCGGUGGGUCUACGGCCUCAAUGCCGGCCCACCAGUAGGAGUCGUAUGUUAGAUGAUUGUCUUUGUGAUAUCAUCUAGGUUUGCUGCUACCUGAUAUGUUAUAUGCUAGCAUGAUAUGUUUUAUGUGAUAGAGGUAGAGAUCGGUUGUUAGGACCGAAGGGCAGUUCGGACACCCCAGAAAUGUCUGACAGUAUAUGAUUAUGUGUUUGCAUGUUGGCUUGUUAUGUUAUAUGCAAUAGAGGUAGUAGGAGGGGACCAGUCCCCGAGUUCGGUUGUUAGGACCGAAUGGUAGUUCAGACACCCCAUAUAUGUUUGAUAAUAUGUUAUGUAUGAUAUAUGUGUUAGUAGCAGUAGGGGUAAAAUAGUCCCCGAGGCUCGAUUGUCAGGACCGACGGGUAGUCAGCACCCCAGAAUAGCUUGACACGUGUAGUCAGCACCCCAGAAUGGCUUGACAUGGGUAGGUUGGCACCCCCAUAAUGGCCGCACAGGUAGUCGGCACCCCAGAAUGGCCGUACCGGGUAGUCAGGCACCCCAGAAUAGCCUGGCAGUAUGUACGUUAUGUGUUGUAUGGUAUGUGGUACGAUGGGGGAACUCACUAAGCUUUGUGCUUACGUUUUUCAGUUGUUGUUUCAGGUACCUCUUCAACCAAGGGGAAUGAGCAGGCGCGGUAGCAGCUCAUCACACACACUCCUUGAUUCCGCAUUUAUAAGUUUACCCUGGGAUUGAUACUCUAAUAUUUUGGUUGUUUGACUGUUAUGGAUUUCAAAUUUGGUUUUCGAUGUGAAAUGGUUUAAUUAAGCAAUGUUUUAAUUAUUAAUGUUUUCUAAAGUAAUGUUUUAAAAACAAAAUUUUUGGACGUGAAAAUUGGGUCGUUACACGAAGUGUAAACACCAUGCUUGAAAGUUUUUUCGUCAUAUGACAUGUAACACACUUUCCCAUUACGUUGGUUACAUCCUAACAUCUUAGGCCAAAAGAAAUGUUCUUAAAGCUCCUCCAAAGUUUUGGUAAUGGAAAAAUGACUCGCUAAACCACCACCAUGAGCUUCACGAAUCAGCAACUCCUGUAUUACAUGUUUAGGGACACAAAGGUGGUUGCCUUUUAUGCCUUUAUGGGCUUGAUUAGGUGAGUAGGGUUGUGUUUAGGUAAAUUAAGCUAGAAUAACAACCACAAAUGAUACGUGUAUGAGAAGAAAUGGAUAGAUUAGUAAAAAAAUCAAGACAUUCUAACAUGUAUACCGGUGAAAACAAUCCAAGGCAUAUUUGAUUGAAUGUGUAUCAAGUCAAGAACACGUCACAACUAUGACAAGUAGUGAGCUAUUCUGAACAAAGGUUCUUUUGAAUAAAAUUUCAUCUAUCUAAUUUUUCCGUGCAAAAACUUUGCAUUUAUUAAGCAUUUAUUACAAAGUUGGUGGUUAUAAGCCACCCAACCAACUACUCAGUAAAACUAAUAAUGAAAAUUAAAGAAACUCAGGAAACCACACAAACAAAUGUCUGAGACACUAAUGAAUGAAAAAAUGGUCAUACUCCAUUAAGGAGCCAUAAGAAGCAUUAAAGUGUAACCCUAAUCCACCAAAGAGUAUCAAAAAUGGCUAGGAGGCUUUAUGAAGCGAAAGGUUAUGGUUUUGAGCACUUAUGAAGCCUUUAAAAUGUUGCCCUAUCUUUCAUGCGACCCUAAUUCCAUUCGUAGGUUACCACACACAACCUAACCAUUGAGCCAAAAGCACCUUCUAGCCUACUAGUAAUCACUAAUCCAUCACCUUGGGGUUUCAUGAUCCUUGUAUGGAUCAUCCCCUCCCCCUUUAAAAGGAAAUAACCUCAAUUCAUCAAGGCCAUACUCAACAAGAUAAGGUCAGAGGACUCCCACAUUAAAGGUAGCACGCACUCCAUGAUCUCCUCCCAAAUCCACCAGAUAAGCAUUAUCAUUGACAUCUGUCACCACUUUGUAAAGACCAUUUGCUCUUGGCAUCAGCUUUUGUUCUUCUUUUUGUUAGAAAAACGUUCUUUCCUCAUAUGCACCUACACCAAGUCACCAUCUUGAAAGACACGUGGUUUCCUAUGCAUGUUGGAAUUCUGUUUGUACAACUCUUACACUACUUCAAUCUACACACGAACUUGUUGGUGUAGUUUCAUCAUGGCCUUUAACUUGUCGUUAUCAUCGUUGUGAACUAAUUCAUCAAAAGGGCAAUGGAAUCAAAUCCAAAGUCAUGUGUGGAUACACACCAUACACAGUUCAAAAGGAGAGUGAGCUGUAGCAUAAGUAGGAGAACGAUUACAGGCAAACUCAGCAUGUGCAAGUUUGAUGUCCAAAUGUUUUUGAGUUUUUCUAACCAACCCCCUCAACAACGUAACUUAGUACUAAAAAAUAACUUAGUACCAAGUUUCCUCCACAAAGUGUUCCAAAAGUAACUGAAAAACAUGGAAUCCCUAUCAGAAACAAUAGUUUUUGGAAAAAUAUGCAAGCAAUCACGCACAUUAGAUGCAUCAUUGGCAUUAUGAAGUGGCACAAAGUGAUCAAUUUUUGAAAACCUAUCCACCACCACUAUAAUGGAAUCCUUCCCCUGUUGAGUUCUAGGCAUUUAAAUGAAUUCCAUUGACACAUCUUCCCAAGGACGAAUAGGAACCGACAAAGGAGCAUAAACACCAUGCUUGAAAGUUUUUUUCGUCAUCUAACAUUCAACACACUUGCCCACUAUGUUGGUUACAUCCGCAACAUCUUAGGCCAAAAGAAAUGUUCUUCUCCAAAGUUUUGGUAAUGGAAAAAUGACCAGCCAAACCACCACCAUGAGCUUCACUAAUCAGCAGCUCCCGUAUUACAUGUUUAGGGACACAAAGGUGAUUACCUUUUGAUGCCUUUAUGGGCUUGAUUAAGUGAGUAGGGUUGUGUAUGGGAAGAAAUGGAUAGAUUGGAAGCAAAUCAAGACCUACUAAGCUUUAUACCGAUUAAAACAAUCCAAGACAUAUUUGAUUGAAUGUGUAUCAAGUCAAGAACGUGUUUGGACUAUGACAAGUAGUGAACUAUAACUAUAAUUCAAAUUGAACAAAGGUUAUUUUGCUAAAAAUUUCAUCUAUGUCUUUUUUCCAUGCAUAAACUUGGCUUAUAUGAAGCCUUUAUUACAAAGUUGGUGGUUACAAGCCACCCAACGAACUACUCAGUAAAACUAAAAUUAAAAAUUGAAGAAACUCAUGAAACCGCACAAUAAAACGUCUGGCACGCUAAUGAAUGAAAAAAACGUCCAUGCUCCAUUAAGGAGCCAUGAGAAGCAUUAAAGUGUAACCCUAAUCCGCCAAAGAGUAUAAAAAAUGGCUAGGAGGCUUUAUGAAGCAAAAAGUAACGGUUUUGAGAAGUUAUGAAUCCUUUAAAAUGUUGCCCUAGCCUUUAUCCGACCAUAAUUCAAUUCAUAGGUUGCCACAAACAACCCAACCAUUGAGCCCAAACCACCUUCUAGCCUACUAGUAAUCACUAAUCCAUCACCUUGGCCUUUCAUGAUCCAUGCAUGGAUCAUCCCCCCCCACCCCCCUUUAAAAGGAAAUGACCUCAAUUCAUCAAGGCCAUCCUCAACAAGAUAAGGUCAAAGGUCUCCCACAUGAAAGGCAACAUGCACUCCACGGUCUUCUCCCAAAUCCACCUUAUAAGCAUUAUCAUUGACAUGUGACACCACUUUGUACGGACCAUCUGCUCUUGGCAUCAACAUUUGUUCUUCUUAUUGUUAGGAAAACGUUCUUUCCUCAUAUACACCUACAACAAGUCACCAUCUUGAAAGAUGUGGCUUCCCACGCAUGUUGGAAUUCUGUUUGUACAACUCUUUCACGACUUCAAUCUUCACACGGAGUUGUUGCUGUAGUUUCAUCAUGGCCUUCAACUUGUCAUUAGCAUCCUUGUGAACCAAUUCAUCCUUUGGCAAUGUAAUUAAAUCCAAAGGUAUAUAAGGAUUCACACCAUACACCACUUCAAAAGGAGAGUGACAUGUAGCGUAAGUAGGAGAACGAUGACAAGAAAACUUAGCAUGUACAAGUUUGAUGUCCAAACGUUUUUGAGUUGUGCUAACCAACCCCCUCAACAACGUUCCCAAAGUUCUAUUUGUCACCAUCGUUUGCCCAUCAGUUUGUGGAUGAUGGGAUGUACUAAAAAGUAACUUAGUACCAACUUUCAUCCACAAACUGUUUCGAAAGUAACUUAAAAACAUAGAUUCCCUCUCAGAGACGAUAGUUUUAGGAAUAAUAUGCAAGCGAACCACUUCUUUAAAUUACAAAUUAGACACAUUAGACGUAUCAUUGGUUUUAUGACAUGGCUCAAAGUGAGCAAUUUUUGAAAACCUAUCCACCACCACAAUAAUGGAAUCCUUGCCCUUUUGAGUUCUAGGCAAAGCCAUAAUGAAUUCCAUUGACACAUCUUCCCAAGGACGAAUGGGAACCGGCAAACGGAGUGCAAACACCAUGCUUGAAAGUUUUUUCGUCAUCUGACAUGUAACACACUUGCUCACUAUGUUGGUUACAUCCCAACAUCUUAGGCCAUAAGAGAUGUUCUUAAAGCUCCUCCAAAGUUUUGGUAAUGGAAAAUGACCCGCCAAACCACCACAAAGAGCUUCACGAAUCAGCAACUCCUAUAUUGCAUGUUUUAGGACACAAAGGUGAUUGCCUUUUGUUGCCUUUAUGGGCUUGAUUAAGUGAGUAGCAUUGUGUUUAGGUAAAUUAAGCUAGAAUAACAGCCAAAAAUGAUACGUGUAUGGGAAGAAAUGGAUAGAUUAGUAAAAAAAUCAUGUGACAAGUCGAAACUUCUACCUGGUACAUCUUGUUAGUUAAUCUAAGUUAAACUCAUUUUUGUUAAUUCCUAACACUGAUUAAGGGUUCAUUUAAGCGUUCUAAGCUUUAGUGCAACAAAGGUCGAGAUUAGGAAUGAGUCAGCAAAUCAUACAGUGAUAAAAUCCGGCCAUACACCCCUUUUGGACGAGUGUGCGGCCGCACACAUGGGUGUAAGGCCGUACACACUCCUCAUGCCCACACACCCACCCCUAUAUAAUGGGUAGACCCCUUUUCUUUCAUUCCGUUAACAUCCUGGCAGCACACAACACCUUUUUCCUCAAGACUCUUCAACCGCAAACCCGUCAUGUUCUUCAUCUCUUUGAAGGAGUGUGGCCUCACACCUACAUAGGUGGCCUCACACUCCUAAAAGACCCUCCAAAGUGAGAGUUGGACUUCCAUAUUCGAAUCGGACAUGAACCUAGCUUUGCUACACCUUAGAAUUGGCUUUUUAGGCAUCAUCAUGAAGGGUCUAUGACCGCACACACCUGUGUACGGCUGCACACACCUGUGUACGACCACACACACCCUUUUGGGGCAGCACACUCCUUGUGUGCGGCAGUACACUCCCGUGUGCGACCACACACACAUCCUAGGACCACAAACUCAUUUCUCAGACCCUAAACUUGUAGUACAACUUAGUAUGUACCUAGAACACUUCAUGGAUGCGAGUAUGGACCUUAAAAACACCUCAAAAGCACCUUCCAUCAUGAGUGUACGAUUGCACACCCAUUGGGCUACAUACCCAUGGCCGUACACACCUUUAUGGUGGCCAUACACCUCCCUCAUCCAAUCCUUUAAGGUUCUAGCACUUAGUGUAGGUAGUCCCAAGUUCCUAGAGUGGUUCUCCAUCACAUUUAGUAGAGAACUACCUUCAUUUGACUCCUUUAUGUGUCAUUGCAUGUUAAUUAGGAUCCAAUCCUAUUCAAGGCUUCACUUGAACAUCUGACAUUUCGUAUCGAUCUUUCAUUCAAAUCGCCCGAGGUGAGUUCAUACCCCUACUCUUUUCCGAGUUUUUCAUGUUUUCAGGGGGGAAUACAAGCAAAAGUACAAGGAAACUUGUGCUCAAAGUAUAUUAUUUUGUUUAAGAUAAUUAUAUUUUGAAAACGCUUUUAACAUGGAAAGUAGUUUUUACCAAACGAUUAAGAAAUCAACUUGUAGAAACAGUUUUCAAAACCAGGGUAACAAACUUGUGAAUCAUGUAAGGAUUCAUGCAAAUCAUAAACAGGACUAUCAGUAUUAUUAAUUGUAAAUUUGUUAGUCUAAGUUGGAGACACGUCCUUGGUAACACUCCCUCAGAAUCAGAGUGUAGGACUAGCACUUGUAACCAGAAUCUCUUGUAGGGAGAGCGCGAGUGUUAUGUAUAGAUAUACGGGACUGACAACCCCACACCUGGCUGAUAGCUACAGUCGGACCGGUAGGUCUAUGAGUGACAAAGUCAUAAAGGAUACCGGUCGUUGCGGGCCAUAUCCAGUCAGUUAUGGUUAUAAAACUCGUAACCUAGAUAGCAGAGAUUUACUUUUGUAAUAAUGAAUCAAGUGAACUAACCUCAAAGUAAUAACCGAUUUGAUUACUGGAGGGUAUUAAUAGUACCUUCAAGAUUUAAUUCAACAAGUUUUCUUUUAUUAGUUUUAUUUAUAUAAUAGGGCUAAUAUACCUCGCUGGGAGUAAACAGAGUUUUUAAAAGAAAAACUACGUUUAUCGAUAUAAAUAUGGUCACUUGUACACCUCAGUUUAGAACGGAUAACCAACCAUCAACUUUUAGAAAAAUUUAGGAUUUUCCCAGGAUAACUCAUCUUUUCAAAACGGAUUGUUUAAUAUGUGACUAACGGAUAUUCAUAUUCAUUCCAUGACUCCUUGAAUUGUACAUAUCCUAUAUGAAUCUAGAAGUCAUGGAAUGAAUGGGCUUUCAAACACACUUUUCAGAAGAAAUAUAGGAUUUUAUUGAGGAACAUUUUUCAAAGGAUUAAAGAAACAGUUUUCACCAAAACUAAAAUGCUUAUGAACUCACCAGCUUUAUGUUGAUAUUCUUUCAAAACUGCUUGUAUUCUCAGGGAAUUAGUAGACAGGUACUUCCAGGACUUUUGGAGAAGUCGGCGCGUUAGAGUCACGUCUUUCGAUUUUGCUUUUGUCAUGAACAAAACUAUGUACUAAGACAAUGUAAACCUUAUUCAUAUAUGUACUCAAUGUUUGGUUAUUUUUACUAUGCUUGCUAUGAUAAAACUGUUGUGAUACUACGCAUGACGUCAACCACCCCCGAACAUUUCCGCCGUUCCGGUUUGGGGGUGUGACAAAUCAAUACCUACUAAGUUGUAUACCGGUGAAAACAACACAAGACAUAUUUGAUUGAAUGCGUAUCAAGUCACGAACACGUCUUGACUAUGACAAGUAGUGAACUAUAUUGAACAAAGGUUCUUUUGAUUAAAAUUUCAUCUAUCUAAGUUUUCCAUGCAUAAACUUGCCAUAUAUGAAGCCUUUAUUACAAACUUGGUGGUUACAAGCCACCCAACCAACUACUCAGUAAAACUAAUAAUCAAAAUUAAUGAAACUAAGGAAACCACAAAAACAAACUUCUGACUCACUCAUGAAUGAAAAAAUAGUCCAUGAUCCAUUAAGGAGCCACAUGAAGCAUUAAAGUAUAACCCUAAUCCACCAAAUUCAAAUCCUAUGCAUGUUGGAUUUUUGUUUGUACAACUCUUACACGACUUCAGUCUUCACACGAACUUGUUGGUGUAGUUUUAUCAUGGCCUUCAACUUAUCAUUAUCAUCCUUGUGAACAAAUUCAUCCUUUGGCAAUGGAAUCAAAUCCAAAGUCAUGUAAGGAUUCACACCAUACACAGUUCAAAAGGAGAGUGAGCUGUAGCAUAAGUAGGAGAACAAUUACAGACAAACUCAGCAUGUGCAAGUUUGAUGUCGAAAUGCUUUUGAGUUUUUCUAACCACCCCCCUCAACAACGUAACUUAGUACUAAAAAAUAACUUAGUACCAAGUUUCCUCUACAAAGUGUUCCAAAAGUAACUCAAAAACAUGGAAUCUCUAUGAGAAACAAUAGUUUUAGGAAUAAUAUGCAAGCGAACCACCUCUUUAAAGUUCAAAUCAUACACAUUAGAUGCAUCAUUGGCUUUAUGACGUGGUACGAAGUGAGAAAUUUUUGAAAACUUACCCACCAUCACUAUAAAGGAAUCCUUCCCCCUUUGAGUUCUAGGCAAAGCCAUAAUGAAUUCCAUUGAAACAUCUUCCCAAGGACGAAUAGGAACCAACAAAGGAGUGUAAACACCAUGCUUGAAAGUUUUUUCAUCAUGUCACUUGUAACAUACUUGCCCACUAUGUUGGUUACAGCCCCAACAUCUUAUGCCAAAAGAAAUGUUCUUAAAGCACCUCCAAAGUUUUGGUAAUGGAAAAAUGACCUGCCAAACCACCACCAUGAGCUUCACUAAUCAGCAACUGCCGUAUUGCAUGUUUAGGGACACAAAAAUGAUUAUCUUUUGAUGCCUUUAUGGGCUUGAUUAAGUGAGUAGGGUUGAGUAUGGGAAAAAAUUGAUAGAUUAGUAACAACUCAAGACCUACAAAGCUGUAUACCGGUUAAAACAAUCCAAGACAUAUUUGAUUGAAUGUGUAUCAAGUCAAGAGCAUGUUUUGACUAUGACAAGUACUAAACUAUAACGAUAACUCAAAGUGAACAAAGGUUGGUGGUUAUGAAGCCUUUAUUACAAAGUUGGUGGUUACAAGCCACCCAACCAACUACUCAGUAAAACUAAAAAUGAAAAUUAAAGAAACUCAUGAAACCACACAAAAAAACGUCUGGCACGCUAAUGAAUGAAAAAAACGUCCAUGCUCCAUUAAGGAGCCAUGAGAAGCAUUAAAGUGUAACCCUAAUCCGCCAAAGAGUAUAAAAAAUGGCUAGGAGGCUUUAUGAAGCAAAAAGUAACGGUUUUGAGAAGUUAUGAAUCCUUUAAAAUGUUGCCCUAGCCUUCAUCCGACCAUAAUUCAAUUCGUAGGUUGCCACAAACAACCCAACCAUUGAGCCCAAACCACCUUCUAGCCUACUAGUAAUCACUAAUCCAUCACCUUGGGCUUUCAAGAUCGAUGCAUGGAUCAUCACCUCAUCCUUUGAAAGGAAAUAACCUCAAUUCAUCAAGGCCCUCCUCAACAAGAUAAGUUCAAAGGUCUCCCAUAUUAAAGGUAGCGCGCACUCCAUGGUCUCCUCCCAAAUCCACCUUAUAAGCAUUAUCAUUAACAUCUGACACCACUUUGUAAGGGCCAUCUGCUCUUGGCAUCAAAUUUUAUUCUUCCUUUUGUUAGGAAAACGUUCUUUCCUCAUAUGCACCUACACCAAGUCACCAUCUUGAAAGACACGUGGUUUCCUAUGCAUGUUGGAAUUAUGUUUGUACAACUCUUACACGGCUUCAAUCUUCACACGAACUUGUUGGUGUAGUUUCAUCAUGGCCUUCAACUUGUCAUUAUCAUCCUUGUGAACCAAUUCAUCCUUUGGUAGUGGAAUCAAAUCCAAAGUUAUGUAAGGAUUCACACCAUACAUAGUUCAAAAGGAGAGUGACCUAUAGCAUAAGUAGGAGAACGAUUAUAGGCAAACUCAGCAAGUGCAAGUUUGAUGUCCAAAUGUUUUUGAGUUUUUCUAACCAACCCCCUCAACAACGUAACUUAGUACUAAAAAGUAACUUAGUACCAACUUUCUUCCACAGAGUUGUAACAUUCGAAUCUAGGUAUAUUAUUUUAAUCAUCUAAUUUGAGAAUUUUAGAGGGACUCGACGAGUUGGUGCCUCAGCUUGUCGAGUAGGGUUUUGAAUGGUGACAAGGAUUAAUGAGUGGACUCGACGAGUCGAUGAAUCGACUCGCCGAGUCAACGUUGUUAACAGAAACUCUAAUUUUCUUGGGCAUGGGCCUAUUUAAAGGCACUUAUAGCCUCCAUAUCAUCUCGAUCAGUGCCCAUUCGACUCCUGAGAGAAACCCUAGCGUUUAUUGUGAGCAAGAGAGGGAAUGAGACUCAUUUGAAGUCAUUCUCUUAAGAAGAAGAGCAAGGUGCUUCAAGGAUCAAAGAGGAGAUCUUGUGGAUCUGUUUCAUCUUCAUUUCAGGCUUCAGAUCUAGGCAUAAGCUCUUACCUUCUUUGUUGAUUGAUUAGAUUCCUUGGUUGUGAAAUUAGGGCUUGUAUCACCUUUUUGAUGGGGUUUUGGGUGCAUCAAACCCCCUAGCAAGUCAUUCUAUAGAUCUGGACCUUGUAAGGUCUAGAAAGUCAGAAAGUAGGAAGCUAUGGCUGAGUAACCAUGGAGCUUUGAAGCUAAGAAGCUUUAAUGGAGUCUUAAUGACAUAAGAGCAAUAUAUUUCAUGCAUGGACAAUAAGAUGAGACCUUUACGUGACUUUUGGGUACCAGGAGACUAGAACUUUGAACUAGGGUUGUAGAUAUGACCUCAGAAGACCAAAUAAGAAACCCAAUGGAGACAACUCGACGAGUCUAUGAGAUGACUCAACGAGUCGGAGCGGGUUUGACCUGACACCCUUGACCCAGUGAUAACUCGUUGAGUUGGGGGUCAACUCAACGAGCUAAGUCAACCUUCACGAGACUUCGAGGAAAUCGAUGGGACUCGAUGAAUCACACGGGUGCACUUGGCGAGUCAGGUCAAUUAUGGGUUGUUGACUUGAGUUUGACUCUGUUGACUUUAGGGUUUGGUCGACAGAAGAAAUGGAGACCUGGGAGGGGUAAAAUGGUCUUUUAGCAUUCCAAGAGAUUGUAGAGAUAGGAGGAACAACCUUUGAUAUAUUUGAGUAUGAGUAGAGUAUUAAUUAGAGAUGUUUGCCUUAUGUGUUAGGCGGUGGUUGGUUCGAGAUUCGAGCGCUAGGAUUAGUGCUUGCUUUCUUUCGAGGUGAGUCUUCCCAUUAUACUUUACCUAGAGUGGUGGUUAUGUGUGACCAGAGGGACUUAUGUGAUUUCCCUAGUGUGCAUUUUCUAUGUGAUAUGUGUUGUAUGCUAUAUUAUGUGAUAUUUAGACUGGAUCAAAUGGUCCAACGGAUUAUGAGAUCCGAAGGUCCUCACUUAGACCGGACCAAAGGGUCCAACGAGCAAUAAGACCGUAGGAUUUUCACUUAGACCAGACCGAAGGGUCCAACAAGCAGUAAGACCAGAGGAUUUCACAUAGACCGGACUAAGAGGUCCAAUGAGCAGUGAAACCGGAGGAUUUUCACUUAGUCCGGACCGGAGGGUCCAACGAGCUGUGGGACUUAAGGGUCCUACUGAGACACAUUGACCAGAAGGUCUUACAGAGCUAUAGCCUCGAGUGGCUAAUUAUUUGUGUGUGGUAUUUUGAGGAACUCACUAAGCUUCAUGCUUAUCGUGUUAUGUGAUAUGUGUUUCAGGUUUUUCUCAGGAUUGCGGGAAGGCACUAGCUUGAUUGUACACAUCAAAGCAGGAGUUAUGCUUUGAGGAUCCUGGAUUAUUAAUCAAGCAAUUAUGGAUUUGUGUUUUAUAAAAUUAAACAAAUGAGAUUUUUGUGAUAAGUUUUUAUCUGAUUUUAAAAUGAAAAAUUUGUUCGAAAAUUUACGGUGUUACAAGUUUGUAUCAGAGCCUUAGUUUGAGGGAUUCGGAUGCACCUUCGGGUAUGUCUGGACUCAAACUGAGGAUUUGAGAAAAAAUUUCAAAAUACAUGAAUUUUUCUAAAAUGAGCAAAGAAUUUCUUAGAGAAAAACGAGAAGGAGCAAUGUGUACAAUCAGCUAGAGCCCGAACGGUGAUUUCCCAAAAUGCCCCUACUUUUGUGUUAUGAAUUAUUUAUGAGAUAUUAUGCAUGCUAGAGAGUAGGCUAGGUAUUUCAUAUUUUAGGACUAGACUGGCCUGAUUUAUGAUGCCUUAGCCUAGGAGCUGCUGCUAUCUGUGAUUUGCUUUUGAUUAUGCGCGGUGUAAGAGUAUCCAACAUGAAUCCUUUGGAGAAAGUUUUAAGUAGAGGAGUAAUCUAGGAGAGGUACGUAGACGAGCAUCAGAUGAGCCUACUGAGAAGUAGUUAGAUGCCCGCAUGAGGGUGGAGUUGCUUGAGUUCAGUGACACCUUUGAGUGUGUGUAGGGCAAGUGGAGUUGUAACUUAGAGUGGCUUUACGUGCUGGAAGAGAUUAUUCAAUGCACGAAUGCUGCUUGCUUUGUGCUUUGUGGAACUCUUGAUGAUGGGAGUCAGUUACUAAGUAAAUAUGACGAUAUUCAGGAGGUAGAUGGCUGGCAUCAUAAGGAGUUCUUCAGCAGCUGAUGGCAGAGAAGUGUGAGAACCUAGGAAGAGCCUAGAGAGUGACCUUUGUCAAGUGAGUAUGCUGAUACAGGAGAGUAUUCGCAGGAGAGCGACCAGGUAUGACGAGAUUAGUGAUUAAGGAGGUUGAGCAGCUACUUAGGAAAUUUGGGAUGAUUCGUGUGGAAAGUAUGGGUAGACGUGGCAGGUAGUAUGGGCCCGAACUAUUGAAAGCAGAGGACCCAUACUCAAUACAGGGAAAAUUCCAGAGGUUCUAAGUUGCAGAUUAAGAGGAGAUAUCAUGGUUCGAGUACCAUGAUUCGUGAAGGAUAGUGCUUCUGGUUUACCAGUUAUCCCGUUGAGAUUGACCAGACUGGGAUCAUAUAUGAUAGAGUGUGGGGCCAGAGGGCCAUGUUGGAAGAGUUUCAAUGGAGCAUACCUUGAAGAGAAAUCGAUUUGGUUUCCGAGAGAUUUUGGUGAGAUGUCAGUUGGAGUCGCAAGACUCAGGGAUGAGUAGAGGUGGUGCUUUACGGAGGAUUACGGUUUGAGCUAAGCAGUCAGCCGAUAGCGGAAAUGCCACUUUCUGUGACCAAAGUUGUGCUAUUUUCUGUGAUAAGCGGAAGGGAUAUUGAGCUUUCGGUUUCAGAGUUGGAGGUAGAUUGACAAUGAGAAUGAGACCUAUUGCUUUCAUGAUUUUUACGAAUUGGAAGCUGGUCGAGAGGUCAAAAUUGAAGUGGGUGAUAGUGCAUUAUUUCCGGACCGAGAGUUAGAACUAAUUUGGAACAGUGGGGUACCCGGCGGUGUGACGGUCUAAGGCUUCGAGAUGAAUAGAGGCAGUCACGUUGGGAGAAUUCUGAGAUGCUGUCAGGGACGGGAUAUUUGGAGAUUGUUUGGUUUCCACUGGGAAAGUCUUUGAGUGAUUAUGUGGUACGUUUCCAAGAUUCAAGUGUAAUAUGCCCGGUGAAGCAGUCUAUGGAGUAGAUUGUGGGUAUGCCAAUUGGUGACGAUUCGGACCCUAAGUGGGGGAGAACUAUAUAUUCGAGUGAUGAGAUCUGUGAUCCGUUCAAGUGAGGUUAGAGAAAUGAUUAUGGAGAUCUAUAGUGUGGUCUCAUGAGACAUGGGUUAUUGGUGAAUGAGGCGAGGUGACAGAUGGGAAGAUGUAUGAGUAUGUGUUUAAGAAAGGGUGAGUGAAUCCACGGUGAGUGGCCCUUGGUUAGAGGAUUUGUUGUGGCUUGGGACCUUUCGGGCUUACAAAUGUCAAGUUCAAGUGUGGUUGGGUUGCUGAAUUUGGGGUGUAAGAACAGAGAUUUGCAAGUAUGGGUAUAGAUUGUGAUCCAUACUCUAGGAAGGACAACAAUUUAAUUGUAAACCAAUUUUAGAGUUGGUAUGAGUAGUUCCGUAUGGGUAGUGAUCAGUCGAAGGUAGAGCUUCGGAUUUUCGUCAACGUGUUUUGAGUCAUUAUUGAUGCCUUUAGGUUGCAAAUCGAGAAUUGGAAUGUUCCAAGGUUAAAAGUGGUGCGAGAAGAAGAUCGGUUGUGAGAUUCUGAAGGGGCAAUGCGGUAUAUGAGUAUGAUGUUGUUAGUAUGACAUCAGUGGUUGAGGCAAGACAUCGUGAGGUUUUGUGAUGGUAUACUGAGGUAUCCGGGUAUGAUGUCCUAAAUUUCGAAGUAUUUUGAGUAUUGAAUUUGAGAUGGCAAGUGGUGUAUAAUGUAUUUAUGAUCCCAGUGGGAGCCCUUCGGCUAAUUGAUGUCAAGCGAGAUUAUUUAAGAAUGUGAAUUGCAACGAGAAAAGGGGUUUUGUCAUGACGGUUGCCAUCAGGAAUAGUGAGGCUUAUUUUGGAUGGGUGUGUGUGCACACCUAUAUUGAGUUGCGGAGCAUGAGUUGAUGAACUCAGUAUAGUAAUGACUUGACGAUGAGAUUAUGGGGUGAUAAGAAGGCAAGUGGAUUCGAGUGGGAGAGUGUUGUGAUACUGUGGGGAUCCGUAGUACUCCCUGGUUAGCGAGAGAGUGUUGUGAUACUACGAGGAGGAGUCGUAGCGCUCAAUAGUCGAUAUGAGUGAAAACUGUUCUGAGGAGAACUAUAGUUUUCACUAGCCGGAGCAAGACACGGAGGAGCUCCUAGGCUUGGGUAGCCUUACCAUUAGGUCUUUCGGAACUUGGUUGCUAGUUCAGGGGUGAGAUUGGGGUCUCCGUGUCGGUCAAGGUUUGUUGUAUCCCGGGUUGAGGAGGGAUUAUCCUAAAUGGAAGGAAUUGGAGAGUUGGUGUAGGCGUCAAUUCGUGAAUCGCGGGUGUAGGUCCAGUGUCAGAUUGGAAAUGAGUGGUUCCAACUCUGCGUCGGGCCAAACUCCCAAGUUUGAGUUGGAUUUAGUGGUGUAACAAGAAGGCGGAAUGAGAUUCCGGGCUCAGGAGUGAGUUCCAUUUUGAGAGAUAUUGUUAAUCAUCCAAUGUCUUAGACCUAUGUGGGUCAGUUCGUUUGUAAGGUAAGGACCGCGGUUGGAAUUGUAAUGUUCGCAUGGGGUAAAUUGAACUUCGUGACUUGUGUUUCAUACUGGGCCAAGAUAGUUAUUGUGAGAAAGAAGUCAGUGAGACAUUUUGGGUGUGCAAGGGGUAACCCUUGGAGGUACAACUGUUGGGUCGGGAGAUGACCUAGUGCUGAGUGCUAAAAGGGAUAAUUGAGAAGGAAGUUGGGGUUUGUGAUUGUUAUAUGUCAGAUGGAUGCUUCUGAGCAGAUAUGGUCUUUUUCUUGUGUUAGAGGGCAAGGUGUUGGGAGUUCAUUGUUUAGAUGGGUUUUAAUUGCAGUAUAGUGAGUGGGUAUCUGGUUUGAUAUGAUCCUUUCCAUUUCUCAGAAUAUGAUAUGGAUUGUUUAAUCUAUCUGGUUUAAGUGAUCGGCAACUGAUUUUUUUAGCAUUGUCUUGUUUCACUAAUCGCAAGAAGAGAAUUGGAAGGGCAAGGAGUUAUCGUGCUCUGCUAUUCAAGGAGCAGAUAACAUGGUGAUAUUUUGAGAGGGCGGUCUGACAGUGACACAGGCCACUAGUGUUACCAGAGUCUAGAGAGUCAGAAGGGGGAUCGUAACAGCAGAAGGGUCUAUCUUCUUCCGAGUUUGGGAGUUCCGGUUUGGAUUUAGGCGUUCAUGGAGGAAGAUAGUUAUGUAUUAUGAGAUCCUUUUGCUGGUAUUUUUGGGUUUGGGUUUGAUUUAUGUGUUGUUGUAGAGCGAUUUUGAGGGCGAAAUCAAAUUCAAGUGGGGGAGAAUUGUAACAUCCGGAUUUCCAGGUAUAUUAUUUUAAUCAUCUAAUUUGAGAAUUUUGGAGGGACUCGACGAGUUGGUGCCUCAACUUGUCGAGUAGGGUCGCAAAUGAUGACAAGGAUUAAUGAGUGGACUCGACGAGUCGAUGAGCUGACUCACUGAGUCAGCACUGUUGACGGAAACCCUAAUUUUCUCGGGCCUGAGCCUAUUUAAAGGCACUUAUAACCUCCAUAUCAUCUCCAUCAGUGCCCAUUUGACCCCUAAGAGAAACCCUAGCAUUUAUUGUGAACAAGAGAGGGAAGGAGGCUCAUUUGAAGUCAUUCUCUUAAGAGGAAGAGCAAGGUAGUGGAUCUGUUUCAUCUUCAUUUUAGGCUUCAGAUCUAGGUAUAAGCUCUUACUUUCUUUGUUGAUUGAUUAGAAUCCUUGGUUGUGAAAUUAGGGCUUGUAUCACCUUUUUGAUGGGGGUUUUGGGUCCAUCAAACCCCCCUUGCGAGUCAUUCUAUAGAUCUGGACCUUGUAAGGUUAAGAAAGUCAAAAAGUACAAAGCUAUGACUGAGUAACCAUGGAGCGUUGAAGCUAAGAAGCUUUAAUGGAGUCUUAAUGGCAUAAGAGCAAUAUAUUCCAUGCAUGGACACAAAGAUCAGGCCUUUACGUGACUUUUGGGUACCAGGAGGCUAGAACUUUGAGCUAGGGUUGUAGAUAUGACCUCAGAAGACCAAAUGAGAAACCCAAUGGAGACAACUCGCCGAGUCUAUGAGAUAACUCGACAAGUCGGAGCGGGUUUGACCUGGCACCCUUGACCCAGUGAUAACUCGUUGAAUUGGGGGUCAACUCAACGAGUUGAGUCAACCUUCACGAGACUUCGGAGGAAAUCGAUGGGACUUGAAGAGUCACACGGGUGCACUCGGCAAGUCAGGUCAAUUAUGGGUUGUUGACUUAAGUUUGAAUCUGUUGACUUUAGGGUUUGGUCAACAGGAGAAAUGGAGACCAUGGAGGGGUAAAAUGGUCUUUUAGCAUUCCAAGAGAUUGUAGAGAGAGGAGGAACAACCUUUGAUAUAUUUGAGUAUGAGUAGAGUAUUAAUUAGAGAUGUUUGCCUUAUGUGUUAGGCGGUGGUUGGUUCGAGAUUCGAGCGCGAGGAUUUGUGCUUACUUGCUUUCGAGGUGAGUCUUCUCACUAUACUUUACCUAGAGUGGUAGUUAUGUGCGACCAGAGGGUCUUAUGUGCUUGCCCUAGUGUGCAUUUUCUAUGUGAUAUGUGGUUUGUGCUUAUAUUAUGUGAUAUUUAGACCAGAUCGGAGGGUCCAACAGAUUAUGAGACCGGACCGAAGGGUCCAACGAGUAGUGAGACCGGAGGAUUUUCACUUAGACCGGAUCGGAGGGUCGAACUAGUUUUGGGACUGGAGGGUCCCACUGAGACACAUUAACACGAAGGUCUUACAGAGCUAUAACUUCGAGUGGCUAAUUAUUUGUGUGUGGUAUUUUGGGGAACUCACUAAGCUUCGUGCUUACCGUGUUAUGUGAUAUGUGUUUCAGGUUUUUCUCAGGAUUGCAGGAAUGCACAAGCUUGAUUAUACACACCAGAGCAGGAGUUAUGUUUUGAGGCAUCUGGAUUAUUAAUCAAGCUAUUACGGAGUUGUGUUUUAUAAAAGUAAACAAAUGAGAUUUUUGUGAUAAGUGUUAUGAGAAUUAUAUGAUUUUAAAAUGAAAAAAUUAGUUCGAAAAUUUACGGUGUUACAAAAGUGUUCCAAAAGUAACUCAAAAACAUGGAAUCCCUAUCAUAAACAAUAGUUUUAGGAAUAAUAUGCAAGCGAACCACCUCUUUAAAGUUCAAAUCACACACAUUAGAUGCAUCAUUGGCUUUAUGACGUGGCACAAAGUGAGCAAUUUUUGAAAACCUAUCCACCACCACUAUAAUGGAAUCCUUCCCCCUUUGAGUUCUAGGCAAAGCUAUAAUGAAUUCCAUUGACACAUCUUCCCAAGGACGAAUAAGAACCGGCAAAGGAGUGUAAACACCAUGCUUGAAAGUUUUUUUCGUCAUCUCACAUGUAACAAACUUGGCCACUAUGUUGGUUACAUCCCCAACAUCUUAGGCCAAAAGAAAUGUUCUUAAAGCACCUCCAAAGUUUUGGUAAUGGAAAAAUGACCCGCCAAACCACCACCAUAAGCUUCACUAAUCAGAAACUCCCGUAUUGCAUGUUUAGGGACACAAAAAUGAUUAUCUUUUGAUGCCUUUAUGGGCUUGAUUAAGUGAGUAGGGUUGAGUAUGGGAAGAAAUUGAUAGAUUAGUAACAAAUCAAGACCUACUAAGCUACAUACCGGUUAAAACAAUCCAAGACAUAUUUGAUUGAAUGCGUAUCAAGUCAAGAACAUGUUUUGACUAUGACAAGUAGUGAACUAUAACGAUAAUUCAAAGUGAACAAAGGUUCUUUCGAUUAAAAUUUCAUCUAUCUCCUUUUUCCAUGCAUAAAAUUAGCUCAUAUGAAACCUUUAUUACAAAAUUGGUGGUUACAAGCCACUCAACCAACUACUCAAUAAAACUAAAAAUGAAAAUUAAAUAAACUCAUGAAACCACACAAAAAAAGUCUAACACACUAUUGAAUGAAAAAAAAACGUCCAUGCUCCAUUAAGGAGCCAUUAGAAGCAUUAAAGUGUAACCCUAAUCCACCAAAGAGUAUCAAAUUGGCUAGGAGGCUUUAUGAAGUAAAAAGUAACGGUUUUGAGCACUUAUGAAGCCAUUAAAACGUUGCCCUAGCCUUCAUGCGACCAUAAUUCAACUCGUAGGUUACCACGCACAACCCAACCAUUGAGCCUAAACCACCUUCUACCCUACUAGUAAUCACUAAUCCAUCACCUUGGGCUUUCAUGAUCCAUGGAUGGAUCAUCCUCUCCCUAUUUGAAAGGAAAUGACCUCAAUUCAUCAAGGCCAUCCUCAACAACAUAAGGUCAAAGGUCUCCUAACUUUAUAUCAUGUGUGGUGUAGUUGACUUCAUGUGUCUUUAGCUUUCUUGAGGCAUAGGUGAUAACCUUACCUCAUUGCAUAAGAACACAACCGAGUCCUUGGUUGGAUGCAUCGCAAUAAACCACAAAGUCUUCUAUACCUUCUGGUAGGGAUAGUAUCGGUGCGCUGCAUAAGCCUCGCUUCAGUGUUUGGAACGCUUUUUCUUGUUUCUCUUCCCAGUCAAAGGACACGCCCUUCUAAAUCAAUGUUGUAAGCGGUUUAACGAUCAUAGAGAAGUUUUGAAUAAACCUACGAUAAUAGCCAGCGAGACCAAGAAAUUGACGAAUUUCUGUAGGUGUCCUGGGAGUUGACAUGUUCUCAAUGGCCCUAAUUUUGGAAGGGUCCACGUGAAUUCCUUCUUCGCUAACCACAUGACCCAAGAAUUCGACUCUUUGGAUCCAAAAUUCGCACUUUGAGAACUUUGCGUAGAGCUUCUCUGACCUGUCGCAGAUGUUGACUAUGCUCUUCCUUGCCCCAAAAGUAGAUAAGUAUGUCAUCGAUGAACACAAUGACAAACUGAUCUAAGUAAGGACGGCACACCCUAUUCAUUAAGUCCAUGAAUACUACACGUCCGUUGGUUAAUCCGAAUGGCAUCACCAUAAACUCGCAGUGUCCAUAACGAGUUCGGAAGGUUGUCUUAGGAACAUCCUCCUCUAAAACUUGUAACUGGUGAUAACCGGAUCUCAAGUUUAUCUUUGAAAAGUAACUCGCCCCUUGAAGUUGGUCAAAUAAAUCGUCUAUGCGAGAUAGAGGGUAACUAUUUUUGACGGUAAGCUUGUUGAGUUCUCUAUAGUCGAUACACAUACGGAACGAUCCGUCUUUCUUUUUCACGAAUAAGACCGGUGCUCCCCACGCCGAGAAGCUUGGUCUAAUAAAGCCUUAUUGAGCAGUUCGUUAAGUUGACUGGAUAGUUCCUGCAUCUCAGCUGGUGCUAGACGAUAGGGCGAUUUGGCUACUGGGGUAGCCCCUGGAACUAAGUCGAUUCUGAACUCGACUUGACGUUGUAGUGGCAAUCCUAGUAGUUCUUCCGGGAAGAUGUCGGGAAAGUCGCGAACUUCUGGGAUGUUCUUUAUGUCUUUUGUCUCUUGGCUCGUAUCGACACCAUGAGCAAGGAAUGCAUGAUGUUCUUUUCAUAAUUACUUCUGGGCUUGUAUACUUGAGAUGAUACGAAGGUUCGUGCCGGGUUUGUCGCCAUAGAUAAAUAGGGUUUCGUUAGAUGGUAGAUUAAGACGAACAACCUUCUUAUAACACAUGAUGUCAGCACGAUGAAGACUCAACCAAUCCAUGUCGAUUAUGAUGUCGAAACUUUUAAUUGAGACCAGCAUGAGGUCAAUUGGGAAUGAAUGGCUAUCUAGGGUUAGAGUCCAUCCUAUGUACUAGUGCUCUUAGUUUUUCCGUUAUCCAAUUCUACAGUGAACGGUUCUUCCAAUGUACGUGAUUUUUGUUUAAGUAAAUGAGCAAAUUUCUAGUUCAUGAAACUUCUCUCAGCUCCACUAUUAAAUAGUAUGCAUGCAUUUGAGUUAUCAAGGAGAAACAUACCAGUGACCACUGCAGGGUCGGCAACUACUUCCUCGUGGCCUAUAGCCAAAAUUCUUCCCACUCCGCCCGCGUUCCCUGCCUUCGGGCAGUUUUUUUGUAGUGACCCACCUUGCCACAUCCGUAGCAAGCCUGGCCCACACCAACACUGGGGACUUGGUUGAUUGGCCUUGCCGGAGACUUGCAGAAAUGGGCAAUGUGCCCCUUCCUGUUGCAGUUAGAGCACAGCAUUUCUCAGCAGGGUCAAAUGUUGUGGAAGCUGCACUUGGGCAAACUCCCAGCAUACUGCUUUAUCGGUGCAGUAGCAAUAGGUGCUAUCGUAGUAUGAACAACCACAACCUGCUGCUUCUUGGCAAAUUUCUGCGCUGCGUUGUUCUUUUUCUUGUUAUCCCAAAACUUCUGCUUGUUGUCAGUGGCUUUGGAUAGUUCUGGGAUGGCCAAGGUUAUUGUAGUUGGGGUGCGGACUCCAUGAUCGAUGAGCCGCUGUGCCAAUCGUUAGGCACUAUCGAAGGUAGUGGGGUUUGAAGCUAAGACAUUCCCCUGGAAUGGAGGCACCAGCCCCUAGAUAUACCUCUUAACUUUCUUUCCCUCAGUAGGGACCAUUCCUGGACAUAAUGUCACCAGAUCGCUGAAUCUGGCAGUGUAGGAAACUAUGUCGGAGCCCUUCAUGGUUAGGCUCUAGAGUUCUUGUUCUAGUUUCUGAACUUCUCCCCUUGGACAGUUUUCUUCAAUCAUGAGCUCCUUUAUUGCUUCCCAGCCCAUAGCAUUAGCCACUAUCAGGGUUAGUGACUUGACAUGUCUAUUCCACCACGUCGGGGCUCUGUCCACGAAGGUGCAGGCAGCAAAUUUAACUUUGCUCCCUUUCGGACAGGAGUAGAUCUCAAAGAUCGACUCCGUCUUCUCGAAACAUUGUGAGAGGGCAAUGAUUCCACCAGUCCCGUUAAAGGUCUUAGGCUUGUAGUUUGUGAAGUCCUUCUACAAGCACUCUCUAGAGCGCAAUGGAGCAUCACCUUGAGUGGAAUGCAUAGUUGUUCCACUUCCGCUAGUACCAUCAGCACUGAAAUGAGCUAAGUCUGCCAAAACAGCCACAACCACUGUAGCUUGGAUAGCUGCUGGAUUGAAUUGAGAAGGAGGUGAUGGUGGUUGAGUUCGAGUUAUCGGAGUACUACGCCUCAUCGAUUGACAUGGAGGCAUUUUUCAACUAAAAAUUUACAAAGAUGAAUCGCCAUACCCCACUAAUAGAUGAGAGUAUGAUUCGAAAUAGAGAUUUAGCAAUAGGAGAAUGAAAGCAUUUGGAUAAAGGUUUCCCAUAAGAUUAAAUGUAUGUCAAUGAUAUUAACAUUAACUAUGUAACAAGUUCGGGAAUAAUAACCUACGAGGAGGUCUUACAUCAACCAUAUAAGGAAAAUUUUGACAGUACUAAGACCUUACUAGACUAUUGAGUUCAAAGUCUCAUCAUAGACAGGAAAUUAAAACUAGAGCUAUUACAUAGACCUAAGUUAUAUGCAAAAGAAAAGUAGGGUAGACUCUACUGGCGACGAGAACGGCUCGGAUGAGUCCUUGAUUCUACAAGGCGACGUUCCAUGUCUCUCAUGUGCCUUUCAAACGUUGCAUGACAAGCUCGAAGUUCCCUGACUUCAGCUUGGGUUGUAGUGAGUUCUCCUUGCAGGGCCGCAUUCUGGCUCAGGGUUCUUCUAUGAGCAGUCUCUAGCUAGCGAAUGCGGACUGUAUUGACUCCCGCAUCGGUAUCAACCUCCAUGACUCGGUUGAUGGCUGCCAUACCCUGUUUGUAAUUGCGAGCAACCUUGCGAACCAAAAUAGGUAGGACUCUGUCUGUUGAGCCUCCCCGCUCAGAUUGUAAAAGCUUCGGUCUCCGUUGUAGGGUAAGGGUUGACCCUGUUCGUGACUCCAUCUAUUCAAGUUUGUUGCCCACUGAGGUAUGGGGCCUUGAAAUCCUGGUCGAGGGAUAGGAUUUAGGAUAGGAGCCACUAAGGGUAGGUUAUUGACUUCUGGCUCGGAAUCAGAAUCCUCUGGGAAGUCUUCUCCGAAUUCAUCCUCCAAAGGGAAUGCUUGAUUCUCAUCUGGCUUUGCAUCGAGCCAUCCGGCAUUACCUUGGUUGGGAAAGUACGGGUCGCCAGGGAGAUGGAAUCCAGCCAUGUUAUCUAGACGAGAAAAGAGAUGAAAGGGAUAGUUAAUAGACGUACUACUUAAGAUAAUUAUAGGAUGAUCUUUACCAGCUACUUCAAUACUUACGCAGUGCAUACUAAUUAAAAUAGGAUAGACCUUCGAAUAAGUGACCCUAACUCCAAAUCCACAACCAAACAAGGAACAGGAAGUAAAGCAAAGAUCACAGCUUCUGAGUCUAUAACACCCUAGUCACAUAUAACCUUAGCAUAUACACUCAGCAACUAUUGACCUAUUAAUAAAGACCCUUUAGUUCGCAAUUAAGUAAUUAUAGUAACAAAAAAUACUCCUAUAGUAUUUUACGUAUAUGUUCUAUUCUAAAGUUUUCAUUGUAACACAUUAGAUGCAUCAUUCGCUUUAUGACGUGGCACAAAGUGAGCAAUUUUUUAAAACCUAACCACCACCACUAUAAUGGAAUCCUUACCCCUUUAAGUUCUAGGCAAAGCCAUAAUGAAUUUCCUUGACACAUCUUCCCAAAGACGAAUAGGAACCGGCAAAGGAGUGUAAAAACCAUGCUUGAAAGUUUUUUUUCGUCAUCUCACAUGUAACACACUUGCCCACUAUGUUGGUUACAUCCCCAACAUCUUAGGCCAAAAAAAAUGUUCUUAAAGGACCUCCAAAUUUUGGUAAUGGAAAAAUGUCCCGCCAAACCACCAACAUGAGCUUCAAUAAUCAGCAACUCCUGUAUUGCAUGUUUAGGGACACAAAGGUGGUUAUCUUUUGAUGGCUUUCUGGGCUUGAUUAAGUGAGUAAGGUUGUGUAUGGGAAGAAAUUGAUAGAUUAGUAACAAAUCAAGAUCUACUAAGCUGUAUACCGGUUAAAACAAUCCAAGACAUAUUUGAUUGAAUGUGUAUCAAGUCAAGAGCAUGUUUUGACUAUGACAAGUAGUGAACAAUAACGAUAAUUAAAAGUGAACAAAGGUUCUUUUGAUUAAAAUUUCAUAUAUCUCCUUUUUCCAUGCAUAAACUUGGCUUAUAUGAAGCCUUUAUUACAAAGUUAGUGGUUACAAGCCACCCAACCAACUACUCAGUAAAACUAAAACCGAUAAUUAAGGAAACUCAAGAAACCACAUAAAGAAAACAUCUGACACACUAAUGAAUGAUAAAAAAACGUCCAUGCUCCAUUAAGGAGCCAUUAGAAGCAUUAAAGUGUAACCCUAAUCCACCAAAGAGUAUCAAAAAUGGCUAGGAGGCUUUAUGAAGCAAAAUGUAACGAUUUUGAGCAUUUAUGAAGGCUUUAAAAUGUUGCCCUAGCCUUCAUGUGACCGUAAUUCAAUUCAUAGGUUACCAUGCACAACACAACCAUCAAGCCCAAACCAACUUCUAGCCUACUAGUAAUCACUAAUCCAUCACGUUGGGCUUUCAUGAUCCAUGCAUGGAUCAUCCCCUCCUCCUUUGAAAGGAAAUAACCUCAAUUCAUCAAGGCCAUCCUCAAUAAGAAAAGGUCAAAGGUCUCCCACAUUAAAGGUAGCACGCACUCCAUGGUCUCCUCCCAAAUCCACCUUAUAAGCAUUAUCAUUGACAUCUGAAACCACUUUGUAAGGACCAUCUGCUCUUGACAUCAACUUUUGUUCUUCCUUUUGUUAGGAAAAUGUUCUUUCCUCAUAUGCACCUACACCAAGUCACCAUCUUGAAAGACACAUGGUUUCCUAUCCAUGUUGGAAUUCUGUUUGUACAACUCUUACACGGCUACAAUCUUCACACAAACGUGUUGGUGUAGUUUCAUCAUGGCCUUCAACUUGUCAUUAUCAUCCUUGUGAACUAAUUCAUCCUUUGGCAAUGGAAUCAAAUCCAAAUUCAUGUAAGGAUUCACACCAUACACAGUUCAAAAGGAAAGUGACCUGUAGUAUAAUUAGGAGAACAAUUACAGGCAUACUCGGCAUGUGCAAGUUUGAUGUCGAAAUGUUUUUGAGUUUUUCUAACCAACCCCCUCAACAACGUAACUUAGUACUAAAAAUUAACUUAGUACCAACUUUUCUCCACAAAGUUGUGACAACCCAAAAAUUUUUGUUUUAUAAGUCCAGACAAUCAAUCGAGAGUCAGACCCGUUUCUGUUAUCUUCUAGCAUUGUUUAGAGUUUGUUUGAGUGUUCUAAGCCUAGUACAUUCAAGGUUUGGGUUUAAUGAUGAGUUAAUUUAGGUUCUUAAUGUUGCACUCGGGCUAAUGUCACACCCCGAAACCCAGGGCGGAAACAUUUCCGAGGCGGACUCCACGUUGAGUAUCAAAUCCAAUGUAUAUAGUAAGCAAAGUAAACUACCAUUACAUUACAUAUAUAGAUUUACAUCUGUUUGAAAACGAAGAGGUACAGUUCUUAUACAUAAGUAUAUAAGAACAAAAGUAAAGACGCAUCUUCUACACAUUCCGUCUUCGCCAAAAAGGAUCACUGGGUACCUGUCCAAUGUUCAUAAGUGGUUUUGUUUUAUGAAAAUGAUGCAAGUUUCCUUUCGUUUUCUGAAAAUGUUACACACCCAAGAAAAUCCCAUAUUUUCUUAAUUGUAAAGUUUGGUUAUUUGUUUCGUUAUACAAAUCUGGUUAUGAACAACUGUUAUCCCAGGAAAAUCCCAUAUUUUCCUAAAAGUUGGUUACCGAGCUGAGAUGUAAUGUAAAAGAUGUAUACUGAAAACCUGGUUAUCCUUGUGAAAUGUAUUAGUUUUAUCAUGUACAUAAAACUAAUAAGUGUAAAGUAAACUGGUUACUAACCCAUUAUUACUAACAAGUAAAUCUCUGUUAUCCAAAUUGCGAGUUCCAUAACCAUACGAUAGACUAGAUAUGACAAUAAGUAGUCCACAUCACCUUAUGAAUUUCGUCACCCUUGAACCUUUCGGUUUGGCUGUAGCUAGCAGUCGGGUGUGGGGUAGUCAGCCCCGUAUAGAUCUAUACACUCAAGUCACGCUCUCCCUCCAGGAGAUUCUGGUUACGNGGGGGCGGUCUCACUCGCGUAUCUCUGUGGAGUGUUACCGAGGAUGUGUCUCUAAUUUAUAGGAAUAACAAAUUUACUAGUAAUAAUACAGAAAGAUACUGUUACAAACGAUGGUCCUCCACUCGCGUAUCUCUGUGGAGUGUUACCGAGGACAAAACAAUGUACUAGGUUUCAUGUUCAAAGCUCAAAGGUUAUGCUUUUAACUGAUAUAAUGUGGAAAACCAUUUGUGAAAAUAUAAAGUACAACAUUUUAUAAUGUUUUUCACAAAUAAUACGAUAGUGUGUUCUGCAAGUUCAAACUGUUAUCUGUUAUGAUUAUCAGUGUUAAAAGCAUAUGUAAUAUGGAACACAACACAUGUAAAACAAGUUUUGAGUACAAGUAUUCCUUGUACUUUGCUUGUAUUCCCCCCUGAAAACAGUGAAAAACAUUGAAAAAGAGUAGGGGUAUGAACUCACCGCUUAAUGUAGGGUUCGAGUGUCAACGAAUGCCCUGAAUGCCUAUGGCCCCUAUUAUUCAUGUGAUGACACAUAAAUGAGUUAGAACUAAGGUGUUUCAUGACUAAACAUGAUGGGAAAACAUCCUUAGGGCUUGGAAUUACUAAGAAUAAGUGUCCUAUGAUCCAAACUUAAUGAUUUAUGCAAGUUUAGGGCCAAAUAUGGGCAUUAGAGUGGGUGUAUGGUCUUGAAAAUGAGUGUGCGGCUAGGGAGUGUGGCCAGUUGUGUGUGUGAGGCAGCACACAAGAGUGUGCGGCCGUACAGAGGGUGUGUGCGGUCGUACACAUGAGUGUGCGGCCGUACACUCCACAUUUGAGUCCAUAUGAUGAUUUUUUAAGUUUUUGCUCUUCACACUUGAGAGUUUUGAAUGUGUGCUGCCCCCAUAUGAAGAUGUGCGGUCGUACACCUUCAAGGGACGAUGCAUAUGAUGAACAUGAUGAGUUUUAAGCUUGGGAUUCAAGUGUUUACCACUAUAAUCAGCUUGAAGAUGGAGUAGAUCACGAUUAUGAAGCCUUCAAAGUGUUCUUGGUUGAUGAUUUAGAGAGAGAAAGUAGAGAGAGGGAAGAGAAACAUCUAAAUGAAUGAAUGAAGGGGUUACCAUCCAUAUAUUGAAUUGGGUGUNGAGGUUGAAGGUGUUUGCGGCUGGGUGUGUGGCCGCACACACCUUAUUUUGUGAGUUUGGCCAGAUUUUGUGAUGCUAAACACUCUCCAACUUCUCCUAAGACUCAUAUCUAGAUUAUACUAAGUCUAGAGCACCCAUAUGGCACCACAAGAUUUAACAAAAGAUUAUGAAUUCAAGUUUUAGUGCUGAUACCCGGUUCAAUUACAUAGGUUAGAAGUUUCGGGUUGUCACAUUAUCCCCUCGUUAGAGGGAAUUUUGUUCCGAAAUUCAGAAUUAAGAUACAAAUCAUGGAUUUGGAAAGAGAUGUGGAUACUUCUGUCUCAUCGAGUCUUCGUGCUCCCAAGUGAAUUCCGGUCCCCGCUUGGCAUUCCAGCGAACCUGCACUAUUGGGAUCCGACUUUGUUUUGUACGUUUGAUCUCUCGAUCCAUGAUUUCGAUUGGUUCUUCCACGAAGUUCAAGUUUUCGUUGAUCUCGAUUUCAUCAAGAGGGAUCACAAGGGUUUCAUCGGGUAAACACUUCUUAAGAUUAGAGACAUGGAAAACAGGAUGAAUGUUACUAAGCUCAUGGGGUAAUCAAAGUUUAUACGCUAUCAGAUCGAUCCUGGCGAGGAUCUCAAAGGGUCCAAUGUACCUCGGAUUAAGUUUCCCGCGCUUUCUAAAGCGUACCAUGCAUUUCCAGGGCGAGACCUUCAACAGGACACGGUCUCCAACCUGGAACUCCAGAGGUUUCCGUCGGUUAUCAACGUAACUCUUUUGGCGAUCUUGUGAAGCUUUCAAUCGUUCCCAGAUUUGGAUGAUCUUCUCGGUGGUUUCGCGAAUGAUUUCAGGACUAGUGAGAGCACUGUUGGGGAAUCGACUCUUGGCUAGCUGCGUGCCUACCUCAGCCCAGCAUAGAGGGGAUCUACACUUGCGACCGUAGAGGGCUUCGAAUGGGGCAGCCUUGAUGCUGGUGUGGUAACUGUUAUUAUACAAGAACUCGAUCAAGGGUAGAUGAGUGGCCCACGACUUUCCGAAAUCAAUGACACAUGCUCUCAGCAUGUCUUCCAGAGUUUGGAUAGUUCUCUCAAUCUGUCCAUCUGCUUGAGGAUGGUAAGCCGUGCUCAUGUCUAGUUUAGUUCCAAGAGCCUUCUGGAGAGAUUGCCAAAAUCUCAAUGUAAACCUGCUAUCUCGAUUAGAGAUAAUGGACACAGGUACACCGUGCAAUUGAAUUACCUCCUGGAUGUAGAUUCGCGUAAGUCUUUCCAUCUUGAAUGAUUCUUUGAUCGGAAUGAAGUGAGCGAAUUUUGUCAAACGAUCAACAAUUACCCAAAUGGUAUCGUACCCACUCGGAGAUUUGGGUAACUUGGUGAUGAAAUCCAUGGUAAUCAUCUCCCAUUUCCACUCGGGUAUUUCGGGCUGUUGGAGUAGUCCGGAGGGUUUCUGGUACUCAACUUUUACCUUGGCGCAAGUCAAGCACUUGCCCACAAAAGUAGCGAUAUCGGCUUUCAUGUUUGGCCACCAAUAUUGUCUCUUGAGAUCCAGGUACAUCUUAUCCGAACCCGGGUGAAUAGAGUAUCUGGUCUUGUGUGCUUCCUCCAUGACAACAUCCAUGAAUCCUCCGAACAUUGGAAUCCAGAUUCGGUCCAUGAAACAGUAGACUCCGUCACCUCUGAUCUCAAGUUUCUUAUCAAUUCCCCUCAAGGCUUCGCUUGACACAUUCUCAGGUUUAAGGGCUUCUAACUGGGCUUCUCGGAUUUGCAUGGAUAAAUGGGAAUGGAUAGUCAUCAUCAGGGUCUUCACUUUGCGGCUCGAACUUUCCUUUCGGCUAAGGGCAUCUGCCACCACAUUGGCCUUGCCGGGAUGGUAGCGGAUCUCGCACUCAUAAUCACUGAAUAGUUCUACCCAUCGUCGUUGCCUCAUGUUUAAGUCCUUCUGAUUGAAGAUGUGCUGCAGGCUCUUAUGGUCAGUGAAGAUCGUACACUUGGUUCCAUAAAAAUAAUGUCUCCAAAUCUUCAGUGUUUGCUCCUAACUCCAGGUCAUGAGUGGUAUAGUUGACUUUGUGUGCCUUCAGCUGUCUCGAGGCAUAUGCAAUCACUUUUCCCCUUUGCAUAAGCACACAGCCUAAGCCCUGGUUAGACGCAUCAUAAUAAACAACGAAGUCCUCUGUUCCUUCGGGCAGGGACAGGACCGGUGCGCUACAUAAGGCUCGCUUUAACGUUUGGAAUGCGUUUUCUUGCUUUUCACUCCAACAAAAGGGUACACCUUUCUGUGUCAGAGUGGUUAGAGAGGUUUGGCGAUUCUGGAAAAAGUUUGGAUAAAUCUCCGAUAAUAGCCAGCGAGACCGAAGAAUUGACGAAUUUCUGUGGGUGUCUUCGGUGCCGACCAAUUCUCUAUCGCUUUGAUCUUGGAUGGAUCCACGUGAAUACCCUCUUCGCUUACCACGUGACCGAGGAAAGUUACCUUCCGAAUCCAGAAUUCACACUUGGAAAAUUUCGCGUACAGCUUUUCGGAUCUAAGGGUUUCCAAUACUGACCUCAAGUGUUGCUUGUGAUCUUCUUCACUUCUGGAGUAGACAAGUAUGUCACCAAUGUGUUCACUAUAACGCACUUGUCUAAGAAGGGACGACACACCCGGUUCAUCAGGUCCAUGAACACAGCCGGUGCAUUGGUUAGACCGAAGGGCAUCACUACAAACUCGUAGUGUCCAUAUCGAGUCCUGAAAGCUGUUUUGGAAACAUCACUUUCAUGAAAUCGUAGCUGAUGGUACCCUGACCUAAGGUCUAUCUUUGAGAAGUAACUAGCUCCCUGAAGUUGGUCAAAGAGGUCAUCGAUCCGAGGAAGAGGAUAUCGGUUCUUGACGGUCAACUUAUUAAGCGGUAGUCGAUGCACAUUCGGAAGGAUCCAUCUUUCUUCUUCACAAACAAAACCGGAGCUCCCCAGGGUGAGGAACUCGGUCUGAUGAACCCUUUGUUGAGUAACUCGUUGAGUUGGCUGGAUAACUCCUGCAUUUUCGUUGGGGCUAAGCGAUAUGGAGACUUGCCUACGGGGGUAGCUCCAGGAAUUAGGUCAAUGCGAAACUCAACUUGAUGUUCUGGAGGAAUUCCUGGAAGCUCUGCGGGAAAGACAUCAGGAAAGUUACAGACUUUGGGGAUGCUCGUGAGGUCUUUAACUUCCUGUUUCUCGUUAAUGACAUGGGCUAAGAAUGCUUGACACUCCUUCCGCAGAAGCUUUUGAGCUUUGAUGCAGGAAAUGAUACAAAGAUUGGAGCUAAGCUUAUCUCCAUAGAUCAUGAGAGUCUGACUAGAGGGAAGGUUGAGACGAAUGGCUUUUUCGUAACAGAGGAUAUCAGCAUGAUUGGGACUCAACCAAUCCAUGCCAAUGAUGACAUCAAAGCUCUUGAUGGAAACUGGCAUAAGAUCGAUGGGAAAAGAAUGGUCGUUCAGGGUAAGGUAACCUAUGAAGAUAUCGCUAGCGUUUUCUUUCUCACCGUUAGCCAUCUCGACGGUAAAUGUUUUGGUUAAUGGUUGGGAAUUAUGUUUAAGGUUAUGCUUGAACGAAUGACUAACAAAGCUUCUUUCGGCACCCGAAUCGAAAAGAAUACUAGCAUACGAUUUAUCAAGAAGGAACGUACCCGAGACAACGGUGGGAUCGGCGACUGCCUCCUCUCGUCCCAUGGCUAGGACUCUCUCGGUGUUAUCAGUUGUCGCCUUCUUGGGGCAGUUUCUCUUGAAAUGCCCGACUUCUCCACAAUUGUAGCAGGCUUGACCAACACCUGCUCUAGAAGAUUGAUUGGCUGAUUGGGCUGGUGCUUUGCAGGAUUGGAUCGUGUGCCCCUUUUUACCACAGUUGGUGCAGGUAAGUUCACGGCAGGGGUCGGGGUUAUGGUGAUAUUUACACUUUUCACAUUGAGGAAGACUACCAGCAUACCUACUAGUAGGUGUUUGAGCUGUGGAUCCCACAACAGAAGCAGCAACAACUGGGGUAGUAGCAGCAUGGACUGCUACUGUCUGCUGUUUCUCUGAGGACCCUUGAGAAGAUUGGCCCUUCUUCUUCUUCUUCCAAAACUUCCUUUUCUCACCACUACUCUUGGUCGGUUUGGGGGUGGCGGUUGUUUCCUCAACAUCAUCAUUGUGGUAAAUUAGGGUAUGGGCUAAACUUUUGGCGUUGUCAUAUGUAUCCGGUUUCGCGGCUAAGACGUUUCCUUUUGUUGGCUGGGUCAAUCCCCAGAUGAAUCUCUCUAUCUUCUUACUCUCCGGGGUAACCAAUCCCGGACAGAGUAGUGCUAGAUCAUCGAAUCUAGAAGUGUAUGCAGCAAUAUCAGAACCCUUCAUCUUCAGGUUCCAGAGCUCGUGCUCUAAUUUUUGUAUUUCACCUCGAGGGCAGUACUCAGCUAGAAGGAGUUCUUUCAUGGCUUCCCAACCCAUAGCAUUGGCUCGGCCGUUCCACCAAGUCAGGGCUUUAUCGAUAAAGGUACAGGAUGCGAACUUCACUUUGUCAGAUUCCGAACAGGCACAGAUGUAACAACCCGAAAUUUAUAUCCCUAAAUGUAACCCUUUUCGCGACUCGUUCCGAUCAUCCAAUCGCCGUUUCCGAUUUCGGUAUUUUAUUAAAGUCAUUAAUGUGGAUUUUAUUUUAUGACUUAAUGAGUGUCUUAAUACCCUUAGAACUCAUUCUAACGCCUCGUAUUAAUGAUCGGACAUUUUUAGAAACAACCAUAUCGGGUUACGGCAAUUUGGCCGGGUGCGAUCAAAAGCCCCGUCUAACGCCGGUAUCGGGUAGAAUUCUACCGUGUCCCGAACUUGGACACUAUUUAAAGUGAUCCAAGUCUUCAUUUUGAAGCUUUUGCUUCAUUCUACAACUAUCACUCCAACCUCUCUCCUCAAACUAGAUUUAAAGGUCCAAAUCUCAAGUUUAAGGCUUCAAAUCUUCAAGGUAUCUUCCUAUACUCAUUGUGUAUCAUUUUGGACCUUCAAAUUCGAGAUUAAAUCAUGAUUUAGAGCCUUGUAUAUGAGUUUACGGCCCAGGAAGGUGCUUAGGCCGUAAACCCAUAUUUAAAGGGUUUUUAAGCCCUUAAACCCUUCCAUGACUCAAACUAGACCUAGAUAUGACUUUUAGUAAUUUGGUAAUGGACUUAGAACACUUCAAACAUGAAUUUUGGGGGAUUUGUAUGAGUUUACGGCCAAGGCAUGUGCUUGGGCCGUAAACUCCUAAAGCAUGGGUGUAAACUCAUUUCCAAGGUGUUAGAAAGCCAUCCAACACCACCAAAAGCCUUGGAAUAAAUCAUAGAACCAACCAAAAAUAGUUUAGGGACCUUAAACAUAACAAAAACUCACAUAUGAGAGUUUACGGCCUUAGAACAUGCUCCAGGGCCUUAAACUCCUAAAGGUAUGUCAAUUGUGCCCCAAAUUCAUUUCAAGGCUUGUAGGAAUUUUUAGAAUCACAUGUGAUUAACUUUGGGACAUUAAAAUCACUUAUUCAAGGGAGUAUGAGAGUUUACGGCCGUAAGCUCCAUGCUAGGGCCAUAAACUCCCUUAAGUGAUGUUAUUUGAUGAAUUAAAUUAAUUCCAAGCCUUAGGUAAAAUUGUUCCAACUCUUCCCAAGUGAUAUUGGCCAUUUAAGCUCCAUAACCCUUGCCAACAUGAGUUCACGGCCGUGAACUCAUGUGUAAGUAGUGUAUAAGGCCGUAAACUCAUUAGGAAGUUUACUCUUGGGGAGUAAACUCAAAUCCCAAGUCCCUCGCUUCAAUUCUUGUCCGUAGAUAUCACCCGGGUCACUCCAAACACUCGUUUUGAGGUGUUUUCGUUCGUUGGAGUGUAACUUCAUAUCUAAUUAAAGUUUAUGAAUCUAAUUAGAUAUAUUUGUAUGCCAUUUCAUUUUACAUAGGAACCUCGCGUGUUAUCAGGCCUCGAUUCGACGUUUAGCAUCCGAAAUCGACACAUUUUCGCAUCCGGUGAGUUCAUACCCCUACCCUUUUAAAUGGUUUUUCAAUGUUUUCAGGGGGGGAAUACAAGCAAAAGUACAAGAAUAUAUUGUACUUAAAUUUACGAUUUCAGUUAAAGGGUUUCAUAAUUGUAUAUUUUUAAGAAUUGAAAACCUUUUAACAAACUAUUUUUAACUUGCAGAGUUGUUUGUUUUAACCUGAUUUUCAAUUCUUAUUAUACACUGUUAUAUUGUAUACUUUACGUUUGAUUGUUCACACAUAAACUGAUAGAACACAUAAACCAUUGUAAUGUCUGUAAUAAAACACUAAGGUUCGAGUGUAAAAGACAGACACCAUCAGAAAACAUAAAACAUCCGUAUGUCCUUAACAAUACACCUAGGCUCGAGUGUGAUAGAUAAAUACAAUCAUAAUACACAAAUCAAUUGUAAUGUCCUUAAUAAUACACCUAGGAUCGAGUGUAAAGGACAAUCAUCAUAAGAUAACACAUAUAUCAUUUGUAACGUCCUUAAUAAUACACCUAGGAUCGAGUGUAAAGGACAGUCAUCAUUAGAUAACACCUAGGCUCGAGUGUAAAGGACAGGCACGUUAGAACUUAGUUAGUCGUAGAUACUACUUCCCUAGGCGAGAAGUGAUGAGUAAUCUUAAAGAUUGGAGACACGUCCUUGGUAACACGUCCCGUGGCACGAGAGUGGAGGACUACCCCUAUAACCAGAAUCUCCGAACGUAGGAGAGCAUGACUUGAGUAUACGUAUAGAUCUAUACGGGACUGACAAUCCCGCACCUGGCUGCUAGCUACAACCGAACCGAAAGGUUCAAGGGUGACGAAAGUCAUAAAAAGGAUACUGGCCACGACUCGAGUCAUAUCUAGUCUGAGUAUGGUUAAGGACUCGCAAUCAAGAUUAUUAACGCUUUACACUUAUUUAUUAGUUUUAUAUACGCAAUAAAACUAAUGUACGUUCAAGGAUGACAGGCACACACACAUACACACAUUCAGGAAAACAUGGGGUUUUCCUGGGAAGAACACUGAACAUAACCAGAAUCGGUAAUGAUACACAUACACACAUUCAGGAAAACAUGGGGUUUUCCUGGGAAGAACACUGAACAUAACCAGAAUUGGUAAAGAUACACACACACAGUCAGGAAAACAUGGGGUUUUCCUAGGGAGGACACUGAACAUAAUCAGAAUCAGUAACAGUUCACACACACAUGUAGGAAAAUAUAGGAUUUUCCUGAGUAACAGUAGUAUGUAACCAGAAAAGUGUAACAAGUUAGAUAACUAAACUUUACAAUUCACAAUAAACAAUCAUGUUUUUCAUUGUACAUCGUUUACUUUACUUUUCAGAUUUGGAAAUUAACUUUACAUAAGAAAAUAUGAGAUUUUCUUGGAUAACCACGUUUUCAGAAAACUAAGGGAACUUGUACAUUUUCAGAAAACAAAACCGCUUAUGAACUCACCAACUUUAUGCUGAUUUUUAAACCGCUUGUAUUCUCAGGUUCACAUGAGGUACCCGAAGAUCUUUUGUUCGAAGACGGAGUUCUCAGAAGACUCGUUUCGUGUUGUUUAUAUAUGAUAUGUAUCACUUGUAUAACUUAUGCUUUUGAAACGAAUGUAAUGAAAUCUAUGUAGUGUAAUGUUUUUGUUUUACUUUGCUUAAUAUGUACAUUGGUUAUGAUAUUCCCAUGAAGUCACCUCCACCCCGAGAUGUUUCCGCCUUCGGUUUCGGGGUGUGACAACAGAUCUCGAAGAUAUAUUCGAUUUUCUCGAACCAUCGGGUGAGGGAAAUGACACCUCCAGUGCCAUCAAAGGACGUGGGUUUCGCGUUCAUGAAAUCUUUAUAGGAACCCUCUUUUCGAUGUCCCAAGCUAUCUUCUUGGUUUUGGGGCUGAGGACCACCUCCUGAACUACCAGGGUUCAUUUGAGACAUGGCGGCUGCUACUGCGGCAGUAACAGCUGCCUGGAACAUCACAGGGUCAAAUUGAGGAGGAGGUGGUGGCGUAGAGGAUUGUUGUUCUUUGAGCUAGGUCUCUUUCUUGGAGGCAUCUUGAUCUAUAAAAAUCAGGNAGUAAUAAAUUAUCAAAGCAGAUAAAUUAUCGCUAAAAGAAUGAUCGAGGAGCAACGCUUGAAUGAGGAUUUCUACAAAGGAUUGACUCGAGAAAUACUCCUAUAGUAUUUCAUGAUUCGCUACGACGACGGCUCAUUGUUUGGGUAUUGGGUAAGUUUUAGGUAUGUCGCAUACUACAGUCACUCCCAAACACAUGUUGGUCGUGUCUCGAAUGAAUAUAGUUGGCCAGGCUAUAUUGAUCCUAGACACGACUACAUAACUGCCUAGGUUUAACCGUAGCAUACAACACCCAUUUACUAUGUUUUGUUCUACUUGUAAAUACGGAUCUCGACGGUUAGGUAUACUUAUAUACUUUUUGAAAAUACUUAUAUUUUAAAGUAUACUUUUAGUUCAGAGCACUUAGGCCCCUUAGUGUUUAUAGUCUUAUACCAUGUAAGGUUUGGUAUACUUAGUUCACUAUAAACAUGGGCUUUGAUACCAAUCUGUCACACCCCGAAACCCAAGGCGGAAACAUUUCCUGGGCAGACUCCACGUUGAGUAUCAAAUCCAAUGUACAUAGUAAGCAAAGUAAACAACCAUUACAUUACAUAUAUAGAUUUACAUUUGUUUGAAAACCAAGAGUUACAGUUGUUAUACAUACAUAUAUAAGAACAACAGUAAAGACGCAUCUUCUACGCAUUCCGUGUUCGCCCAAAAGGAUCAUUGGGUACCUGUCUAAUGUGGACCUGAGAAUACAAGCAAUUUAAAAAUCAGCAUAAAGCUGGUGAGUUCAUAAGUGGUUUUGUUUUUUGAAAAUGAUACAAAUUUCCUUUCGUUUUCUAAAAAUGUUACACACCCAAGAAAAUCCCAUAUUUUCUUAAUUGUAAAGUUUGGUUAUCUAUUUCGUUAUACAAAUCUGGUUAUGAACAACGGUUAUCCCAGGAAAAUCCCAUAUUUUCCUAAAAGUUGGUUACCGAGCUGAGAUGUAAUAAGAUUUAUACUGAAAACCUGGUUAUCCUUGUGAAAUGUAUUAGUUUUAUCAUGUACAUAAAACUAAUAAGUGUAAAGUAAACUGUUUACUAACCCAUUAUUACUAACAAGUAAAUCUUUGUUAUCCAAAUUGUGAGUUCCAUAACCAUACGAUAGACUAGAUAUGGCUAUAAGUAGUCCACAUCACCUUAUGACUUUCGUCACCUUGAACCUUUCGAUUCGGCUGUAGCUAGCAGCCGGGUGUGGGGUAGUCAGCCCCAUAUAGAUCUAUACACUCAAGUCACGCUCUCCCUCCAGGAGAUUCUGGUUACGAGGGCGGUCCUCCACUCGCGUAUCUCUGUGGAGUGUUACCGAGGACGUGUCUCCAAUUUAUAGAAAUAACAAAUUUACUAGUAAUAAUACAGAAAGAUACUGUUACAAACGAUGGUCCUCCACUCGCGUAUCUCUGUGGAGUGUUACCGAGGACAAAACAAUGUACUAGGUUUCAUGUUCAAAGUUCAAAGGUUAUGCUUUUAACUGAUAUAAUGUGGAAAACCAUUUGUGAAAAUAUAAAAUACAAAAUUUUAUAAUAUUUUUCACAAAUAAUACAAUAGUGUGUUCUGCAAGUUCAAACUGUUAUUUGUUAUGAUUAUCAGUGUUAAAAGCAUAUGUAAUAUGAAACACAACACAUGUAAAACAUUGAAAACAAUGAAAACAAUGUAAUAUGUAGAACAUAUGUAAUAGUGUGUUCCUUGUACUUUGCUUGUGAUUCCCCCUGAAAACAAUGAAAAACAUUGAAAAAGAGUAGGGGUAUGAACUCACCGCUUAAUGUAGGGUUCGAGUGUCAACGGAUGCCCUGAACACCUAUGGCCCCUAUUAUUCAUGUGAUGACACAUAAAUGAGUUAGAACUAAGGUGUUUCAUGACUAAACAUGAUGGAAAAAACAUCCUUAGGGCUUGGAAUUACUAAGAAUAAGUGUCCUAUGAUCCAAACUUAAUUAUGCAAGUUUAGGGCCAAAUAUGGGCAUUAGAGUGGGUGUAUGGUCUUGAAAAUGAGUGUGCGGCUGGGGAGUGCGGCCAUGAGUGUGUGUGAGGCAGCACACAAGAGUGUGCGGCCGUACAGAGGGUGUGUGCGGCCGUACACUCCUAAUUUGAGUCCAUAUGAUGAUUUUUGAAGUGUUUGCUCUUCACACUUGAGAGUUUUGAAUGUUUGCUGCCCCCAUAUGAAGGUGUGUGGCCGUACACCUUCAAGGGACGAUGCAUAUGAUGAACAUGAUGAGUUUUAAGCUUGGGAUUCAAGUGUUUACCAUUAUAAUCAGCUUGAAGAUGGAGUAGAUCAUGAUUAUGAAGCCUUCAAAGUGUUCUUGGUUGAUGAUUUAGAGAGAGAAAGUAGAGAGAGGGAAGAGAAACAUCUAAAUGAAUGAAUGAAGGGUGUAUCCAUCCAUAUAUUGGAUUGGGUGUGAGGUUGAAGGUGUUUGCGGCUGGGUGUGUGUGGCCGCACACACCUUAUUUUGUGAGUUUGGCCCAAUUUUGUGAUGCUAAACUCUCUCCAACCCUUCCUAAGACUCAUAUCUAGAUUAUACUAAGUCUAGAGCACCCAUAUAAAAGAUGAUGAAUUCAAGUUUUAGUGUUGAUACCCGGAUCAAUUACAUAGGUUAGAAGUUUCGGGUUGUCACAGCUAAACACUCCAUCAAGAGGAGUGUACGACCGCACACAUGGGUGUACGACCGUACACUCAAGCUGGCCAUAAACCUAUGACCAUAUAUAAGCUAUUCCUUCAUUCCUUCACACUUUUCACACUUCCAAGUCUAGAAAAUCAGUUCUCUCUCAAGUAUCAUCAAGGUUCUUCAUCCUAAUCCUCCAAAAUCAUCUUCGAAUCAUCAUCUUUCACCAAGAACACAAAGAACACAUAGUGGUUCUUGUCCAUGAACCCCCUUCAAGCUUCCAAAUUGUAAGUAUCCUUUCCAUAUACUUAGUAUACAUUAGAACCACUUGAUUCAAAGCCUUGAAACAUCAUCAAACUUAAGAUCAUCAAGGGUGUACGGCCGUACACACAUCAAAACCCUCCAAAUUGAUAAUUUUCUCCAUCCUCUUGUUGUGAAUUUGUCACACUAGUUUCCCCAGGGAUCAAACACCCCCUUUUCUGUGACAACCCGAAGUUUGUUCCGUCGUCGUAACCCGUUCCGUCAUUAAAAAUUCGUCGUCUUGAAUUGUUUCCGGUUCGUUUCUAAAUUAAGCCAUUUAUUUUGAGUUUGCUAUUAUGAUUUAAUAAUUGUCCAAACAUGUUAGAAACUCAUGAAAAUGCCCCAAAUUAUUAUUUGGAAAAAUUUUAGUUUUAUUCCGUCGAGUUAUAAAACAAUUAAAUUUGGUACGACCAAAAGCCUCGCUUAACAUCAGUAUCGGGUAGAAUUCCACCGUGUCCCAAACUUUAAGAAUAUAUAAAGUUGAGAGAGCCUCAUUUUAAGGCUUUUCCACUCUCUCUCUACUCUCUCUCUCUAACCUCUCUCCUCAACUCCAAGUUCUAGGUCCAAAAAUCAUCCAAAACAAGCUUCAAAUCAUCAAGGUAACUAUCCUAGCUCCUAGUAUAACACCUUUGGCCUUCACAUUCGUGAAUUAUAUGAGAAAUAGGACCAUAAACAUGUGUUUACGGCCCUGGAACUUCCUUAGGCCGUUAACACAUGUAAAUGGGGUUUUUGAGCCAUAAAACCCUUCCAAACCUCAUUUGGAGCUUAGAUAUGACUUAUGGGCUUACCAAAUUGGACUUAGAACACCUUAAACUCUUCACUUAGGGUGUAAACAUGAGUUUAUGGCCCAAUCACAUGCUUGGACCGUAAACACCUAUUCAUGGGGAGUAAACUCAAUAUAAGGUGUUAAAAUGCCACUUAAACACCCCAUAAGCCUUGGAACUAGAAGCAACCACAAUCAAGUUAAGGACCUUAAACAUGCUAAAACUACCCCCAUAGGAGCUUAUGGCCGUAAACCCCCAAGAAUGGUUUCUUAGGCCGUAAACUCCUAAAACUUAGUCAAAUGGUGCCUUAAACUCAUUCCAUGACUUGUAGAUUUAGCUAGAAACACUUGUAAAGACCUAUGACCACCAAAACAUCAAAGGAGGGUGUGUGGGGGAGUUUACGGCCGUAAACUCUUAGUUUACUGCCAUAAACUCCAUUAGUUGGUCUAUAUGAUGGUUUAAUCCAUUCCUAUACCCUAGAUUUGAUCCUAGCCAAUUUUCCCAAGUGAUAUAAGACCAUUUAGCACCCUAGAACAACCCACCAUGAGUUUACGGCCGUAAACUCAUGGGGAGUGGGUCAUUAGGGCCGUAAACUCUCUUGGGAGUUUACUCAUGAAGAGUAAACUCCAUAUCCAAGCCUUAUACGUCCAUAGAUGUCACCCGGGUCACUCCAAACACUUGUAAUGAAGUGUUUUCGCAACUAGAAGUGUAUAUCCUCAACUAAUUUGUAGUUCAAAUCCUAAUUAGAUACAAAUGUGUAUCUUUUCAUAUUACAUAGGAACCUCACACGCGUUCAAGCCCCGAACUGACGCUUAGCAUCCUAGACGACGCGUUCCUCGACUGGUGAGUUCAUUCCCCUACACCUUUUUCAGUGUUUUUCAAUGUUUUCAGGGGGGAAUACAAGCAAACUAUAAAUGUUUUCGAAACUUAAAAACUGAUGUAAUUCUAUAAAUAUCUAGCAAACUUUUAGAUAUCUUUACCCCUUAUGUAUUAUGCGGAGCAUAAGGGAUGUUUUAUCGAAUAUAACCACAUGGAUUUCAGUAAAAGAAACAAUCAACUAAUCAAAUUAUUAUGGGAAUAAUUUGGGAUCUUCAGUUCUCGUUUUGUAAAUUCGGAUUUCAUGUAAUGUUAAUAUUAAUACUAUGUCUGAUUCAGUUUAUCUUUGUUUAAUGUAAAGUAUUAUGCCAGAUAGUUUCUAUGUAUUCUACUAUUUAUACGUUAUUAUGUUUCAAAACGAUUAGUAUGUUUGAUAACAUUCGAGAACACCGUGAAUAAAUUAAUACUAGCUUGUGAGAUUUGUCAUUAUUAAACCCUUUGGGUUAUCAGUAAAUCCUCCCCGGAAGUGUAACCAGAGUCUCCUGGAGGGAGAGCGUGGAAUUUGUGAAUAGAUCUAUUCGGGACUGACAAUCCCACACCUAAACUGUUAGCUACAGUUAGGCGGGCACGCUUGGGGUGACAAAUUCUGGAAAUCGUCCGACGUCUAAUGAACGUCAAGGAGGUCUCGGUGUCGUAUUAGCAUGGUUACCCGACUCACAAUACGUAUUAUUAUAAGUUUAUUCAUGGACUUGAUUUAUAUCUAUCUUCAAUCUAUAGUUCUUAUAUCUAGUAUGGGAUGGUAGUCCCAUGGUUUUCAAUCUAUAUCUAAUACGGGAUAGUAGUCUCAUGGUUUUCAAUCUAUAUCUAGUACGGGAUAGUAGUCCUAUGGUUUUCAGUCUAUAUCUAGUACAGGAUGGUAGUCCCAUGGUUUUCAAUCUAUAUCUAGUAUGAGAUGGUAUUCCCAUGACUUUCAAUCUAUAGUUUUGUGUAUUAAAACUACCUUAUAUCUAGUACGGGAUGGUAUUCCCAUGGCUUUCAAUCAAUAUUUUUAUGUAUUAAAAAUAUCUACUGUUGUACUGGAUGGUUAUUCCCAGUGGUUUUCAAUAUAUAGUUUUAUGUAUUAAACUAUACACUGUGGUAUUUAACUAAACUUUACUUUUAGGAAAAUAAGGGUUUUUCCUGGGAUAACUGAACUGUACAUAACCGGAUCGUAUAAUAAACAGAUAACUAAACUAUACUUAUAAGAAAAUAUGGGAUUUUCUUGGAUAACAAACUUUUUCGGAAAAUCAAAGGAAACAUGUUCAUUUUCAGAAAAAAAACACUUAUGAACUCACCAGCUUUAUGCUGAUUUUCAAACUACUUGUAUUCUCAGGUCCACAUUAGACAGGUACCCAGCGAUUCUUUUGGCGAAGACGGAGUACGUAGAAGACACGUCAUUACUUUUGUUCAUAUGAUAUAUAUAUAUAUAUAUAUAUAUAUAUAUAUAUAUAUGUGUGUAUGUAUGUAUGUAUGUAUGUAUGUAUGUAUGNNNNNNNNNNNNNNAUAUGAUAUGUAUAUGUAUAACACAUGUAACUCUUGUUUUCAGACAAUGUAAAUGAAUCUAUGUAAUGUAAAGUUUUGUGUUUACUAUGCUUACUAUGUACAUUGGUUGUGAUAUUCAUGACGUCCUCCACCCCGGAACAUUUUCGCCUUUGGUUUCGGGGUGUGACAUUUUCUACAUGUCUUCCAUGAGUCUACGGUCGUACACUCAUGUGGCCGUACACUCCCUUGGGUGCUCAUAAACUCCCUUUAGUCAAUCGCAUGUGAUUGUAACACUUCCUAGAAAGUGUUUCCUAGUCCCUAAAGGUGUUUCCUUGCAUGUUAGUUGUUUUAAACACUAAUUACAUGCCUAUAUAUGGCAUUAUCUGUCACAUAGGACUCGUUUGUGUCUCAGAAAUUCAUUCGUGGAACUUCUCAUCCUUACUCGAAUAUGCUAUUGAACUACCCACAUAAGGUGAGUUCAUACCCAUAUAAUCACUCAUUUAAAUGUUUUAAAUGCUUUUAAGGGGGGGAUACAAGUUGAAUACAAUGAUAAUUGUGUAAAUGUUUAUCUGUGAUAACCUUCACGUUAACGGAUUUCUUAUGCUCUUAUAAGUGAUCAAAACCAUUUCAAAAACUCUUUUUAAGUUAUGUUACUUUAUUGUUUAUAAAACACCGUUUUUAAAGUACGAGUCGUUACUUUAUUGUUUAUCAAAACCAUUUCAAAAACUCAGUAGAUAAUCGAGUCGUUUCUGCAAACCAGAGACAGUUCAAAACAAACAAACUAGUAAACCAUAAUAGGUAUAGUUUAGGGGUUCAACACAUAUUAUAACUAGAACAGGGAGGAACCUACUAUAAAGAGAAACAGGGAGGAACAUACAAUAUACUAUAAUAGAAGAACAAAUCAUGAUUAACACACUUAUACUAAUUAUUCACAGUAACCUAGGAAGGGAACGUAUCAUUAACUCAUUGUUCUAAACAGAAGAUGAUAAUAAAAGUGGUAUAAGNAUAUAUAUAUAUAUAUAUAUAUACAGAGAGAGAGAGAGAGAGAGCUAGGUUCAAAUGUUUUUAGCAAGUAUUGUGUGCCUAAAUGCACCAAUGAGAAUUCAAGAAAUAACAAAUCAUUAAAUAAAUCAUUAAAGGGUACUUUGGACAUUUUGUACUUUUAAUUAAGGAAAUAAUUUAAUUUAAUUCUUGCAAUUAAGGAAAUAAAGUAAUAUAUUUGACCUAGUCAUUUGAGUUCUCGUUUAUAGGUGUGCAUAUUCCAACCCUAGCACAUCUAUUUCUUUUUUGUGGCCUUCUUUAGCAACCAGCGAGAAGAGAGGGCGAUAUCGGGAAACUCCCCGGAGCUACCAAACUCAAGAACAUCGCCGCCAAGGUCUUCAACCAGUCAAUUUUCCAUUUCGAUCUAUUUCCCAAGCCAAAUCUUAAACGUCGGUUGGAUACUGUUUGUGAUUAUCUUGAAAAAUGCCCAGUAAUCGAUUGCAAAAAUUCGUAUUGAGGGAUUUGGGAGGCAUCGACAUUCAACCAUCGUGAGAACAAGCCUUAAUUUAUUUUCUACAAAGCUCCGUUCUUUUCCUUUUUUUUCUUUCGUUGCCUCUUAAUAACACUACACAUCUUUGUAAUAUGAAAUUAGGUUUGUGCGUGGAUUGAUACCGAUUGAUCGAUGGCAGAAUUGCAUUGCAUAGGUAAAACACCUUUCUAUUUUGUAUGAGUUUCUUUAUUGGUUGGUUUGAUGAAAUAGAUUGUUAGGAUAAUCAAAAAGUAAAUUGCAAAUUGUUGUUUUGUAUAGGAAACCGAGAUGAGUUAUGAAUUAUGUAUAUUUGUUUUAUUUAUUUAUUUUAGUUUUUUUUUUAAUUUCGUAAUUUUCUAAUAUGCAAGCAAGUUGCAAUUAUGGUUUGUAAUAGAGACGAAAAGCUUACUCCAAAAACAGUAUAUAUCCUCAUUAUUUUAUUUAAAGAGUAGAUAUCCCAAAAAGAAUAUAAUUAUUAUAUCACUUCAAUUUUUAGUUGUUGUUUAUAUGUGUGUGUAUGUAUGGAAAACGUUUCUAAUUGAAUUUCAUACAGUAUACUAAAUUUGAUGAAUCUUAGAUGAUUUUGUUGUAUUUAAUUACAUACGCCAAAAAAGAUCCCAAUAUACAUGCCCUCAAAUUGAGGCUUUUGGUUUUUGGUUUGCAAUAUGUUUUUGGUUUUCUAAUUUGAGGUUUUUGGUUCAUGUAUGUUUAUAGAUUUUUCAUUAUGCCCUACAGGUGUUUGAUGUAAUGCCAAAGAAUACAUUUCAACAAAAUUUGGUCUUUUUGAGAACAUAUAUGUGUUCUUAACGUAUUUUUUACCCAAAUCUCUUACAGAACAUAACAAAUACAAAUGCAUCUUACAUGUAAUUUUUUUUGUGUUUCUAUCUGUGUAUGCUUUUGUAAAUGCCAAAAAUGAGACUAGAUGAGCAUGAAGGUACAUCAUAAACUACAUCUUUGUAGUUAUUAAUUCAAGAUACAGCUUUGUGUUAACAUGAUCUUUUCCUGCAUUUAUAUUUCAAAUGUUUUGUUCGUUGGGUAUAUUCUUGAUAAUACAAAUUGUUUAAGUAUAUUUAAAAUCAUUCUGCAAGAAUAAUUUGUUCUGGAAGAAUAUUAUUGUUGUAUUCUGAUAGAAUUGUAGUUAAUUAGUUAUAUGUUUAAUGUGUAGUUGUUACAAGUGUAUCAUUACAAAAUAUUUAGCAAUGAAUUUGUAAUAGAUAGCUUGAAGACCUGACGGGAAAGGCUCCUUGUAUAAAAUCAUUCUCAUGCAAUACAAUUCUGACAGAAUGUCAAUCUCACAAAAUGUCAAUCUCAUACAAUGUUAGCAUAUUUUGAAGUGGCUUAAGGUCAAACAUAUACAAAACAUAUAGAAACGAAACAAGAAAAUGAAUGAGGAUUCUUUCAAGAAUGCCAAUAUUUUUUUUGCAAGAGAUUCAAGAAUGAAUGUAGUUUAUGUUCAUAGUUGAAUUCGUUAAUAAUGAAUUUAAUUACUUAUUCUAGAUUAUUAAACUUCGUCUUAUAUAAAAUUUUUAACAAUUAUUAGUUUUUGAUGUAUUUGUGAUAGGAAUGGCAGGAAGAAGGCGUUGAAGACCUUGAUAUUCUUUUAGAAUAUGUAUAAUUAUAUUAAAAUGUAUAAGGAUUUUAGUCUAUAAGAAAAUGUAUGAAUUUGUAUUUAAGUUCAGAUGUAUAAAAAUAUAUUAGAAUGUUUGUUAUUUUUCAACAUCUGAUUCAAGAAUUUUGUUUUUCUUCAAUGAUAUUCUAUUAGAGUAAAAUUCUGAAAGAGUAUCAUUCUAACAAAAUAAUAUUCAAUUAGAAUAAAAUUCUAAAAGAGCAUCAUUCUAACAAAAAAUAUUCUGACAGAAUAUAAUCGGUAAAAAUUGAAAUUGAAUUAAUUAAAAAAAUUCAGAUUUUUUUAAAUUAGGAGAACUAAUCAUCCCUAAAAAUCUGAAAAUUUCCUUUUAUAAAAGUAGUUAAUUGUCCAAAAUACCCUUUUGUUAAAAAUUGUGUAAUUAUAUGGUACAUGUUACCCCAUUGUAAUAUCUCAAAUCAUGUCCAUUGAUUAAUUUCAUCCGUUGGUCCAGAUCUGUGCAUUCUGGCAUACAAUACUUAGUAAAAACAAAAUAACCUAAGCCUAUAUAUAUAUAUAUAUAUAUAUAUAUANCCUGCAAGUCUACGGGUGACAAAUGUCAUACCAUUUCGAUGUGGUUUUAAGUGGUUUUAAGGUAGUUAAUACAUUCAGUUAAGAGGGGGCGUAUAAUGCUAACUUUAUGAUACCUUAGUAGAUACAUCAGGGUUAUAUAUUAAUCGGAUCCAACAGAUAGUAGGAUGUGUGCUUUCCGCUUCAUUUCAUGUUAAUACAUUCAGUUAAGAGGGGGCCUAUAAUGCUAACUUUAUGAUACCUUAGUAGAUACAUCAGGGUUAUAUAUUAAUCGGAUCCAACAGAUAGUAGGAUGUGUGCUUUCCGCUUCAUUUCAUGUUCCUUGUUUGGUUGUGGGCUUUGAGCAGAUGCACCUAAUCUAUUAUCUAUUCAAUCUUAGUCAUAUAUAUAUAUAUAUAUAUAUAUUCCGUAUACACCAAGUAAUCAUAAGGUGUAUAGGUAUAGGUCAGGUCAUAACAUACUAAGUCAAUACACCGUUUUCUAGUACAAAAACAUACUUUUCAGUUAGAACAUUUAGUAGGCCAAACUAGAAACUUAUCAGGAAAAGGGUUUAAUCCAUAUUAUUAAACCGGUAUAACUUAAAGGACCUUUAGUGGUUAAUUCUAUUAUACCUUAGUUUAUACAUCAAGGUUAUAUAUAAUUAAUACCCGUUAGGCAGUUGGCUGUGUGCUUUCCGCCUUACUUCCUGUUCCUUGUUUGGUUGUGGGCUUAGGGGAGAUUCACCCAAUUAACUACCCGUUCGAUAUUAGAUUAUAUAUAGCUAGUAUAAACUAAGUGAUUACAGAAGGAACUAUUGUGGUUACCAUUUUUACUGAAGGAAAUAAGGGUUUUUCUUAAAGAAUGUUUUCAUCAAAGAGGAUCUAAACAAACAAUGGGAUGUGUGCUUUCCACCUUACUUCCUAUUCCUUGUUUGGUUGUGGGCUUAGGGCAGAUUCACACAAUCGAUUGUCUGUUUACUCUAAAUUAUAUAUAACUUUUAUCCAUUUAGUACCUAUAGAAAGGAUUGUAGAGUCAUUUUUACUUAUCAUUCAUCAUAUCAGAAAAUAUAGGAUUUUCUGGAGGAAUAGGCGAAUUUUUCUAAAAAGAACUUGUAGUCUACUUUUCAUAACUAAAAUACUUAUGAACUCACCAGCUUAAAUAUUGAUCUACUCUUUCAAGUUAACUUGUAUUCUCAGGAAACUAGAAGACACGUUCGUGCUCUGGGAUUCAGAAGAUGAAGUAUAGUAGCUUCAUGUCUUGGUUUGUUAUUUACCUUUUGGAUUCAAUCUUUUGUGAAUCACUACUUUGUAAACAAUAUAAUAUUAAUACAAUGUUACUACUAUGAUUACUGUGAUACAUGUGUUGUGAUACUAAACAUGACAUCCUCCGCUCGCGAAAGUUUUCGCCAUUCCGGUUUGGGGGUGUGACAGAUUGGUAUCAGAGUAAUGUUUAUAGUGAACUGAGUAUAUCAACCUAUAAAAGAUAUACAACUAUAAAUGCAAUAGGGCUGUAGUGCUUUGUAUAAUAAUAUGUUUUAAAAAUAUAACAAUACCUUAUAAAGGUAUACAUACUUGCUUAUACAUAUAUACAUAAUAGACCAAGUAUCACAAGAAGAACAGAACAAAAGUAUUUAAAGGUUGAACACUGCAUUCAAACCUGGAUAGUUAUGUAAUCAUAGUUGGGAUCAAUAUAACCUGAUCAACUAUAUUCAUUUGAGAUAUGACCAACAUAUGUUUGGGAGUGAUGUGGUGUUGCAACAGUCUUAAAACUUACCUAACUCUAUGCACAAGGGAAUUCUAGAUCAGAACAAAAAGUUAAAAUACUAUGAGAGUAUUUUAUGAUACUAUAAGACAACAAGUUUAAAAUAUAUAUAUAUAUAUAUACACCAAGUUCAUUACAUUAAAAUACUAUAGGAGUAUUUUAGGCACUAUAAAUAACUUACGUGAAAAUUUAAAAGAUCCUUCUGGUAGGUCGAUAAUUCUGGAGUAUAUACUCCCAAGAUUUUAUAUAAUUGAGAUUUUAUAGACUUAGAAUUUGUGAUCUAUGCUCUACUUCAUGUUCCUUGCUUGGUUGUGGUUUUGGAGUAGGAACACUUAUUCGAAAGUCUAUUUAAUCUUAAAUUAUAUACAACUUAUACCAUGUAAUUAUAGGAGGACCCGGUAAGGAUCACCCCAUAAUGUUUCACUUAGUCUUAUAGAUUCUUUAGACACUUCCGUUCGCAUACAACAAACCCUGAUAGAUGUAACCACUCCAUCAUAGCAGUCAGCAGACGAGUCAAGGAAAGACAACAAGAGAUUUCCAAGAAAGGACCAGCCGGAGAAACUAAAACGUCUUAUGCGUCACACUAAUAAAUAAUUACCUUAUUUGACUUAGUGAGCUAAUAAUUUCACUACUCACACUAUGUGUUUGGAUUAUUUCUUUUCAUGCUGCCAGUAUCGGUUAUUCAAUUCACAGAAAUUCAUUUCGAGGAUAGCCACUUCUGAUUCAUAAAGUUUAUUUUAUAUAGACUCCCUUUUAUGAAUUGUUUCCAGAACCCUAUGAAAGUCGGAACCAGAUACAUUUAGAACUAGGAUAACUUAGUCUCUCAGCUUUUGGCUUAUAUCCACCACUAUAGACUUAUUUCCAUUUCAUCUUUGUAUACUUUUUAGCAAGAUGCCUCCACGUCGAUCAGCGAGACGCACUACUCCGAUAACCUCAACUCAAUCUCCACUACCUCCUCCACAAUUCAAUCUUGCUGCUCUCCAAGCAGCGAUAGCCGCCGCAGUAGCAANNNNNNNNNNNNNNNNNNNNNNNNNNNNNNNNNNNNNNNNNNNNNNNNNNNNNNNNNNNNNNNNNNNNNNNNNNNNNNNNNNNNGGGUCGUACAAGGACUUCAUGAGCUGCAAACCCAAAUCCUUUAAUGGAAAUGGUGGAGGCAUUGCUCUGAUGCGAUGGUUUGAGAAAACAGAUUCAGUCUUCGAAAUCUGUCUUUGCCUAGAAGGGAGCAAAGUGAAGUUUGCUGACUGCACCUUUUGUGAUAGAGCCCUGACAUGGUGGAGUGGUCAUAUUAAGUCAAUGACCCUAUCAGUGGCUAACUCAAUAGGUUGGGUGAACCUGAAAGAGAUGAUGUUGGAAGAAUACUGCCCAAAGGGUGAAGUUCAAAAGCUGGAACAAGAACUAUGGGAGCACACUAUGGUCGGCUCAGACAUAGCGACCUACACUGAUAGGUUUAGCAACCUGGCAGCACUAUGCCCUGAGAUGGUUACCUUGGAGAGUAAGAAGAUAAGAAAGGUACAUUUGGGGUUUAUCUACCCUGAUUCAAGGAGAUGUACUGUCUUCUAAACCAACUACAUUCGAUAGCGCCAAACACUUGGCCCAACGACUCAUUGACCAUGGAGUUCGCCAUGGCGUAGGCGACCCCUAUUCCCGAGCCAUUGAAGGGAGGAGACUAAAAACGGAAGUUGGGGAAAAAGAGGAAGGAGCGAACAGCAUAGGAACCCCCACAAGAGCAACCAACGGUUACUGUACACGUCCCUACAAAACCUACCGCUCCAGCACCUGCCAGUCAAUAUGCUGGAACACUCCUGAAGUGUGGCAAGUGUAACUAUCACCACACUGGAAUGUCUCGGGAAAUGUCGUGCUUGAAUUGCCACAGGAAGGGGCAUACUACCUGUUUCUGCAGGGCGCCGACACAACCGAUCUCCCAAGUCCCCGGAGUAGAAAUAAACCAGGCCUGCUAUGGCUGUGGUGAGACAUGGAAAUACAAGAGAGACUGCUCGAUAUCGAAGAACUCAGGAGCGAAUGGCCUAAUUCUGAUGAUCACCGCACGGGAAGCUAUCCCGGAGUCCCCAACGACCAAUGGUACGUCUUCGAAUUAAGAAUUGAUUUAAAAAUUAAUUUAUAUUUAUAUAAGAUUAAAACUUGGGGAAAACAUUUAAAAGUAAUUAUAAUAACUCACUCAUCUGAACAAGUCACAACAUUCAUAAGAACACAAAAGGUCCAUUCUGGGAAGCUAUAAUGGCUUAGUAUGUACAUCAGGGUUGUGCAUUGCUAAGAUUUUGCUGAUUUAGAGUGAGUGAUUCCGCCUUAACUCUUGUUCCUUGUUUGGUUGUGGAUUUAGGGCAGAGUCAUUCAGUCGACCGUCUUAUUCAUCUUAGUUAUACAUAACUUGUAUAUGCAAGGCAAUCAUAAAGGUACCGAGGAGGAUCAUAAUAUAAAGAAUCGACACUAGUUAUCAAGACACUUGCACUGUUUAUACUCGCUCUUAGCAGUACAAGUGUGACAGUGGUAGCAUCAAGGAGAAAACAAAAAGCACUAGAACAUUUACACAGAGUACAUUGUCGAACACACUUGGGAUAUAUCAUCGUAUAUCAAAUGUUUCUUUCAAAUCAGCCUAACUUUUGUUUUUGUAAGAGUCCGGUGUCAUCAUUCGUCAUGGAUUGGCAUGAUCCUCACCAUACUAAGUUCAUAUGUUUCCAUCGCCUUGACCGUGAAAUCCAUGAAACCCUUGUCAUUUGUAACAACAACCCGACCUAGACCUUAGUAUUGUCUCUUGUCUUCUAAACCCCAAAGUACUCAUGUGAGGAGUACCUUGCCCUCCAAAACCUUGCCGCCGUAUAUUCAGCAAACCUUCCCGAACUACCACGCAUCCAACAGAUCAAGUUCCAGCAUAGAGGCUAAGGACAAAUACAUCCCACCUAUCACUAAUAAGUGUAUAUGCUAGAGUGGUAUAUACUUAUGAUUAUGCAGAUUUAGUAUGUGUGUUUCCGCCCUAUCUCCUGUUCCUUGUUUGGUUGUAGACCCACGGUAGAAAUGCACAUCCGACCGUCUUACUAAUCUUAAUUAUAUAUGACUUGUAUACACGAGGUAAUGAUAGAUCGACCAAGUAUGAAUCCUAUCAUGGACAUUAGGGCAAAGUUGCCCAGGUUUACAAGUGGGUCUUCUGCCAAUCAUAGGAGCACAGCCCUAGGAGUACUGCUAAAGAAAGCUAAUUUCGGGACGAAAUUCCAUCCAAUGGGGGGAUGAUGUGACAACCCAAAAAAUUUUGUUUUAUAGGUCCAGCCAAUCAAUCGAGUGCCAGACCCAUUUAUGUUAUCUUCUAGCAUUGUUUAGGGUCCAUUUGAGUAUUCUAAGCCUAGUACAUUCAAGUUUUGGGUUUAAGGAUGAGUUAACUUAGGUUCUUCAUGUUGCAAUCGAUCCAAACACUCCAUCAAGAGGAGUAUACGGCCGUACACUCAAGGUGGCCGUGAACCCAUGGCCAUAUGUAAGCUAUUCCUUCAUUUCUUCUCACUUUUCACACUUCUAAGUCUAGAAAAUCGGUUCUCUCUCAAGUAUCAUCAAGGUUCUUCAUCCUAAUUCUCCAAAAUCGUAAGUGAUUCUUCUAUCCUUCUUGAUAUCUUCCCUAGUUAUGUAUCAUCUCAUGAUUCAUCCAUGAAAACAACUCUUUAUGGUAGAUUUUCAAAUCUUCAUCCAUUUCACCAAGAACACCAUGAACACAUACUUGUUCUUGGGUCGUAAACCCCCUAAAGACCCUCAAAAGUGUGAGUAUUCUCUCUAUCAUCUAGUUAGACAUGUUAAACACUUGAUUUAUAGCCUUAAAACGUCAUCAAACUCAAGAUCAUCAACGGUGUACCGCCGUACACACCUCAAGUCCUUUCCAAAACGAAAGCUUUGUUCAUCCUCUUGUUGAGAAAUUGUCACACUAGUUUCCCCAAGGAUCAAACACCCCAUUUUCAUGUUCUUCCAUGAGAAUACGGCCGUACACCCUUGGCCGUACACUCCAUGAGUGGCCGUAAACUCCCUUUAGUCAAUCACAUGUGAUUUUAACACUUCCAAGCAAGUGUUUCCAAGUCACUAAGGGUGUUUCCUUACAUGUUAGUUGUUUUAAACACUAAUUACAUGCCUAUAUAUGCCAUUAUAUGUCACUUAGGACUCGUUUGUGUCUCGAAAUUCAUUCAUGGAACUUCUCAUCCUUACAUGAAUCUGCUAUUGAAUCACCCACAUAAGGUGAGUUCAUACUCCUAUAAUUAAUCUUUUAAAUGUAUUAAAUGCUUUUAGGGGGAUACAAGUUGAACACAAUGAUAAUUGUCUAAAUAAUUAUCUUUGAUAACCAUCACAUUAGAGGAUUUCUUAUGCUCUUAUAAGUGAUCAAAACCAUUUCAAAAUAUCUUUUUAUGUUAUGUUACUUUAUCGUUUAUAAAACACUGUUUUUAAAGUACGAGCAUAGCUUGGUAGAUAAUCAAGUCUUUUCUGUAAACCAGGGACAUUUCAAAACAAACAUAUUAGUAAACUAUAACAGGUAUAGUUUAGGGGUUCAUUACAUACUAUAACUAGGACAGGGAUGAGCAUACUAUAAAGAGAAACAGGGAGGAACAUACAAUAUACUAUAACAAAAGAACGAAUCAUGAUUAACACACUUAUACUAAUUAUUCCCAAUAACCUAGGAAGGGAACGUAUCAUUAACUCGUUGUUCUAAACAAAAGAUGAUAAUAAACGUGGUAUAAGGAUAUAUAUAUAUAUAUAUAUAUAUAUAUAUAUGCUGCAUCUACAAAAUGCCAUGAUUUAUAUAUGUAUGGGGUACAUCUAGAAAGUACCAGAGUUAUAUAUAUGGGGUACAUUUGCAAAGUACCGACGUUAUAUAUGGGGUACAUUUACAAAGUACCAUAUUUAUAUAUAAAGGGGUACAUCUACAAAGUACCGGACAAUAAUAAAUAAAACACAUAACUUCCUAGUAACUUGAACAUUCAGUAGAAAGCGGCCUAUAAUGCUAACUUUAUGAUUCCUUAGUGCAUACAUCAGGGACAUAUAUAAAUCGGGUUCGACAGACAGUAGAAUGUGUGCUUUCUGCUUCAUUUCCUGUUCCUUGUUUGGUUGUGGGCUUAGAGCAGAUGCACCCAAUUAACUCUGUAAGUACCAAAUAAAUACACCAAGGUUGUAUACAAUGAGGAUCUAAACAAACAAUGGGAUGUGUGCUUUCUGCCUUACUUCCUGUUCCUUGUUUGGUUGUGGGCUUAGGGCAGAUUCACACAAUCGAUUGUCUGUUACUCUAAAUUGUAUAUAACUUGUAUCCAUUUAGUACUUAUUGAAAGGUUUGUAGAGUCAUUUUUACUUAUCAUUCAUCACAUCAGAAAAUAUAGGAUUUUCUGGAGUAACAUGCGAACUUUUCUAAAAACAACUAUUUCAGUUAACUCUGUAAGUACCAAAUGAAUACGUCAGGGUUAUAUAAAAUGAAGAUCUAACUAACAAUGGGAUGUGUUCUUUCCGCCUUGCUUCCUGUUCCAUGUUUGGUUGUGGGCUUAGGGCGAUUCACACAAUCGAUUGUCUGUUACUCUAAAUUUUAUAUAACUUGUAUCCAUUUAGUACUUAUAGAAAGGAUUGUAGAGUCAUUUUUACUUAUCAUUCAUCACAUCAGAAAAUAUAGGAUUUUCUGGAGGAACAACCGAACUUUUCUAAAAAGAACUUUCAGUUUACUUUUCGUCACUAAAAUACUUAUGAACUCACCAGCUUAAAUGCUGAUCUACUCUUUCAAAAUAACGUGUAUUCUCAGGAAACUAGUAGGUAGGUAUGCGCACUGGGAUUCAGAAGAUGAAGUAAAGUAGCUUCAUGUCUUGUUUUGUUAUUUACUUUUGAGUCAAUCUUUUGUGAAUCACAUACUCUGUAAACACUAAAAUAUUAAUGCAAUGGUUGUUUGUUACUAUGAUUACUAUGAUACAUGUAUUGUGAUACUAAGCAUGACGUUCUUCGCCUCCGAACGUUUCCGCCGUUCCGGUUUGGGUGUGUGACAGUCGGCUCAGACAUUGUGACCUACACUGACAGGUUUAGCGAUCUGGCAGCACCAUGCCUUGAGAUGGUUACCCCGGGGAGUAAGAAGAUAGAAAGGUAGAUUUAGGUUUUAUCUACCCCGACUCAAGGAGAUGUACUGUCUUCUAAACCAACUACAUUCGAUAGCAUCAAACGCCUGGCCCAACGACUCAUUGACCAUGGAGUCCGCCAUGGCUUAGCGGUCCCUGUUCCCAAGCCAUCAAAGGGAGGAGACUAUAAACGAAAGUUUGGGAAAAAGUGGAAGGAGCGAACAACCCAGGAAACCCCGCAGGAGCAACAAAUGGUGACUGCAUACUCCUCCACAACAUCUGCUACUCAAGCACCUGCCAGUCGAUAUGCUGGAACUCUCCUGAAGCGUGGAAAGUGUAAUUACCACCACACCGUAGUAUGUCGGGAAAUGCAUUGCCUUACUUGCCACAAGAAGGGGCACACUGCCCGGCUCUGUAGGGCACCAGUACAAACGCUCUCCCAAGUCCCUGGAGUAGAAAUAAACCAGGCCUGCUAUGGCUAUGGUGAGACAGGGCAUUAGAAAAAGGAUUGCCUAAUAACAAAGAACUCAGGCGCGGAUGGAUGCAUUAUGAUGAUCACCGCAGGAGAAUCUACCACGGACUCCCAAGCGACCAGCGGUACGUCUUCGAAAAAAGCAUUGCUUUAAAAAAAAAUUAGUUUAUAUUUAUAUGAGAUUAAAACUUGGGGAAAACAUUUAAAAGUAAUUAUAAUAACUCACUCAUCUGAACAAGUGUGACAACCCGAAAUUUCUAUCUUGUACAGUUAUCCAAAUCAAUCAAGGUCAUACUCGUUUUUGCUAUCUUCUAGCAUUGAUUAGAGUCAAUUUGAGUGUUCUAAAGCUAGUAUAAUCAAGGUAUGGGGCUAGGGAUGAGUGUAUUUGAGUUCAACACCUUUCAAAUGAGCCAAACACCCCUUCAUGAGAUGUGUGCGGCCGCACACAUGGGUGUACGACCGUACACCCAUCCUAGCCAUACACUCANNNNNNNNNNNNNNNNNNNNNNNNNNNNNAUUUAUAUAUAUAUAUAUAUGACUUAGCCUUCACUUACCUUUUCUCACACUCCUAACCCAAGAAAUCAACUUCUCUAUCAAGUAUGAUCCGAUUUUCACCUAGAUAUUCAAGUUGUAAGUGUUUCUUCCUUUGAUUUGAUGAUUCAUUACACUAUCUAGUAAGGAUCUAUCAUUUCAUCCAUGAUAGAUCUUCAAGUGUUCCCCAAGAACACUAAGAACACCUACUAAGUUUUUGGACCUCAAACACCCCUAAAGGCUUCUAUAUUGUAAGUACCACACCUCAUGCUUGUUACUUACUAGCGUUACUCCUUAGAAAACGUCCAAACCAUGAUCAUCAAGGAGUGUACGGCCGUACACACCCCAUGUGGUCGUACACCCCUUUGUUUAGUGCUAUUUGGCUUCAAACUCAUGAUUCUAUGCUAGCACAUGAUCAAGAACACUUAGGGGAUGCACGAUAGAACCUUGGAAUACACAUUUGACCAUUUUUACAUGAAUAUCAAGGGUGUACGGACGUACACUCCUUGUGUGGCCGUACACAACCUUUUUAAAGUCCAAAAUGGCAUUAAACAUUCAAUAAUGCUUAUAAGGUGGAUUUUGGAGGAGACCAUGGAAUGCAUGCAACCUUUAAUGUGGAAGACCUUUCACCGUAUCUUGUUGAGGAUGGCCUUGAUGAAUUGAGGUCAUUUCCUUUCAAAGGGGGAGGGGAUGAUCCAUGCAUGGAUCAUGAAAGCCCAAAAGGUGAUGGAUUAGUGAUUACUAGUAGGCUAGAUAGUGGUUUGGCCUCAAUGGUUGGGUUGUGCUUGGUAACCUACGAAUUGAAUUAGGGUCGCAUGAUGUGACAUGUGACACUUUGUAAGGACCUUCAUCUCUUGGCAUCUACUUUUGUUCUUCCUUUUGUUAGGGAAAAGUUCUUUCCUCAUAUAAACCUAAACCAAGUCACCAUAUUGAAAGACACGUGGUUUCGUAUGCAUGUUGGAAUUCUGUUUGUGCACCUCAUUCACAACUUCAAUCUUCACACGAACUUGGUGUAGUUUCAUCAUGGCCUUCAGCUUGUUAUUAGCAUCCUUGUGAACCAAUUCAUCCUUUGGCAAUGGAAUCAAAUCCAAAGGCAUGUAAGUAUUCACACCAUACACCACUUGUAAAGGAGAGUGACAUGUAGCAUAAGUAGGAGAUCGAUUACAGGCAAACUCAACAUGUGCAAGUUUGAUGUGCAAAUGUUUUUGAGUUUUCCUAACCAACCACCUCAACAACAUACCCAAAGUUCUAUUAGUCACCUUCGUUUGCCCAUCAGUUUGUGGAUGAUGGGAUGUACUAAAAAGUAACUUAGUAAUAACUUUCCUCCACAAAGUGUUCCAAAAGUAACUCAAAAACAUGGAAUCCCUAUAAGAAACAAUAGUUUUAGGAAUAACAUGCAAGCGGACCACCUCUUUAAAGUACAAAUCAGACACAUUAGAUGCAUCAUUGGUUUUAUGACAUGGCCCAAAGUGAGCCAUUUUUGAAAACCUAUCCACCACCGCUAUAAUGGAAUCCUUCCCCCUUUGAGUUCUAGACAAAGCCAAACUGAAUUCCAUUGACACAUCUUCCUAAGGACAAAUAGGAACCAACAAAGGAGUGUAAACACCAUGCUUGAAAGUUUUUUUGUCAUCCGACAUGUAACACACUUGCCCACUAUGUUGGUUACAUCCCCAACAUCUUUAUGUGACAACUGGCAAUUUCUGGUCAAAUCAAAUCCAAUUAAAGUCAGCAAGUCAAAUCGGUCGACUCAACUAACCCUUGUAUAUUAGGGUUUACAUUAUGUUACUGUUGUACAACUCGCUAUUUUUUUAUAAAAAGUUAUCACUUGGAAAGUUCGUAUGUUCAGAAAUUCUAAACCCUAACUGGAGUACGUGAUGAAACUACUCGAUAAAACAUUAUACCAUACCCCUAGGGGGUGUAUAACAUGUAUAACGAUGCUUAACGGGGUUUACGAACCUUGCGUUGCGAAGCUAAACAUCCAAAAAGGUCACAAACGAAACAUCUCUCAAUCUCUCUUUAUCAAUCUCUCUCUCUCUCCCAAAUCUCUCUCAAAACUUCUUUCAACUUUUUAUAAUAAUUUGGGGCAUCCUGACCCUUAACUUGGUCAAAAACCGCUCAAAACGGAGUGAUUAUUGGUAAAACAGCCUUAUAGGACCGAAGCCCCAUAAGACUGAAUCCCAAAGAACCAAAGUCCCUAGGAACCAAAACUACAGGGACCGAAACCAAACCUCGGAGGACCGAAGGUUCCUUCGGACCGAACCCUUCCUUUCGGCCCAUUUCGCCUUCGGUGCAUUACUCGACCCGUUCCGCCUUCGGUUCUCACCAUGCAACCGAACCUACCUUCGGUUUUGGCUGAUGGGACCGAACCUUCGGCCCAAUCCGAGCAACUUCGCAGCUUCACUCUUUUCUCCUGGUUUUCGACCACGACUUCGUUUUAAGCCCAUUUUCGAUGAUUUUCGCACGGGAUUUUCGUACAAAUCCAUAUUUUAAUAUUUUUAACCUUCCAAGAUCAUAAAAUAUGCAUAUUCUAAGGAUUUCCAUAUUUUAUAAUCCACACCUUUCUUAAGAGCAAAGGCAAAGUACAAAAGGUGAUUCUUGACUUGUCCCAUAAAGCUAUGACACCAUCAGUUCGUUAUUCAUGCUUUAUGUCACUAUUCACAUCUGAAAAGUCAAUCCCUUGUACUCUCACCAUUCCCCCACAAGUUUCCUUAAACCCAUACACACAAAGAAACUUUACUACUCACUUUCCCUAGAUCACCAACACUUCACCAAAAGCAAAUACACUUUUUCUCUCUCACUUCCUCUCCAAGAUUUCAAGAUUCUCCUGGAGUUUUGAUCUCGUCAUCCUCUUUUGGGUAAGUAAUUUCAUCUUCCACUUGAUUAUCUUACACCCUUUCACUCAAGUCAUGGAUUCCUUACACAAAUAUCAUCAUAUUUGUUCAUAGAAUCUUCAAAUCUUCAAGCAUCUCCCAAGUGUUCUAGGCUUGGAAACUGGUCCUUCAUCAUCCAUCUACUGAAAUCAGUCAAGGUGAGUUCAUACCCAUAUCUUUUAAUGUUUUUCUUAAGUUUUAUGGGGUGGAAUACAAGUUAAAACACCAAGAGCACAACUAAACCCAACCAACAACUUUCAUCAGAAAAGUUGAGUCCCAUUCACGGACUGUUUUGACCUUCUUAAACUUUUUAUCUUUCAAAACUGUUUAACAUGCAAUUAGUUCAGGUUCAUACCUUUAAAUGACUACUUGCACAUCUGCAUACGAUUUUUCUACAAUUUAUGGUAAUCUUUACAAAACUGCCUAUCAUUUCAGAAACAAAUCCAUACCAGUUUAUGAAUCUGUUUUCACACAAGUUAGAGGUCACUAAAAAUCAAAAUAAAAUUAUGAACAAACUAGACACAUUUUCUAAGCUUUCAGAAUUUACGGAUUCUAAUUUCGACCUCUGAUGAUUUUUCAAUGAUUUUUCGAAGGACAGUAAUAGAAAAGUUAAAAAUUGAAAAUAGAUAACACAUUUCAUUUACAACUUGUAAACUUGCUGAGCAAGGUGUGUGCGCUAUUAUGAAAAUUCAUGUUGUUAUAUUUCAUGACUUUCACCUUAGUAAAAAGGUAUACAUUAUAUACAAAGGAUUACUAUACAAUACAAACAUUUGUUAAACUAUAAUAGGUAUAGUUUAUGUGCAUUACAACACCAACCUUCAUGAUAGACUAUAACAAAUAUAGUUUAUGUUACACUUACAACCUUACUACAAAAAGGAUUCAUUUCUACAUAAAGGAAUCUUCAUUUCAUUUCACGUAAAUCUGUUAAUGAAUAAAUUUGUGAGAUUUUCGCUUCACGAUACUUUUAAAGUAACGCAUUUAAAGUUCUGUAAUUGUACUUAGAGUCUCUUGUAGGGAGAGCGUGAUAGUUGUGUACAGAUCUAUAUUGGGUCUCACAAACCCACACCUUAGCUGCAUGCAACAGCUAGACUGGCAUUUCUGGGGUGACAAAUGUCAUUAACAUUUCGACGCCUGAAGAACGUCGUAUAAAAGGCCGACUGGGUCAUAUCAUGGUUAUAAAAACUCAUAUGGGAUAUUAACAAAACAUAUGAUUUACGGGGUUUUCUAACACUUACACGAGUUUAUGUCGAUUUAAACUUGCAUAUACUACAAUUAGUAUGGAAAAACACCAGUACAUUUCGGUCUUUGACAUUUAAGGCUACAAUACAUUUUAAAGUAAAAUAUUGGAUUUUUCUGGAGUAAACAAUACUUUUACAAAGAAAGGAUUUCAACACUACAUUUAAAAGCUUAUGAACUCACCAACUUAAUUGUUGACACUCUUUCAAAACUACUUGUAUUCUCAGGAAAUCAGUAAAAUAGGUAAUCAACUGCUUUUGAGGAUGGGACGUUAAGGCGUCCAACAUUUUAUUUUUGUCAACAUAAUGUAAAUUGAUUUAGAAACAUGUAAACUUAUACUAUGGUGUAACUUUUUCAAUUAUAUUAUGUUGGUUGUGUUUGCUUUGGUCACUAAUAUACUCGUUAUUAUGAUACUGUACAUGAAGUCCUCCACCCCCGGACGUUUCCGCCAUCCUUGGUUUAGGCUAGAAGAAAUGUUCUUAAAGAACCUCCAAAGUUUUGGUAAUGGAAAAAUGACCCACCAAACCACCACCAUGAGCUUCACGAAUUAGCAACUCCCGUAUUGCAUGUUUAGGGACACAAAGGUGUUUGCCUUUUGAUGCCUUUAUGGGCUUGAUUAAGUGAGUAGGAUUGUGUUUAUGUAAUUUUAGCUAGAAUAACAACCACAAAUGAUAGGUGUAUGGGAAGAAACGGAUAGAUUAGUAACAAAUCAAGACCUAGUUGUAUACCCGUGAAAACUUUCCAAGACAUAAUAUUUGAUUGAAUGCGUAUCAAGUCAAGAACACGUCUCGACUAUGAUUAAAAUUUCAUCUAUCACUUUUUUCCAUGCAUACUUGGCUUAUACGAAGCCUUUAUUACAAUGUUGGUGGUUACAAGCCACCCAACCAACAACUCAGUAAAACUAAUAAUCAGAAUUAAAGAAACUCAUGAAACGACAAAAAAAACGUCUGACACACUAAUGAAUGAAAAAAGGUUCCAUGCUCCAUAAAGGAUCCACUAGAAGCAUUAAAGUGUGUUACCUAAUCCACCAAAGAGUAUCAAAAAUGGCUGGUACUAAAGGGUAGUGACGAACUCACAAGCUAGUACUAAACAAUUCACAGGGUUCUCAUACGAUAUCAAACAUAUAUAAAAGAUUAUGCAACAUAAUACAAUGAAUACAGAUACAUACAAUGAAACUAUCUGGCAAUACAUUCAAAUGAUGCGGAGAUAAACUGAAUCAGACAUAGUUUAUCUAAUAACUUUAUAAACAUAUCAGUACAUGAUAAAACAAAAACUAAAGAACCCCAAAUCAUUCCCAUAAUAAUUUGAUUAGUUUGGUUAUUUCCUUAACUAAAAUUCAUUUAGUUGUAGUUGAUAAAUCAUCCCUUAUGCUCAGCAUAAUACAUAAGGGGUAAAAGUAUUUAUAAGUUUGCCAGAUAUUAUUUGAAAUACAUCAAAGUUAUGUUUUGAAAACAUUUAUAGUUUGCUUGUAUUCCCCUGAAAACAUUGAAAAACAGUGACUGUUCUCUUGAUUUUGGGUUUGAGUACCACCGGAACCAUCCGAGUUCCUUUGAGACAUAACAGCUACCACCGCGGCAUUGACAACUGCCUGGAACAUCACAUGGUCAAAUUCAGGAGGAGGUGGUGGCGGAGGGUUGUUGGUGCUCUUCGAGCUGGGUCUCUUUCUUGGAGGCAUCGUGAUCUAAAAAGAUCAGGAAAGAGAGGAUCAUAAGUCCUCUGAAUUGAAUCAAGAGAUAUGGAACAAAUGAUAUCUCAUCAAGACGGAUAUAGCAUCAUAAUAAGCGAUAAAGCAGGGAAGAGUUAUCAAGACAGAUAAUUUUAUCGCUAAAGGAAUGAUCAAGGAACAACGCGUAUACGAGGAUUUUCUACAAAGGAUUGACUCGAGAAAUACUCCCAUAGUAUUUCAUGAUUCACUGCAACGACGACUCGUUGUUUGGGAUAUUGGGUAAGUUUUAGGUAUGCCGCAUACCACAGUCACUCCCAAGCACAUGUUGGCCGUGUCUCGAAUGAAUAUAGUUGGCCAGGCUAUAUUGACCCUAGACACGACUACAUAACUGCCCAGGUUUAACCGCAGCGUACAACACCCAUUUACUUAUGUUUUGUUCUACUUGUAGUUACGGAUCUCGACGGCUCGGUAUACUUGUAUACUUUUGAAAAUACUUAUAUUUUGAAGGAUACUUUUAGUUCAGAGCACUUAGGCCCCUUAAUGUUUAUAGUUUUAUACCAUGUAAGGUUUGGUAUACUCCGUUCACUAUAAACAAGGGCUCUGAUACCAAUCUGUCACACCCCGAAAACCAAAGGCGGAAACGUUUCCGGGGUUGACUCCACGUUGAGUAUCAAAUCCAAUGCACAUAGUAAUCAAAGUAAACAACCAUUACAUUACAUAUAUUUGAAAGUUUACAUUUGUUUCAAAAGUAAAUUGUACAAGUGUUAUACAUAUAUCAUAUGAACAAAAGUAGAGACGAGUCUUCUGAGCACUCCGUCUUCACCAAAAGAUAUCGUCGGGUACCUGUCUAACGUGGACCUGAGAAUACAAGCGGUUUGAAAAUCAGCAUAAAGCUGGUGAGUUCAUAAGAUGUUUGUUUUCUGAAAAAUGUACCGGUUUCCUUUAGUUUUCCGAAAAGGUUUGUUAUCCAAGAAAAUCCCAUAUUUUCUUAUGUAAAACAGUUUAGUUAUCUUUCAUUACAGUUCAAUUACGCGUUAUAUGUUACCCCAGGAAAAUCCCAUAUUUUCCUAAAUACAAGACCGAUUUAAUAUCACAUAGUAUAGUUUAAUACACAAAACUAUAUAUUGAGAAUCUUGGGAUUACUAUCCCGAAUUAGAUAUAAAAUACUUUAAUAUACCUGAACUGUAGAUGGAAAAUAGUUUGAAAACCUUCAGACUAACAUCCCGUACUACAUAUAGAUUUAAUACCAUGGGACUAUCAUCCCGGACUAGAUACAAGAUAGUUUGAUAUACUUGAAAAUAUAGACUGAAAACCAUGGGACUACCAUCCCGGACUAGAUACAAGAUAGUUUGUUAAAACCAUGGGAUUACUAUCCCGAACUAGAUAUAGAUUCUAACCAUAGGAAUAACAUCCUGCAAUAGAUAUGAACCCUAUAGACCAAAAACCAUGGGAUUACCAUCCCGUACUAGAUAUAAGAUCUAAAGAUAGAAGAUUGAUAUAAAAUCAAAUCCAAAACCAAAGCCGUGAAUAAACUUAUAUUAAUACGUAUUGUGAGUCGGGUAACCAUGCUGAUACGACAACGAGACCUCCUUGACGCUUGUCAGACGUCGGACGAUAUCCAGAAUUUGUCACCCCAGGCGUGCCCGCCUAACUGUAGCUAGCAGUUAAGGUGUGGGAUUGUCAGUCCCGAAUAGAUCUAUUCACAAAUUCCUCGCUCUCCCUCCAGGAGACUCUGGUUACACUUCCGGGGAGGAUUUACUGAUCAUCCAUAAAGGGUAGUGACGAACUCACAAGUUAGUACUAAACUAUUCACAGGGUUCUCAUAUGAUAUCAUACAUAUAUAAAAGAUUAUGCAACAUAAUACAAUGAAUACAGAUACAUACAAUGAAACUAUCUGGCAAUACAUUCAAAUGAUGCGGAGAUAAACUGAAUCAGACAUAGUUUAUCUAAUAACUUUAUACACAUAUCAGUACAUGAUAAAACAAAAACUAAAGAACCCCAAAUUAUUCCCAUAAUAAUUUGAUUAGUUUGGUUAUUUCCUUAACUAAAAUUCAUUUAGUUGUAGUUGAUAAAUCAUCCCUUAUGCUCAGCAUAAUACAUAAGGGGUAAAAGUAUUUAUAAGUUUGCCAGAUAUUAUUUGAAAUACAUCAAAGUUAUGUUUUGAAAACAUAUACAGUUUGCUUGUAUUCCCCUCCCCCCUGAAAACAUUGAAAAACAGUGAAAAAGGGUAGGGGUAUGAACUCACCGGACGAGAAACGUGACGAUUUCGGAUGCUAAACGUGGGUUCGGGGCUUGCAAACGCAAGAGGUUCCUAAGUAUAAUGCAAAGAUACACACUUGUAUCUAAUUAGGACUUAGAUUAUUUAAUCGUUAGGGACAAACACUUUUAGUCGCGGAAACACCCCAUUGCAAGUGUUUGGAGGGACCCGGGUGGCGUUUAAGGACACAUAUAGCUAGGAUAUUGAAUUGGGACUUCAAGAGUAAACUCCUUAGGGAGUUUACGGCCUUAGAUACCACACCCACAUGAGUUCACAGCCGUGAACUCAUAAGUGGUGUUUUUGGAUGCUAAAUGGCUUCAUAAAUCAUGGAUAAUUUAACUAGGAUUGCAUCUAAGGCGUAGGGAUGAAUUUAAACUCACUUAGGGACCAUUUAUUGGAGUUUACGGCUGUAAACAUGGAGUUUACGGCCGUAAACUCUCCCAUACACAAGAUCCUUAAUGUUUUGGUCCUUUAAUCAAUCACAUGUGAUUCAAAUGAUUUUUCCAAGCCUUGAAUGGAUUUUUAAGGGACUUUUGACAUAGAUUUAGGAGUUUACGGCCCAUGAACCCCCUCAUGGCCGUGAACUCCUUGGAAGGGUGUUAUAAUAUGUUUUAAGGUCCAAUACUUGUUUGUAAACAUUUCUAGAAUUUAUCCCAAGGCUUGUUAUCUCUUCAAGGCAUCAAAUGACAUCAAUUUAGGAGUUUACGGCCCAUGAGUAUAUGCUAUGGCCGUAAACUCUUAUAUGUCAUGUUUUGUUAUGUUUAAGACCCCCAAACUAUUUUUAGAUGGUUCUAGGAUUUACCACAAGGCUAUUGGUUAAGUUUCAAGGCAUUCUAACAUGUCUAAAGGUGUUUUCUCCCCAUGUUUGAGGGGUUUACGGCCCAAGCACAUGCCUUGGCCGUAAAUUCUCAUUUGUUCCUCAAAAAUUAUGUUUAAAGUGUUCUAAGGCUAAAACCAAUAUUCUAGAAGUCAUAUCUAUGUCUUGUUGGGUUAGAGGAAGGGUUUUAGGGCUUAAAAACCCUCUAAUUAUGUGUUUACGGCCUAAGCUCCUUCCAGGGCCGUAAACUCAUAUAAAAGGCCUUAAUUCAUGUUUUAAUCCCGAAUUUGAAGGUUAAAUAUGAUAUACAAUGAGUUAAGGAAGGUACCUUAGGGAUUUGAAGCCUUAAAUUUGAGAUUUGGACCCUUAAACUUGGAUUUAGGAGAGAGGUUAGAGAGAGAGAAGAGAGAGGAAGCAAAAGCUUCAAACGAAAAGUGUAACACGUUUAUAUAGGUCGCAAAACUUGGACACGGAGCAAUUCUACCCGAUACCGGCAUUAAACGGGGCUUUUGGUCGCACCCGAUUAAGUUUCCGUUACUAGGCGGGAACGUUUCUAAAAUUUUUGAAAUAACUAUUUUGGGCUAAUUUCAUGAGUUCCUAAGGGGUUUGGACACUCAGUAUCAUCAAAUAAACAUAUAAGUUUAAUUAAUUUAACCCAAAAACGAAAUUGGAACGAAUUGAUAUUCGGCGAGUUUUACGGGUAGAACGGGGUUUUCGGCAAUGAACAACUUCGGGUUGUUACAUUAUCCCCCCGUUAGAGGGAAUUUUGUCCCGAAAUUCAAAGAGUAAGAUAUAGAUCAUGAAUUGGAAUGUGACACGAAUGGAUUUGUGGCCUCGGAUCUUCACGUUCUCAAGUGGAAUCGGGUCUCCGCUUGGCGUUCCAGUGAACUCUCAAUAUCGGGACGCGACUUUUGUUUCGCACAUUGAAUCUCUCUCAAUCUAUGAUCUCAAUCGGUUCUCUCAUGGAAGUUUCAACCCUGGACGACUUCGGUUUCCUCAAAGGAAAUCACUAGGGUUUCGUCGGGUAGGUACUUCUAAGGAUCCGAGACGUAAAGUACCGGAUGGAUGUUACCAAGUUCUGAAGGUAGCCGAAGUUGGAAGGUUACGAAAUCGAUUCUAUGAGGAUCACGAAGGGUCUAAUGUAUCACGAGGGAAGUAUUUCACACUUCUCAAAGCAUAUCAUGCUUUUCUGGGAUAUAGCCAUCAACAGAACACACGCUCCAACAUGAAAGCACAUCUUCAAUGAGCCGGGUAGCUAAGGGUUUGAUGGCUUUAGAAGAAGUUUAUGGGUAAGACUGUGAUAUUAGUUGAUGGGACCCAAUAAUCGACAGGUUUCUACGGGUAUUUUCGGUGCCGACUAAUUUCCUAUCUCCUUAGACGUUGGAAAAGUACACGGUUACGACUAUUUUGCUUGGCUACAUGAUCGAGGGAAAGAGAUUUGACCGAAAGGAUACCACUACUAAUCCGUAGUGAUCAUAUCAGUUCUUGGUCACCGUUUUGAACACGUCAUUCUCACUGAGGUUCGGUCACAAGGUAGAUCUAGAGAUUAGGCCGAUGCGGAACUAAGCUAAACGUUCGAAAGGAAUUCUCGAGAAUUCUUCGGGAAAGACAUUUAGGGGAAAGAGCUGCUGACUUCUCGUUUCCCGAUGGUCUCAGAAACGAGGGAUACACGGCAAUUCCUAUCGGGAAAACUUUUGAGCUUAAUGAAAUGAUACGAAGGUUUGAUGCCGAAGAUCACGAGAGUCGGGUCGGGCAAAAGAUCUAGACGAGCGACCCUUUCGAAACCAAAGAUAACAACAUGAAUGAGACUCAGUCAUUUCAUGUCAAACAUAGCAUCAAAGUAUUUCGUGAAAAGUUUCCCCCAUUUAAAUCGAAUGGAACAGAAUAAUCCUCCGCACUGAGGAUUCAAUCUAUAGGUACGAAGUUAGUGUUCUCUAUCUCACUGGUUAUCCGUCUUGAUUGUACUAAAUUUCGAUUACAAACAAAGGAUUAAGUUUAGAAAUUGUUUGAAUGGAUAGAUAACAAGUUUCCCUUCUGGUACUAGAAUCGAAAAGAGUUGCAGGUAUAAGAAUUGUCAAAGAGGAGUAUACCUGCGGCGACAGUGGGAUCAGUGGUUGUAGCUGCUUUGGGGCAAUUUCUUUUGAAGUGCCCUACUUCGCCACAAUUGUAGCAGGUUGGACUGAUUCCCGCUCCGGAUGGUUGGUUUGUUGAUUUGGCUGGUUUUCUGCAGGUUCGAGCAAGAUGGCCCUUCUUGCCACAGUUGUCACAAAUCCUUUCGCGACAUGGACCAGGAAUGCGGUGGUGGUAGCUGCACUUACCACACCAAGGAAGGGUACCAGUGUAUCCACUGGUAGGAGUUUGGGUCGGGGACCCGACAGCUGAAACAGCAACAGGGGCAGUAGCAGCAUGGACUGCUAAUGUUUGUUGUUUCUUAGAAGACCCUUGCGUACUCUGGGCCUUCUUCUUGUUCCAAAAUUUCUUUUUGCUUCCACCUCCACUUGUGACCGGUUCGGGAGUGGUAGUCUCCUCAUCAGAUUUGUCUUCGUGAUCGAUCAGGGUUUUCGCAAGACAUUUAGCGCUGUCAUAGGUGUCUGGCUUCGCAGCCAAGACAUUCCCUUUGGUUGGCUAGGUCAACCCCCACAUGAACUUCUCGAUCUUUUUACUCUCCGGGGUAACCAUUCCCGGACAGAAGUAACGCCAGAUCAUCGAAUCUUGAAGUAUAAGAGGCUAUGUCGGAACCCUUCAUCUUAAGGUUCCAUAGUUCGUGUUCUAGCUUCUGAAUUUCGCCCCGAGGGCAAUACUCUGCGAGUAGAAGCUCCUUCAUAGCUUCCCAACCCAUAGCAUUUGCUACAGGUAGAGUUAAGGAUUUGACUCCGCCGUUCCACCAAGUCAGGGCUUUGUCAAGGAAGGUGCAGGCGGCGAACUUUACUUUGUCAGAAUCCGAACAGGCACAUAUCUCGGCCGUAAACUCUCCCACACACAAGAUCCUUAAUGUUUUGGUCCUUUAAUCAAUCACAUGUGAUUCAAAUGAUUUUUCCAAGCCUUGAAUGGAUUUUUAAGGGACUUUUGACAUAGAUUUAGGAGUUUACGGCCCAUGAACCCCCUCAUGGUCGUGAACUCCUUGGAAGGGUGUUAUAAUAUGUUUUAAGGUCCAAUACUUGUUUGUAAACAUUUCUAGAAUUUAUCCCAAGGCUUGUUAUCUCUUCAAGGCAUCAAAUGACAUCAAUUUAGGAGUUUACGGCCCAUGAGUAUAUGCUAUGGCCGUAAACUCUUAUAUGUCAUGUUUUGUUAUGUUUAAGACCCCCAAACUAUUUUUAGAUGGUUCUAGGAUUUACCACAAGGCUAUUGGUUAAGUUUCAAGGCAUUCUAACAUGUCUAAAGGUGUUUUCUCCCCAUGUUUGAGGGGUUUACGGCCCAAGCACAUGCCUUGGCCGUAAAUUCUCAUUUGUUCCUCAAAAAUUAUGUUUAAAGUGUUCUAAGGCUAAAACCAAUAUUCUAGAAGUCAUAUCUAUGUCUUGUUGGGGUCUAGGAAGGGUUUUAGGGCUUAAAAACCCUCUAAUUAUGUGUUUACGGCCUAAGCUCCUUCCAGGGCCGUAAACUCAUAUAAAAGGCCUUAUAUCAUGUUUUAAUCCCGAAUUUGAAGGUUAAAUAUGAUAUACAAUGAGUUAAGGAAGGUACCUUAGGGAUUUGAAGCCUUAAAUUUGAGAUUUGGACCCUUAAACUUGGAUUUAGGAGAGAGGUUAGAGAGAGAGUAGAGAGAGGAAGCAAAAGCUUCAAACGAAAAGUUUAACACGUUUAUAUAGGUCGCAAAACUUGGAUACGUAGGAAUUCUAUCCGAUACCGGCAUUAAACAGGGCUUUUGGUCGCACCCGAUUAAGUUUCCGUUACUAGGCGGGAACGUUUCUAAAUUUUUUGAAAUAACUAUUCUAGGCUAAUUUCAUGAGUUCCUAAGAGGUUUGGACACUCAUUAUCAUCAAAUAAACAUAUAAGUUUAAUUAAUUUAACCCAAAAACGAAAUUGGAACGAGUUGAUAUUCGGCGAGUUUUACGAGUAGAACGGGAUUUUCGGCAAUGAACAACUUCGGGUUGUUACAAAAUGUGACACCACUUUUUAAGGACCUUCUGCUCUUAACAUCAACUUUUGUUCUUCCUUUUGUUAGGAAAACGUUCUUUCCUCAUAUGCACCUCAACCAAGUCACCAUCUUGAAAGAGACGUGGUUUCCUAUGCAUGUUGGAAAUCUGUUUGUACUCCUCAUUCACGUCUUCAAUCUUCACACGAACUUGUUGGUGUAGUUUCAUCAUGGCCUUCAACUUGUCAUUAGCAUCCUUGUGAUCCAAUUCAUCCUUUGGAAACAGAAUCAAAUCCAAAGGCAUGUAAGGAUUCACAAAAAGUUUGAUGUCCAAUUGUUUUUGAGUUUUGCUAACCUAACCCCUCAACAACAUACACAAAGUUCUAUUAGUCACCUUCGUUUGCCUAUCAGUUUGUGGAUAAUGCGAUGUACUAAAAAGUAACUUAGAACCAACUUUCCUCCACAAAGUAUUCCAAAAGCAACUCAAAAAGAUGGAAUCCCUAUCAUAAACAAUAGUUUUAGGAAUAAUAUGCAAGCAAACCACCUCUUUAAAGUACAAAUCAGACACAUUAGAUGCAUCAUUGGUUUUAUGACAUGGCACAAAGUGAGCCUUUUUUGAGUUCUAGGCAAAGCCAUACUGAAUUCCAUUGACACAUCUUCCCAAGGACGAAUAGGAACCGACAAAGGAGUGUAAACACCAUGCUUGAAAGUAUUUUCGUCAUCCGACAUGUAACACGUGUGCCCACUAUGUUGGUUACAUCACCAACAUCUUUAGGCCAGAAGAAAUGUUCUUAAAGCACCACCAAAAUUUUGGUAAUGGAAAAUUGAACUGCCAAACCACCACCAUGAGCUUCACGAAUCAACCACUCCCGUAUUGUAUGUUUAGGGACACAAAGGUGAUCACCUUUUGAUGCCUUUAUGGGCUUGAUUAAGUGAGUAGGGUUGUGUUUAGGUAAAUUAAGCUAGAAUAACAACCACAAAUGAUAGGUGUAUGGGAAGAAAUGGAUAGAUUAGUAACAAAUCAAGACCUACUAAGUUGUAUACCCAUGAAAACAAUCCAAGACAUGCGUAUCAAGUCAAGAACAUGUCUCGACUAUGACAAGUAGUGAACUAUAAUUAUAAUUCAAAGUGAAAAAAGGUUCUUUUGAUUAAAAUUUCAUCUACCUCUUUUUUCCAUCCAUACUUGGCUUAUAUGAAGCCUUUAUUACAAAGUUGGUGGUUACAAGCCACCCAACCAACUACUCAGUAAAACGAAUAAUGAAAAUUAAAGAAAACUCAUGAAACCAUACAAAAAAACGUUUGACACACUAAUGAAUGAAAAAAGCGUCCAUGCUCCAUUUAGGAGCCAAAAGAAGCAUUAAAGUGUAACACAAAUCCACCAAAGAGUAUCAAAAAUGGCUAGAAGGCUUGAUGAAGCAAAAAAGUAACCGUUUUGAGCACUUAUGAAGCUUUUAAAAUGUUGCCCUAGCCUUCAUGCG